CUGCGAUAGGUAAUUUUAAUAAUUAUAUUCUUUUGUUUAAUUUAAUAAUUGUAAAGCAUUAGUAUUUAUGUGAUACUAAAAAUUAUCAAGUGCAGGUUGAAAUCUUUCACCAUUAUUUUAUAGUCAUGUUUUCUAACUUCUUGAUAAAUAAAACUAAAUAUUAUUUUCGAGUUAAUUUAUAAUUGAACCUUUCUGAUUUUCUUUAUAAAUUUGUUUUGCAGGAUUCAGAAUAUGUAAGGCGCAAGAAGAUUAUGGAUAUGACAAUAAAUGCACCAUCAAAUUUUCUAAAAUAAUGAGAUAAAAUUUAGUUUUUUCUUAAUUAUUCAUGAGCAUAUUUUCUAUUAUUAAGAGAGAAGACGUAGAAAUGAAUUCAAUCGUUUUUAUUAAUUAUUCAUGAGAUUUUUUUGUUAUUUGAAUAAAAUGUCAAUUCAAUCAUAAUUUUUAACUUAUAUAAUACCAAACUAGAUAUAAAUUAUUAAUUUAUAAUGUUAAUUGGACAAUAUUCUUACAUGAAUUUUCUAAAAAGUUAUUAUCUUUUUAUUUUAUCGAUUUGUGUCAUAUUUUAAACCGGCUCAAUUUAGAACUGAGAAAAAUUAUUACUUUAUAAUGGUUAUUAAUUUAUCGAAUAUUAAUUUAUAGGAUUUCUACUGUAUAUGUAUUUUUGCUGAGAUACAUAUAAAGUUAUUGCAAAAUUUUGAUAGAAUUACAAAAAAAAUCUACAGAAAUUACUUUUGUCACCCUGAAAGGAAGAAACAAGUGAGAUUACCAUUGAACGAUUUGACAAAGUCCUAAUUUCGAUCCAAAUGUACCAAAACCACAGGCUCUAAAUUCGCAAUCAAAUACGGAAUUUUCUUUGUAAGAAUAAUUGCGUAUAUAUCAACGAAUUACAAAAAAAUGUAAAGGAGAAACUGAUCAAACUCCUUUACAAAACCAUCAACAUUCUACAAAGCAAAGAAUAUGUACAGAUCUGCGAGUUGGAACCGUGCCACGGAAGACUACUCGUCCGCACCGCCCAAAGGAUUGUGGAUGGGCUCCAUGAUCGGUCCUCUUGACGAAGACGAGCCACCUUCCUACAAUAAUCCACCAGCGGAUGAGAUGGUUAAGAAAGAGAAGUCACCUGCCAAGUUCGCAGAAAAGGCUAUUCACAUCAUUCCUUUUGUUCUUCUUGCAUGUGCUCUCGUCCUUUGGCUCUUCUCAAAUCCAGGUAUAUAUAAUAUAUAUACACACAGAAAGGUUAGUGAACCAAAAACUCUACGUAUAGUAACAUAAUGGUUCAAUUUGAGGUGAACUUGCGGUCCUAGACUUUUUAUUGUCUUUUAAAAAAACACUAUACAACCAUGACCUUGUGUUUCCGAAAAAAAAAAAAAACAACCAUGACCUGCCUUGAGACUCAUGAUCGGCUUGAAACGAUUUAUCAAACAUAUAUUUUUCUUAGAAUACCCUUUUUCUUAAUCAUUUGGGACCGAGUGAUAUAUACAUAUUAAUUACUUUGGAGACCAAUGUUUUAUCUCGCUAUGGCAAAGACCGGCUCUGUAUGCAACCUCACUCAUUUGCAAUUAGCUAGUGUACAUGAAGUAUGAGUAAGUAAGAUCGUUGUAUGAGUAAUUUAUAACAGAACACAAUUUUGUAGAUGUGGUGGAUGUUGGGAUGAGAGAGGAAUCUAUUGCGGCUAGGAUUGAAGGACUGACAAUAGAAGGAGACAUCGACAAUGAUAGUGAUGGAACUCAGACUGGUUUCUUAGGCGCAACCUUAGAGCUCAGUGGUGAUUCAGACAAAACACAUUAUGCUGAUCGGAACAGACGAGCUUCAAGGAAACUGAUUAAAGGCUUCUACUAGUUAAUAAUAAAUCAACCACCAAUCCAUUUUUAUGCAUUUUGGAUCAUCAUUUCAAUCUAUAAGCUUUUCCAAAGUUUUUUUGGUUAAUAAAUGAGCAGCUUAAUUUAAAUCCAAGUGUAUUUAUCUGAUAUCAAAAACAAAAAAAAUCUACAUGAAUCCGAUUGACAAAACUUCUAAAUAUAGAGAUAUAUAUAUUCAUAUAAAACUGAUAAAAAAAUUGUAAUAUCACUUCACAUGAAUAAUGCAUGGAGGAGGAUCAAAAUUGUUAUUAGCCUCACUUCACAUGAAUGGUGCCAUGGGCAGUCAAGUCGGUUGAUCCGGUAGUUUGUGGAGGAGGAGGAGGCAAACCGAUAGCAAGUUCCAAACCGUCUUUCUUUGUCAUAUCAGAGACUUCAUUUAAAUGAGGUUGAGGCAUACUAAUCGGUACAUGCCUUGGUACAGGUAUACCGGAAGGGUGAACAUACCUAAUCGGUUCAGGGUUGGCGUAGUACAUUGGAUGGAACAUAAAAGGUGAAAAGUUGUAGUAAGGUGGUGCGUUUUGGUAGAUUGGCAUGUACCCCAUUGAUAGAUUCUGAAACCGGUUUGAUAUCUCAGUUUGAGUUUGAACUUGUACCGGUUCUUGAGAUCCGGUUAUUAGUUGUUUAGAUGAAGUCUUUGAUGAUGAUGCAUCUGGAAAAUUCUUCUCUUUCUCCUUCUACAAGUUAAUCAAAAAAUAAGACCCUAAAUAUCAAAAAGUUUGAGUAAUGGAUUAUUACUAAUUAAGCAAGGCAAAAACCUGAUCUUCUAUAGAGAUGUCAAAGAGACUAGCACGUCUUUUUCUCUUGUCGUUACCAUUUAACCUAAGAAAAUAUUUUUGAGCAUGACUCGCCACUUGUGUCGGUGUUCUUGUCGUCACGAAGCUCUUUGAGAUCCCUCUCCAAUCACCUUUCCCAAUCCUCUUCAAGCCGACCAAGAACAUACGAUGUUCUUCUUCCGUCCAUGGAUUCCCUAUAAAGUUUGAUUACAAGAACCGUAUAGACCAGUGAAACAUUGACAUUUGCUCCAAAAUAUUUAGAAUUAAUGUAUAUUAUUAUAGGUUCUCAAUUUUUUUUAAUUAAAAUUCUUAAAAGAUUGUUUAGUGAAUCAAGAAAAAGAAUAAAGAUUAGGUCAAGAGAAGCUUACCCUUUUUCUUCUCAUGAGAGGACCUCCUCUUCUUUGAAUGAAUCUGGCCAUCAGAAUAAUAACCCGUAUCUUCAACGGCGGCGGUUAGGUCACCAUUACCGUUAUCAAGAAGAGAAUCAAGAUUCCCUAAACUGAGACUCUUCCUUAACGCCGUUACCUCAGGCGACUUAAUAGGAUCAGAUGAUAUGUCAACGCCGAACAGUUUCACGCUUCCUUUGUUAACGCUGUUAAGACAACAAGUAGGUGCAUUAUGACCAUUGUUGCCACAGUGUGAACACGUCUUCGCCGUAGUCGCCAUCUUUCUCCGAUGAUCUCUCUCUACGUACGAUUUAUAACGAGUUGCAUUUAUACCUUUAAUCUCUGCGUGUAAUUUAUAGAUAUUUUAUAUAUAUACGAUAUUUAUAUCCGAAUAUAUGCGUUAGCUGGUUUUGUGAAUAUCUUUGGUGUGUUUACCUUAAGAGAUAAAGCGUUUCCUUAUUUAUCUUCUUUUAUUUAGAAAAUAUCCAGCAGUAUCAGCAUAAGAUCAUAACCUACGGUGUAGAUUUUUUACGUUAUGCAUUAGUGUAGAUUUCAGCCGUUAGAUGUUUUUUCCAGCUAACAUUGUGGUGAAUAUUAAUUCCGGGUAUAUUUGAGAGAGUAAAUCGUAUAUUCGAUUUUUCUUAAUUGAGUUUCCUAAGACAUCCAGACUUUUAUCAAUAUUUCCCAAUCUUAGUGCAGUUGAAAUUUACUUUUAUCUUUGUCUUAAGAUAUAUAGUAAAUUGUACAUGUUAGAAAAAUUAUGUUGAAGUCUUUUAACGCGAUAUGCCAUGUAUAUUAAUCGAGAAAUAUUACAAUUUCUUUUUGUAACCACGUGUCAUCAUUAUAAUGAUUCUUAGAAUCACUAGGAAAUAUGUUGAUUUAUCUAAUUAUAUAAUAAUUUUUUAUUAAACUAACAAUAAAUUCCAUAUUAAUUUUCUUUAUUAUUUCUUUAAAUAAAAGUUACGGAAUUGACUAAUAUGGCUAAAAUAUAUAUGACAACUAAUGAUUUUGAAUAAUAAGGAUUUGAUAAAAUUAGUAUAGCUUCUAUCAUAUUUAUUUAAUUUUAAAUUAUUAAAAUAAAUUAAACAAUCAUAUUAAUCAUAUAAUAAAAUUUAGAUUUUUGGGUAUGUUAUAUUUUGAAUUUUUAAAAACAAAUGUAACUUAUUAAAACUGUUAAAAGUCCCACAUUCAAAUUUUGUGAUCUAUGGUUUAAAAUUUUUGUUAUGACAAAAUACAAAUGAUUACAAAUUCAUAUAAGUAAAAAGUCUAAUUUAAUUAAAUAUUAAGAUUAAUAUAUAUAUAUAUAUAUAUAUAUAUAUCAUUUUAAAUUAAACUAUAUACAAUAUGAAAUGCAUAAAUAUUUUAAUUUUGAAAUUUACUUUGAACAAUUUUUUUGAUAAAAGUUUUGAACAAACAUUGACAACUUAGUUUAUUAAAAAUUAUAAAUUACUAAAACUAUUAAUCUCACAGUGUAAAUUUUGUUAUGAGUAAUUUAAAAAAAAAAUCUAUAAAAUAUACAAAUGAUCAAAAAAAAUAUGAUUAGAAAGCACCAUUUAGUAGAAGUUAAUAUUAAAAUAUACUAUGUAUGUUAAUAUCAUUUAAAUUUAAUUAUAUAUCCUAUCAAAUAUAAAAAAAUUAGGUGUUUUGCCUGCACAAGCGGGCAUAAUCAUUUUACUAAUAGUUAUUAAUAUAUGUAUUAUGAUUUAAACAUGAGGAUAACUUAUUAUUAAUCAUUUUAGUUUUCUUCGAUUUUUAUUUCGGUCUAGGUCUCUCUAACACAAAAAAAACUAUAAAAGUAUGAGACUAUAAGAGCAUAAUUACGUAUCAAAUAUUCUACACAAUAAUGUAAAUUCAGAAUUUGAAUUUUUGGUCUCUCUUAAUCUACUUUGUAUUUUUGAAUCAGAAACAUGUAUUAAAUUACCAAAAAAAAACUAAAACACACAAAAUCCAAGCGAGAACAAAAUAAAUAAAAAGUUAAUAAAAAUUAAAGUUAGACGAUAAUUUAGAAGAAAACUUUUUUAAAAAACCGAAUUGAGAAAAUGACAAUAUUUCAUUGGUUUACUUGAUCAAUAUAUACAUUGACUUAUCUUAAUAUUUCAUAAGUUUACUUUUAAUAAAAGAAAAAUAGAUAAUGAUAGUUUUAUUAUUAAAGUUAAAUUAUGGUUAAUUAUAUAAUGAUAAAUCUAAUUAUUAAUAAAACAUAUAUCAAUUUUAGCCGUUUCAUAACAUGAUUACAUAUGCAACUCUCUAAACUUAAUAUCAAAGCAUAUUUUUCUUUUAGAUUAAAUAAUAAUUAAACAUACACAUGAAAUAACUACAGAAGUUACUCAAAAUACUUAAUUCAUAAUUCCAAACUCCAUGUAACAAAAUCGACUUGCUCCUAGUUUGAUCAAACUCAAAGAAAGAAAAAAAAAUAUAGAAUUCCAACUAAAAAAACAAAUAUCAAAAGUACAUAAAUAUAUGUGUCAAAAACUAUAAUCGAGACAAUUUAGAAUGAAUGAGAAAAAUGAAACUAUAAAAUUUUAAAACAUCUUACAUCAUAUGAAAAUAAGAAUUGGUCCUAACUUGUGUAAAAUAAUUAUAAUUGUAAUUCCAGUUUGAAAAUUUGAAAUAAUUUAAUAUUAUUUAAAUUAAUGAUUUAUGUUAAAAACUAAUAAGAAUCUCGUGAAAGUUAAAAUAAUUAUAAUCAUAUUUCAAUUAGAAAUUUCGAAAUAUUUAUAUUAUUCAAAUUAAUGAAUUAAUUAGAAAAUUUGAAAUAUUUAUAUUAUCUAAAUUAAGAAACUGAUUAUUUAAUCUAAAAACUAAUAAAAAUAUGACAAAUAAGCAAAAUUAGCUAAAAUCAUGGAGAAUGUGACAAAUCAGCAAAAUCACUUCAUAAAUAAUAAUAAAAGAAAAACAGAUAAUGAUAGUUUUAUUAUUAAAUUUAAAUUAUGGUUAAUUAUAUAAUGAUAAAUCUAAUUAUUAAUUAAAAAUAUAUCUAUUUUAGCCGUUUCAUAACAUGAUUACAUAUGCAACUCUCUAAACUUAAUACCAAAGCAUAUUUUUCUUAUAGAUUAAACAAUAAUUAAACAUACACGAAAAAUAACUACAGAAGUAAUUCAUAAUUCCAAACUCCAUGUAACAAAACCGACUUGCUCCUAGUCUUUCAAACUCAAAGAAAGAAAAAAAAUAUAGAAUUCCAACUUAAAAACAUAUAUCAAAAGUACAUAUAUAUAUAUAUAUAUAUAUAUAUAUAUAUAUAUAUAUAUAUAUAUAUAUAUAUAUAUAUAUAUAUAUAUAUAUAUAUAUAUAUAUGUCAAAAACUAUAAUCGAGACAAUUUAGAAUGAAUGAGAAAAAUGAAACUAUAGAAUUUUAAAACAUCUUACAUCAUAUGAAAAUAGGAAUUGGUCAUAACUUGUGUAAAAUAAUUAUAAUUGUAAUUCCAGUUUGAAAAUUUGAAAUAGUUUUAUAUUAUUUAAAUUAAUGAUUUAUGCUAAAAACUAAUAAGAAUCUCGUGAAAGUUAAAAUAAUUAUAAUCAUAUGCCAAUUAGAAAUUUCGAAAUAUUUAUAUUAUUCAAAUUAAUGAAUUAACUAGAAAGUUUGAAAUAUUUAUAUUAUCUAAAUUAAGAAACUUAUUAUUUAAUCUAAAAACUAAUAAGAAUAUGACAAAUAAGCAAAAUUAGCUAAAAUCAUGGAGAAUGUGACAAAUCAGUAAAAUCACUUCAUAAAUAAUAGUAAAGAUUUGUUUGGAUUUAUAAAAUUGAUUUAUAUAACCACCAGACGUAUUCGGGCCCACAAUUGAUCUCUUAAAAGCCUUCUGUGGGAAAGUACGGUGUCCACCAAAGAUAAAACAUUUUUUAUGGCAAUUGGUAUCAGUGUGUAUUGCAGUCAAGAAAAAUUUACAAGCGAGAGGAAUACAAGGAAAUAUAUGUUGUGCAAGAUGUGGGGCUCCAGAGGAAUCGAUAAACCAUGUGUUUUUCGAAUGCCCUCCAGCGAUUCAGGUUUGGGCGCUAUCCAAGAUACCGUCGAACCCGGCCAUCUUCCCGGCCAACUCCCUCUUUACAAAUAUGGAUCAUCUUUUCUGGUGCGUUCUCCCGCAGAUAGAGGAUCACCAGUUCGCAUGGAUAUUGUGGUAUAUAUGGAAAGAGAGAAAUAAUAAAGUUUUCAGUAACUUUGAUAUGGAUCCACGAGACACCCUUAAAUUGGCAGAAACUGAAUCAACCUUGUGGGGCGAGGCACAACUGUUGAAUAUACAGAGGGUAACACCAACUACACAGGUCGCAAUAGUGCCGUCCAUUCCAGGACGAUGGUGCUUUACAGAUGGCUCAUGGAAGGAACAUGAUUGUCUAUCCGGACAAGGUUGGUAUAGUACUUUGGAAGGCUUUGAUGGACUGAUGGGCGCACGAAACGUCUAUGCUUGUCUUUCCUCUCUUUAUGCAGAGGUGGAAGCUUUAGUUUGGGCAAUGGAGUGCAUGCGAAAUUUACGUCAAACAUUUGUCACAUUUGCAACGGAUUGUUUUCAAUUGGUGAAGAUAGUUUCGGAACCAAAAGAAUGACCAGCUUUUGCAAGUUAUUUGGAAGACAUCAAGAUCAUCAGGGAAAGUUUUAUAAGCUCAGAGAUCAUUCAUAUAUCAAGGACGCAAAAUAUUAAGGCGGACAGCCUCGCAUGCAGUGAUAGGAGACAACCGUUUUUUAUUGUUCACAUGGAUACGGAGCACCCGACAUGGUUUACAGAGUCUGUUUAAGUUGACGACAAAAAAAAAGUUACUGAAUUUUAAUUAUUCAAUAUAUAUUUAUUAUUUCAUAAUAUAUAAAAAAUAUAAUACAUAAAAUAAUUUGUAUAUAUAAUGCUCAUCACGCGCAAUCUUAAUUUAGUUUAAUUAUUAUUUCUCUAUCGAUAGGAUAUUUUAUUUUUGACCGAAAGUUUCACAAUGACAUGUCGAAUAGGAAUUUUCACAUCCGUGAUUUCUUAAAUCUCAAUUCGUUGUAAAACUAUUUUAUUUACAAUGAAUUGUUCUUCUUUUGUGGGUGAAAAUUACCACAAAAGGUUUUUUCAAAAAAAUAUUAACCACAAAAGGGUUCUCUAUAACUGUCAAGGUUAUUUUGGUUUUGGUUUUCUUUUUUUUGAGGUUGCAUUAUGUCGUGGUAGUGAUGAUUUAGCUUUGUUUGUCUAUGUCGCGUUUAUAGUUUGGAUUUGGUUACUAAAAAAUUGAUACUAAAUGAGUAUUGAACAUCAAAACUACUACAAAAGUGGUGUAUGCAUGUUAACUUAGAAUUCCUAGCCACUAAUAUAUGUAUCCGUAUUGUUGAUACAAAUAUUAAAAGGCAAAGUAAUCACUAUGACGUAAAACAACUUGUUAAAUUAUAAAUACAUAUCAAUAAAUCAACUUCACUUAAAAUUAUGUCAAUAAUCCCUGUGUAUACACCAAAAACUUGAAACUCUGUAUAUUUAAAAAGUCUUGAAGAGAGUAAUCAUGAUAACUUGAUUAAUACUUUUAAAUGAUAGACAUGAUUAAAAUGACAUAAGUAGCCUCGUGUAGCGCUUUGAAACUAUUGUCCUUCCCCGUAACCGGUUCUCUUGUCCCCUUCUGACGACACACAUACAGUUUGAACAGAUUUAUUAAAAAAACGAAAUUGGUCCCGUGUGAGAUAGUUAAAAAAUGGGCUAUUAUACUAAGUACAGCAUUUCAAAACUUUAUUUGUCGAUUUUUGACAGAUUAGGUGAUGAUUUUAAUUUGCCUAACUUAUAAACCGUUGAAAUUUAAAGGUGAUCACGCCCUGUCAAAACUUUUUACACUAAAUCAUAAACGAUAAAUAUAGUUUACAAAAUACUUUCAAACUAGGACUAAAAUAGUUAACACUAAACUCAAAAUCCCAACCUCAUUUAACCCAAAAAAAAUAGGUUUGAAGUUGGAUAGGAUUUAAAACAAUGAACCAAAUAUUCUUUCUAGUUUUACCCCUAAUGAAUAAAAACAUUAAUACUAAACCCGUAAUAAAUAAUGGAACACCGUUAGGCAUAGGACGGAUCUGGAUAUCCUGGAAAUUGACUGUAUCCAGAUCCGUGGAUUUAAUAUCCGAAUCCGGAUUUGUGGUUUCCGGAUAUCCGAAUUUCGGAUAUUGGUCUCGAUAUUCUAUAAUCUGCGAAUAUCUGGAUCUGGAUCUGUAAAAAUAAUUAAAAAUAAUAAUUUUUUUAAAAAAUAUUAUUUUUUUAAUAUAAUACAUAAAUUAAAUAUUUAUACAGAUCUGGAUCUGUAAAAAUAAUUAAAAAUAAUAAUUUUUUUAAAAAAUAUUAUUUUUUUAAUAUAAUACAUAAAUUAAAUAUUUAUACAAGAUUUAUAUAUAUAUAUAUAUAUAUACAUAUAUAUGUCUUUAAUAUUGUAAAAACUAAAAUAUAAUAUUAUAAGAUUAAUUUUUAUAUAAUAAUAUAUCAAAUAUAAAUAUUAAUGAAAUUUAAAAAUGUAAUGAGUUUUAAAAAUUCGGAUCCGGAUUCGGAUAUCCGGACCUAAAAACUAAGAUAUCUAGAUCCGAAUUCGGUUUGAACGGAUCUAAAAUUUUACUAUCCGGAUUCAGAUCCGGACAUUUCAGAUAUCCUAUUUUCGGGGUGGAUCCGGAGCAGAUCUCGGAUCGAAUCCGGAUCUCGGAUAAUAAGUCUGAGGCCUAAACACCGUAACUCUUACACCAUGAUGAAAAUCCAUGCACUAAAUAUUAGAGGUAAAAUACAGAAAUUAUAAAAUAUAUCCCUACAACUUCUGAACCAUAGAGAUUAAAGUUUAUCACGCCUUCACCUAAUUAACCCUAAACUAAAUAUAGAUUGGUAAAAUUGUCAAACCAAUAUAAAAAAUAUAGAAAACUAAACCCUAAACCAGUACAUCACUUAACCCAAAUGGCAUAGGUUUUUUGUUUGUUUAUCAUUUAAACAAAUAAGCAAAAUACUAACUACAGCAACACAAAUUGAAAACCGUAUUGGUCGAUUUUGACAGAUUAGUUGAGAAUUUUAAUUUUCCUAACUUAUAAACCAUAGAAAUUGAAAGUUAAUCACGCGCUUUCAAAUCUUUUAACAUUAAAUCAUAAAGGAUAAAUAUAGUUUGCAAAAUACUUUCAAGCAAGGAGUAAAAUAAUUAACUUAACACUAAACCCAAAAGCCCAACCUCAAUUAACCCGAAAAAGAAUAAGUUUAAAGUUUGUUAGGAUUUAAAAAAAAAAAGAAAUCAAAUAUUCUUUAUAGAUUUACCCGUAAUGAAUAAAUGAUUAAUUUAGGCGAAAGUUUGAAAAAAAAAUUAUAGUCGAAAAGAAAAGUAUAAAAACAACACAAAUAAAAAAUAUUAAACCCUAAACUCCUACCUUCUUAACCCAAAUCAUCUAGUAAACAAAGUCAUUAUUCUAAGGCACUAGUUAUUAAGGUAAUUUAAAGAUAUAAGGAUCGUUGCAUUUUAUAAUAAAAAACGGUGAAUAGCCUAAUAAAUUUUCAAUACCCAAACUGAUUCCACUGUAAUAAUUUGGGAAGUUUUAUAUUCCAUAUACCCUAAUCAAUGCGUUCGAGAACUAGUCACGUACCCGAAGUAACCGAAAAUCAACCCGGGGUCACAAUUGUAGAGAUUUCAACAUACUAUACACUAUUUAACAAAAUUUAAAAAUUACGUGCUAUGUCUGAAGAAAAUGUUACCCGCGAUUAUUAACCAUCAACUAAGAAAAAUUUGAAUGACCUAUGAACAUAAAAAUUUACCAAUUUUCCAACCAACCGGCUAAAUCUAUAUAUACUAAAAUGAACCAGACAUCGUAAAAGUAUAAUGGAUUGCUAUUUCCAGUCCCUGAUUUCAGUAUACCAAUACACAACGAGCUUUAUUUAUAUUGAAGUCACAUACCCGUUGUAAACCAAAACGCAAACCGGGUCACUCUUGUGGAAGAAGACUUUUGUAAACCGUAAGAAAGAUAAUGAUCUGAUCAAAUAAUUUAAAACUAAAUAAAAAUGCAGAAGUUAUGUGUUGUCAUGUUAAAGAAGGACGUCAUCAUAGUCACUACAAAUUCCCUUUGUUGUUAUGCGACCGGUUGCAUAGGGGCAAUGUCGGCAUUAUAGCAAAUACACAGUAUGAUAGCCAUUUACCUAAUAAAAUAAUUUUUCAUAGCUAGUCACCGCAAAUUCCCUAUUUAAAAAGUCUUGAAGAGAGUAAUCAUGAUAACUUGAUUAAAUCUUUUAAAUGAUAAGAAGUCCAUGUCGCGCAAUAAGACAAAAGAAGGAAAAAGAGAAGAAAAAAAAAAGACAAGAUCUAAAGAUAAAGAAGACAACAAGUCAGAAGUCCACUACCAAAACAACCGAAGGUAGUAUGAUAGUUCUGGGACCGAUCCACGAAACUCCCUCAAACCCUUCCUUUCUAUAAGCUUUCUUCACUAUAUAAUUACCAUAUACUCAUCCUCACUCUACUUCACAUUUACAAACAUAUACAAAGAUCAAUAGGGUUAACUAGGAGUGAAGAUAGAUGGCAACUAAGCAAGAAGCUUUAGCCAUCGAGUUCAUAAGCCAACACCUUCUCACAGAUUUUGCAAGCCAAGAUCACCACCUUCACUCAGAAACAACCCCAAGAACCAUAGGAAACCAUAACCCUAAACCAAACUCUACUCUUAACCGUCGUAAACCUCCCUUACCGAACCUAUCCGUUCCGGUCUCUAGUACGAUGAAGAAGCCAGAGGAGGAGGAGGAGGAGGAGGAGGAGGAGAAAAGACACUACCGAGGAGUGAGGAGGAGGCCAUGGGGAAAGUAUGCAGCGGAGAUUAGGGAUCCUAACAAAAAGGGUUCUAGGCUUUGGCUUGGGACUUACGACACCGCCGUAGAAGCUGCAAGAGCUUACGACCUAGCGGCGUUUGAGUUGCGUGGGAGAAAAGCAAUCUUGAAUUUCCCUCUAGAUGUGAGGGCUACGUCAGAAAGUUGUUUCGUCGGAUUAGGGAAACGAAAGCGGCUUAAGAGCUUCGUGGCGGAGGAAGAGACGGUGCCGGUUAGGGUUAAAGCUGAGGAAAAGGAGAGUGAUACCACGGUGGCUGAGGUUGAAGCGGUUCCUUUGACGCCGUCAAGCUGGAAAGGGGUUUGGGACUUGGGAGCAGGAGACGGGAUAUUCAGUGUUCCUCCGUUAACUCCGACGUCUCCCAGCUCCGCUACUUGAAACUUCUGAAUUGUCAACGGUUGGUGACGCUUUCACCUGCUUCACUCUCAUAAUUUCUUUAUUCUUUAUAGUAUACUAAUACAAGCGGUAGUGUACAAACAUCAGAUUAGUGUUUUACUACCAAUCAUUUUAUUCGUUAAUUUUUUUUUUAUAGGGGAAGUGUGGAUGUUGAAAAUCUAAAAUGAUAUUUUGUAUUUGUUGAUAUUCUUGUGAAUUCGUUGAUUGUAUAAAAAUUCUUGUUCAUUAUAGUUUUUCUUCAAGUCAUAUCUACCCUCACUGCCAACUAAUUAGUCAAUAGAGUAUACAAUUAGAACAGGACAAAGGUAAACCUAGCUAUUAAAAAAAUGCUAAUUAGUCAAUAGAGUAUACAAUAAGUAGUUAUUUACACAUAAAAAUAAACGUCAAAGUUAAGAUUUUCAAAUUUUCAAUAGUGGAACACACCAUCAAUGGAUAAUGCCGCCUAAGAUUAUCUAAAAAGCAUCCAUAAAAAGGAUGUGUAAUCAACAUUAUCUUACACAUCAUUAUAAAAUUAAGAUCAUUUAUUAAUCUAUUCAUAAAAUAUGAUUAAUCUUAGGGCUGGGCAAAUAAACCGAACCCAAAAAUCCAAACCGAACCCGAUCCGAUAAAAAUGAAUCUGAACUGAUCCGAACCCGACAUAAAUACCGAAUGGAUCUUGUUUUAUGGUAUUUCGGGUUAUGGAUAAUAUCCGAAGCGAACCCGAAAUUAAAUGGAUAUCCGAUAUAACCCGAAACAUUCAAAAUGCCAAAAAAGAACUUGUACCAAACAUGAUCUCAAUUCCUGAUACGUUGCCAAAAUACACUAAUAUAUUAUUAAACAUCUACAAUAACUAUCUACUACAUGAAGGUUGAUAGUUGAAAGUGGCGGUUGAGGCUUGAAAUUUUUAGAUUUUGGUUUUAUUUUCAUUGAAUAAUUUUUUUCAUUUCAUGAGAAAUUAAUUUUUCGUUUUAUGAUUUCAUUUAUUGGUUUUCUUUCUAUCAAUAAUAACGUUUACCUUUUGUUUGACUUUUAAUGAUCAUGUUUGAUGUUUUUUUCCUUAUUUUUGAAUCGAUUUUACUUAUGUUUUGGUUACAAAAUAAGUACAAAUCAAGUACUUUAAACCCGAAGAACCGAUUUUACUUAUGUUUUGGUUACAAAAUGGAUAUAAAUCAAGUACUUUAAAACCGAAGAACCGGUUGGAACCCAAAACCUGGAAGUACAUCGGGUUGUACUGGUUCUUUGAAGAUUUACUAACCCCGAUCCGAACCCGAUAAAACCCGAACCGGUCCCGAACCGAACUUUUAUAUAAUCCGAAUGGGGAUGAUUUUGAUAAACCCGAAAAACCGAUACCCGAUUGGACAAAACCGAAACCCGAUUAGGAUCCCGAAUGCCUAUGCCUAAUUAAUCUAAUACUAUUAAAAUAGAAGUCACAACUUCUUUUGAUGUGUGAUUUUUUUUUUUUAAAUGUACUAUCUACUAGAAAGUCAUAAAAUUUAGUUGCCCUAUCAUUUAAUUUCAUAUUAACAUCACAUAAGUCCCACAUUGCAUAAAUCGGCUAAUGUCUAUGAUUUAAAAACAUAGCAAAACCUUGCUAUAUAAUAUAAGUCGUGACUACUAUAAUAAAACAUUUCUAUCAAACACUAUAUGAUUUUAACUCGUGUUUCUUCUUUAGGUUUACUUUUUUUCCCUGACAUCCUUCGACAUGUUUACUACAUCAAGAAACCUCAAAGUUUCUCCUUAGAGUAUCUCCAAAAAAACUCUCUAUUAUAGAGUUUUGCAAACUCUAUAUUUGAAGUUUCAAGGUGUUUUUCUCCAAAAGCAAAACUUCAAAUUUAACUUCAAAAUUAUUUAUAAUUUAUACUAUGCUCCUUAUAUUUGUCAUAAUUAAUAUAAAUCCAUAAAACUUUUGUAGAUAACUAGCACAUAUAUAAAAUAUUAUAGUAAUAUUAAUUAAUAAAAUAUUACACUAAAAUAUAAAAUUAUAAAUAGAAAUACAUAAUUAAAUAUUAAACUACAAGAAAAAUACCACAUUACUACAUAAAAUUAUUUUAAAAUGUUCUAUUUUCGGUUAUACAAAAUUUGUUUGGAAAAUAUUUUAAAAGUUCUGAAGAAAAUUUACUAGACUAGUAGUGUUGAUGUAAUAUUUAAAUUUGUGUAAUAAUUAUGUCUUCAUGUAUAUAUCUUCUUUAAAAAAAUUAUUAAGUUUCUUUUGUAAUAUUCUUGUUGUCUAAUUCUACUUUUAAAAUAUUAUAAAUCUUAUUUUGAUUUUUAAAAAAGCUUCUAUAUGUAAAAUUUUAAUUUAUAGAAAUAAAUUUGAAAUAUUUAAAGUAUAAAAAAGUUUUAAAGAUUAAAAUUAUGGAUGAGAAAAUACUUAAAAAUCAUAAAUGUGAUGUAUAAUUAAUUAUAAGGACCAAGAUGCAAAUAAAAAGAUGAAACUUCAAAUUUAGAGUUUUAAGAAGUGAAAACUCUAAAUUUGAAGUUUUGAAGUUUCUUUUUGGAGAGCAAAAAACUCUAUAUUUGAAGUUAUAGUGUUUCUUUUAGAGAGCAAAAAAACUCUAUAUUAAGAUCAUUUAUUAAUCUAUUCAUAAAAUAUGAUUAAUCUAAUACUAUUAAAAUAGAAGUCACAACUUUUUUUGAUGUGUGAUUUUUUUUUUUUUAAAUGGACUACCUACUAGAAAGUCAUAAAAACAUAGUAAAACCUUGCUAUAUAAUAUAAGUCGUGACUACUAUAAUAAAACAUUUCUAUCAAACACUAUAUGAUUUUAACUCGUGUUUCUUCUUUAGGUUUACUUUUUUUCCCUGACAUCCUUCGACAUGUUUACUACAUCAAGAAACCUCAAAGUUUCUCCUUAGUCCACAGACAUUAAGUGGAUCACUGAAACUACUCUAAACAUAUAUAUAGUAUAGUGCUGUGGCCAUGAACAAAUUAACACUCAAACACGACUUGAAAUGUUGCUAAUCGGGUAUUCUUUUUUAACUAUCGUGAUCCUAUUUUUUUUUAAUUGAAGUCAAUACUGUUUUCUUUGAACAUAAUGUUACAUCUUUAUACACCUUUACCACAUUAUUCACUUGGAGAAGAUGAACAUGGUGGAGUAUUCCGUAGUAAAAUCCGAAAUAUUCCAUUAAUAAUAUGGAUAUAUUCUUCUAAUUAACCUUAAACCGAAAUUGGCUCGCAUUAAAAAAACAACUAAUUAUUGUACACAAGUUUCGGUAUUUAUAACCAUUUUUGGUUAACUAAUCAAUUAAUAUCAACGAAAAUAUUGCCAAAUAGUUAAAUAUAUCUUCAAAUUAAAUUAUUCCCCAAAUCGUGCUCAAAUAUCGUCAAUGUAUUGAUUUUAUAUAUUAAAACAAAAGUCACAACCUUGAUUCAUGUGUAAUUUUUUUUUUUUAAAUGGACCUAAUGGACAUAUUCCUACAAAGUCAUGUUACAUUUAAUCUCUAAUCUUAUCAUUUAAAUAUUGGGUCUACCAGAAAUUUUUAUUGGGCUAUCAGUAAUCUUAUAUAUUAAAACAGAAGUCACAACAUUGAUUCAUGUGUGAUUUUUUAAAAAAUGAACCUAAUUGACAUAUUCCUACAAAGUCAUGUUACAUUUAAUCUCUAAUCUUAUCAUUUAAAUUUUGGGCCUACCAGAAAUUUUUAUUGGGUUCUCAAUAAUUGGAUUUAAAGAAUAGAAGAUCCAUUGAAUUUAUAGAUAUUAUAAAUUAAAUAGAUAUAAUUUAAUGUUGUAAUACUAUACCCCAUAUGUUAAAUAUUUAAAUAUUUGUCGAUGUUAACUUUUAAAAUUAUAAAGUUUUUUUUUAAAAAAAUAACAAAAAUCAGAUUAUCUAACAAUGGUUAGUCUUUACUAUCUUAAACCAAUGAAAACAAAUUUUAAACUAUAUAGUUUAUUUUAAAAAUUAAACAAAAACUAAAUGUUUAAUUAUUUACUUGAUAAUAUAAAUCUAUGAAGCGAAAAGUUUAAUUUUUAAAAAACUUUCUAAAUUUGUGAAAUGUUACAAUAUCUUUGAAUAUGACAAUAAAACAAUAUUUUACUAAUCUUUAUAUAUAUAGUUACGAUUUUAAUAAUGAAAUAAUAAUCCGAAAAUAUAUAUAUAGAAGAAGAUACAAAUACAUGUAAAAGUUUAAAAUAAUCUAUUCAAUGAAAAAAAAUAUACCGUAAACUUAUUAUGUUUUUAAAAUUGAUAGACAUAUAUAUUAUAAUAUAUGCCAAUUUAGAACCGAAAACAAAAUAUUUAUAUAAAAAUCAAUGAAAACAAAAAUCUACGCGGUUGCGCGGGUCGAGUUCUAGUCUAUACUAUUAAAAGAGAAAGAAUCCUAAAAAAUCUACUUAAACAAGGUUGUUGGACCAAUUCAUUAAAUUUAAAUAUGUUUUAUUUUAUAAUGCUUUAGUUGAUCAAAAUAUUUACUUAAUUAAAUUAGAUUUUCAUUUUCAGAUUGAUAGAUUUUGAACGUACAAAAUAUAUGGUGUGCCCUUACCUAACUUGCAACAACUUUUUAAUGUUAUAGCUAAAUUAUAAAUAAGUUUGAAUCAAUUCUAAUUCAUCACCCACGUAUAAAUCAAAACGACCAUUGAACCAAUCCUAAUUCAUCUAAAUUUAUUUCUAUGAAAGUGGAUUAUCACUACUACUAUGAUUAGAACUUAAACGACCUUGACACAUAUAAGACUCAAUCCAUAAUCACAAACAAAUUAUUUUAUUCAGAAUAUAAAAUUAAAAGUAUAUUAGAAUUUUAACUAAUUAAAAAAAUAUAUAUAUAUAAUUAAUUUAUUUUAGGUUUUUACCAGGUCAACUAAUACCGAAUCGCGGUUAAUGGCGGUUUUCAGAAUUAGUAUGCUUUAAAUUAAUUAGUUUUCAUUAAAUUCACGUUUAUCUGUUUGACUGCGUUGUACAAAAACAUUAAUCUUAUCUAAUUUAAAAUAGAUGUGCUAAGUGCUAGUUAAAAAUGAAAUGAUCACAAAAUAUAUAAACUAAAAUUAAAUUAAAAAAUUACAAAUAUAAUUUCAUAACUAAUUAAAAUAAGAUAAUAGAACACAAUAUAUACAUAUAUAUAUUCAUGAGUUAGAAAAAAUACAUAUUAUAUACAUCGAAAGAUGAUAAAAGUUUAGUGUAAAUUAUAGUUAGUGAUACCAAAAUAUAUUAUAAAGGACUCGAGCUGUGUCUAUUUUUUCUCAAAAAAAAGAGCAAUGUCCUAAUGCUUUUAAAUAUCAUUGGUAUAAAAACCAAACUAGGUAUUUGAAGUUUUGUGGUUUAAGUUCGAAUUGGUUCCUUUUAGAUUCGGGUCAGUUCGAAUCCAUAAUUUUAAUAUCUAGGAAAUCCUUGUAAUAUUUGGGUACGUAACGCGUCCGGAUUGGUUUGAUUAUUUAGAAACCAAAGCAAGCCUUGAUAUACCUAAAACCCCUAUGAAAGAGUUAUAUAAAAGUGUACACAAAAUUUUAAAUAAACUAAUUCAUGAACAUUCAUCCAUUAAAGUACAUAGCUUCUAGAGUUUCGAUCUAGAAAAAAAGGCACAAUCUUUGCUGCAAAAAAAAGAUCUUAUCUCGUUGUUGUCGGCAAAUUAAAAAUAUUAGCCUUUAACUUAACAAAGCGAAUUUAACUGUUAAAACUCAUUUAAGUUAAAAAAUAUAACAAACUCAAUUAACUUCAGACCCAUUUUCAAUUCUUUUUUUUAAAGCCCAAAUUAUGAAGACAAUUUUAUACAUAAAUACAUAUAAAUAUAACAUUAUUUAAAUAGUAUAGAUUUUUAAUAAUAAAACAUUUGUCUCAAACUGAUUUUUUUAAAGAUUUAUAAUAUAGUUACUAUUAAUAAAAAAAAAAAAAUUGGUUCACUAUUUUGGUACAUUGAUAGUUAAUGUACUUACAAAUAAACUUAAUAACAGUUGUUAUUUAAUAAUUAACAUGUUGGUAUUAAUCUUCAGAUUUUACGUACGAAAAAAUAUUUCUUAUGCAAUUCAAAUAUAUAUUGAUAUAUCAAAAUUCUAAAACAAAAAUUAAAAUUAUAUUCUUCUCAGUGGGUUAAUAACGGUUUUUUUUUAUUUUAAGAUAUUUUUAGCAUAUUCGUUUUAUUAUAUACUACCCUCACUAUAUAUGAAUAACUGGAUCUGUCAGUUCGGCACAGACUCGGAUAUGAAAACUCAAUAAAAAUAUUGUACCGGACUGAAAUAAUAAUAAUAUAACAUAUUUUAAAUAUUAUAGAUAUCUAAUAAUAGACAUAAAUUCAUUUAAUAUUUGGUUUUACGGUCAAUAAAAAAAUACAAGUGCUUCUUAAACACGGAUCAAAAUCUAGUUAAUAUUAUUACUAGGUUAGGAGUGUAAUUGUCAAGCAACUGAGCAAGGUGGGGCUUGGUUUUGGUUUAUAUAUGUGGAGCCCUAGAUAAUUAAGUAGAAAAUCAAGUUGCUUCAAAUCAUAUCCUAGCAAGUAGCUGGCAAGGUAACCCUACAUGAAAAGCAACUUGACGAAUUUGUCUCUCCUCUAGUCCUCUUUCGGGUGAACGUUAUUAUACAUGAUGUAUCUUGAUAUGUUAGGAGGACAUUCACCCAUAAUAAGCUAAAACCCACCACCGUUUUAGCAAAUAACUUAGGAUUUGAACCAUAUGUGGCUCAAGAGAAUGAACUCUACAAGAAUCAAACUAGAUGCUAGUGAAGUUAGUCACCAUCAGAGACAAAAUCAAGUUGGCACAACUUGAAUGAGUACUGACAAAAGAUCUUAACUUGUCUCCAUAAAUGGUUAAUGGGUAUAUAGGAAUGGGGGUCCACUAGAGUAAACCAGAGAGACAGAGAAAGACUAAUGACACCUUACACCAAUGGCUGCCAAACACAAGUUGGAUGCAGGAAAAUAUGAUGCUCCGGUCAAUUCUUGCCAGAAGAGGAGAAAGAAGUGAUGCACCAGAGUCUCAAGCAUCGUCAUCAAACUACUGGGACUAGUGAUUCUUAAGUUUGAUUAGUAUAUGUAAAUAUCAUGUACAGAACCAAGCAAGUGUUUAAUUAUAUAAGAUCAUUAUUUUUUUUUUCUUUUUGACAAAUAAGGUUAUUAAUUUUACGUACAAAACUCAAUUUUUUCAAAUGUAUAAAAAUCAACAUUUAUCUACUCGUGUAGUCGCGUGUGUAUGUGCAGUGUUGAGGAAAAAAAACACAAUAAUGCAUGUUAAUUGGCGAGUUUAGCCUUGUAACGUUUAACCUUUUUCUAUUUAAUUAGAUGUGAUCUCCACUCCUUAAUAGCAGAAAGAAGAGACUGAUUAGGUAGAAGAGUUUGGUUGGGGAAGGGCGCAUCCGUCAUUGGAGAUUUAUGAUUCUUCUCGAGCCAUUCCAUAAUGGCUUUCUUCUCGUAUGUGUAUCCAUCCGAAGCAACACAUGGAUUAUCCAUCACAUCCUAAAAUUACCAUACUAAAAUGAUCAAAACCAAACACAAAAAAAAAACAAUAUAUAUGUAGUAAAGAUUCGAUCAUUAUCAUUACCUUAGUUAUUGGACAGUAGAAAUGGCCCGGAGCGUGGUGGUUAUGGUCAACUAGGGUUUCAGUAAACAUGUUUCUUGCGUUACAAGAAACGUCCUUUAACCGUUCAAGAACCGGUAGAAUCUCUUUCCCUAGAUCAGGACGGUCAAGCUUCCUCAUCUCCGCACAUCUAAGCCCUAUCAUAACCAUCUCUUUCGCUUCCUUAACCGGCCAAUCACCAGCAGUCUUAUCCAAGAUCUCUGAAAAUUUCCCGGUUUGAUCUCUCAACGCUUUCUCUAACGAAUGAGCCAACCCCAUGGCUGACCUAGCCGUGGCUAGCUGAAGAAGUAUGAUUCCAAACGCGUAGAUAUCGGACUCAGGAGUCACCACACCGGUUCUUUGGUACUCCGGAUCAAUGUAGAAGAACGUUCCUACCGGACCGGUUUGGUUAAAAACCGUUGAGGCAUGAGAAGGAUCGAGAUUAACCAUUUUGGAGAGGCCUACGUCUCCGAUUUUGCUCACGUUGUUCCGGUCUAGGAGUAUAUUUGCCGGUUUAAGAUCGCGGUGGACGAUUGGUCUUGGCUCGUUUGUGUGGAGAAAGUAGAGAGCUGAAGCUAUCUCCCAAGCGAUUCUUAACCGCUCAAACCACCUUAACGGCGGUUGCGGUGCGUCAGAGUUUGGUCUGCGUGUCAUGAGUCUUUCCUCGAGGCUUCCGUUGUGCAUAUACUCGUAGACUAAGCUGCCGUGGUCAGGACAUGCGCCUAGGAGGAGAAGCAAGUGUGGGUGACGAAUCUUGCUAAGAAUCUCAAGCUGAAGAAGUAUCAACCAAAAGAGCAAUCGUUUGAGAAAAUAGCAAUAUUCCAAAAAAAACAACAAUUUUCUUAAAUCAAUGCAAAUAGGUUUAAAUCUGCUAAACAAAUUCAAAUCGUUCUAUAUGGUUUAAAACAAUUUAAAUUAGUCUAAAUCAAAUAAAAUCAAAAUAAAUUAUGACUAAUUUAAUUACACUAUCUUCACAGUCAAUUUAUCUGUAAACAAGUGAUGAUUUUCUAAUCUCUCAAUUUUGUUUCUUUUUCUUUUUCUUAUAUUUAAAAUAUUUCAACAAAAUUGUUUUCUAAUUUAACAUUAUUUAUAAAAAUAUGCAAUAUAUAUAUAAAAAUAAACGAAUAAUUCGUUGAAAGCUAAAGCUUAGACUUGAUUUCGAAUAAUCUGCCUAAUAGUUAAUAAUCUAUAUUACAGCUUAACCAAGGAAAAUAGUAAUCUUGCUUGAAGGUUAUAAAAAGUAAAAGGAAAAUUGUUUUAUUUACCUCUUGGUGAAACUGUUUGGUUAAGUUACUUUUGUCUGAAUGAAGAACCUUGACAGCUACUGUCGUGUGAUGCAAGUUACACCGAUACACGCUUCCGUACCCGCCCAUUCCAAUUUUAAGCUCAUCAGAGAACGAGGAAGUAGCCUGAACGAUCUCAUCCCACUCAAAUUUCAUGUAUUGUUGGCGUUGAAGCGGUCCUCCUUCAAGUGCAUCCUCUAGCCUCUGCUUCUCCUUUCUAACCUCUUCGGCUCUUGCUUGCGCCUCAAGUUUGUCCUCAGUUUCUCUCUCAACGCAUCUUCUCACGAGCUCAGCUUCGUUUUCCGCCUGCUCUUGUCUCUCCCUCUCCAUCUCCACCACUUCGUCCGCGUCUUCUUCUCUUAUCGUUAAGUUCUUGAGCCUCGUAGCUUCCUCUGACCUACGCUGGUUCAGAUCUUGAACCUUUUUAGAAGCAUCCAUGACUUCUCCUUGAGCAACUGCAUACAUUCCUUUAAUAUGGCGGAGUUCAAUCUUCAGCUUCUCUAGCUCAAAGUCUUUAUUCACCUACAUGUUAACAAUGCCACAUUCAAAAACUAUAAAUAUACUUAAAUGAAUCAACUCCACUCCUUGUACCUGGCUACUAGAUGAAGUAGGGUCGCUGGAGCAACUUGAGCUUGAACCCUCAUCUGUAUAAGACCUUCUCCUGCCUUGUAUAUCACUUCCUCCAUACCCGAUUCCCGAGCUGUUUGUUCGGUAAAAGCCCUUCUGGUUAAGCAUCUUUGUAUCCACAUCUAGAGAGGCAGUUCUGUUAUGGUGUGUAUCAAUGUUGUUAUUUGUUCCAAUCUUUGUGCCAACCUUCUGGUUAACGGUUGAAAGAGCUUGCAUUCUUUGGAAGAGUAAAGGUGUAGAUGAGAAUUGAUGACUUGAUGUGGAACUUACUGACCCUAGAAUGUUUAUAAAAUAAAAUAAAAAAAUCAAACCGGUUUUCAAGAACUUCUUGUGUCCUAAAGAAGUAGUUAUUACCUGAAUGGCUACUUGAAGUGAACUGGUUUUCGCUUCUAUCAUCUGUAAUGCUUGUUUCAAUGUCUAUAUCGGAUUUACGAACAUUGAGAAGCUUUCCUUUAGAGAUAACGUGAACGGUGCAGAAUCUUGGUGUAACAUCUGAAAUCUUUGAAGACAAGUUGCUUCUCUUCAACUUCCUGCAAAAAACAAAAAAAACAAAAUAUAAUUUAAGGAAUUGAAAAAUUCCGAAAGAUUUAAAACUUGUUUUGGAUAUUUUAUACCAUGAGAAGAUAACAGAAGAGGAAGCUCCAAUGACUAGCUCACUGAUUCCAUGAUCUUGAACCGCUUUAUAGAUUGCAUCUGCUACAUCAUCUGAUUCAAGCACCAUUAUAUCCAUUUGUACCUAUCACAUUUUCACAAGAUACAAGUUCUUGAUAACAAAAAUAAGAAACAAGAAAUUAAAUCAAGUGGUCCAGAUUAAAAUACCUCUCUAUGAGCGAACAUGUCUCUGCUUGGAAGAAGCAUUUCUCUUGUUUUCCUGUCAACAUCUUUCUUGUAAACCGUUGUGGUUGAAUAUUUUCUUGCGGUUGAAACCGAAAUUGAAUCUCCUAUUUUUUUCACAAAAUAUGGAUCAAGUGUUUUUUUUAGUAAAAUGUUAAAUUUUAUAUUAAUUUUUAUAUUUUUUGAAAAAUUAUAAUGAGAAUUCAUGGCGGAAUGCAAAAAUGAAACUAAACAGCUAGAAACUAGGACGGCAAAUAACUGAACCCAACGUAGAACCGGACUUAGCCUAAUAACCAGCUAGACAACGAGACUGGCUCGGACCGAAGAAAACGGGUGAGCCUAAUAUCAGAUCAAGUUUUAACUUAAAAGGUUGUAACGUUUUGUAAUAUUCUUACUUGGCUGGACAUGUAAGAGUUUGAAGACGACAUGUUCUUGAGAAGCGAAUUGUUGAAGUGCCCAACGAACAACGCCUUUUGUUUUGCUGUUGUUUCCUUUGAUCGCCACCGCUACGAUUAAAGCUCCAUCUCCCAUUUCUUCAACUUCAGCGGCUAAGAUCUGAUGAUCCAAGAAACUACAGAAACCAAGAAACGGUUAGAGAUAAGUUCUGAAGAUAGCUGAUGGAUUUGACUUAUUUCAAGCUUUUUGUUUCCUUAAUCUGGUUGUUGAAAUGAUUUAAGAGCUUAGAGAGACAAAGAGAGGUGAAGAGAGAGAGUCAUGACUUGGUAUGUUUUUUACUUUUGGAACAACUUGGUAUGCUUUUUUGAUUAAUUAAUGUAGUUACAAAGACAUGUUCUGUGGACAAAACAAACAAGCUGAAUCCUUAAUGGAUAAAAUAAUUUAUAAAAUAAUAUUUAUUCAAAAAAGUAACAUAACAAGAUGGAAGACCUGAUUAACUAAUUCAACGGGUAAGAUUAUAAGCGUUUAAGGUUUGUUUUAUUAAAUUUUAAGAAAAUACCAGAAAGUCUUAACAAUGGUAUCAGAUAAGAUUUGAAGAUAUCUAACGAUUUCUUUUGACUUGCUUGAAGCUUUCCCAGAAACUCGACGAAUGGAUGUGAAGGAGAGAGAGAAAGAGAAGAAGAAGAUGACGAAUCAAAUUUGAGUCAGUGAAAUGGUCAGUUGAUUAAAUAAAUAUCUAUAUUUUAAACCAGGAUUUCAAAAAAGUAAUGAUUAAAAGGUUAAGGGAAUGAAAGUGUCAAAAAAGUCUAGAUGAUUUUUUGUUUGUUUGUGUGAUGUCUCUUCCACAAAGGUUUGAGAAGCGAGAUGACGUUGUAAGGUUUUGUCGUGGGAUUUUGUCGGACUACCAACUUGUUUAUUCUAUAUUCUUGACUUUUCAAGUUGUGAGGUUUUCGCUGAUAAAUAGUGAAUACAUACGAUUUAUCUUUUGUUUUAGCUUUCUUGUUCAACUACAAUAUGACUCUUCUUUUGCGAAUCUUGUUGUAGUGACAUGAAAUUGAACUUGAUGAUAAUUUUCAUGUGGUUUGACCUUGGUUUUAAAAGCAAAUGAAUCAUGACAUAAUACGUGAGAGAACUUAUCCAUAGCAGCUCCUUUCUUGGACCUCGUUGCGUCGAUAUACCUCCCAGUAAAAUUAUCACAUGAAUCUUCCCGUCACAAUACAAUCUGAACCAAAACGUCUUGUGGUCUAUACUCCAACUAAUAAACUUCUCCGCAUGAAUCUUUAGUAUUUGGGUACUUGAGAAGUUUAACAGUAAAACAGAAAAUCCCCUAUAAAGCUUUCAGAUGCGGAUGCUCACCUCUUAAAUGGAUGCAUGUCAGAUAAGUUAGACGACAAGUUAAUUUGAUCUACUUAUUCAUGCAACAGAGCAAUUGAAAUACAGAUGUACACGUGACCAUUUAUUGAGACUGUCCUUCUACAACUCUUUUGAGUGACAUGUGAACUUUUAAACAAAGUUACUCUCUCCGUUUUUUUAAUAUAAGUCGUUUUAUAAUUAUGUACAUAGAUUAAAAAAAAAAAUUUUUUAUAUUUUCUAAACAAAACAUCAUUAAUUAUUUACCUAACCACAAAUCAAUCAAUAAUAAAAUAAAAACUAUAUUAUCAUUGGUCAUAUAACAUUAAAUGUUAAUAAAUUUUACAUAGAAAACCAAAAACGUCAUAUAAUUUGGAACAUAAAAAUUUCUGUAAAACGACUUAUAUAAAAAAUGGAGGGAAUAUUACGUACCAACUAGUUUGUCAUUUACUCGGUUACUGUACAACCAUUUAAUUACUUGGUUACUGUACAAUUUUUAAUACUCAUUCAGUUUCACAAAACAUUUAAUAUUAUGAAACACAUAUACUAGUAGUAAUAAAUAGCAUUAUUUUCAUUGGAUUACUCUUGGAUGUAUUAUAGUGCAGGUCCAAUAAUAUGAGCAUACAGAUGUACUUUUAGCAUUUAUUAUGUUCAUUAAAUGGCUUUGAGUUGUUAACAUUCAAUGUUGGACAAAAUAACAGGUGCUGGAAAUCUGAGAUAAGGAUGUUAUGGGGAAUAAAACUUUUAAUUAUGCGUUUGAUAAACACAGUUUUAACUUUAUCACUGAUCAUGUGCAUUUAUUGACCUUAACCUCGAGUGGACAUUUCGUGGUUGAUAUGAUAGUGUAGGUGUGGGUUCUUUUCUUGGAGAUGGUCCAACAUCUUCAUAUCAUCAGUCUAUGUAAUUCUAUUUGGACUGAAAUAAGUUUUUAAUAGAAUUUGUAGUUUAGUGGUGUGUAUUAAUGUUGGCAAAAAAUAGAAUGACAAAUCCUUGAUUUAAUGAAAAUAUAAAUCAAGAGUUUUUUUUUCUUAAGGAGGUUCAAAAUGAGAUUACACUUUUAUCAAACAAGAGUAGAAAGAAAUACAAGAAGAUUAAAUCAAAAGACAUAUCUCUUUUCUUUUUCUUUUUGACAAAAAAACAAAACAAAAGACAUAUAUCUCUCUUCAUCUCUAUUGUUGUAAUCUGGCAUCUCAUCACACAAGAAACAAAGGAGGAACGAAAAGCACACACACACAAAAAAAGAUCACUGAACCAAAUUGUACUUAUCUCUCUCAUUAUUAUUUAUUAGAUUUCCACUCCAUGAUUGCUGAGUAAAGAGUGUAAUUAGCAAGAAGGUUCUUGUUAGGCAACGGUAGGUUUGUCACUGGGGACGUAUCAUUCUCUCUAAGCCAGUCCUGUAUAGCUUCACGAUCGUACGUGUACCCAUCUGCAGCCACGCAUGGCUCGUUCAUCACUCCCUAUAAUCAAUACAAAUAAAAUUUAGGUUAAAUCAUUUCUUGCCAUGCAAGUAAAAAAUAAUGUACAAACCUUGAGAAGUGGACAAAUGAAAUGGGAUGGAGGACCAGAAGGUGUUCUCCCGAUAAGGUUUUGAGCUUUGUCAACGACUUUCCUAAGCCGCUCCAAAGCCGGUAUGAUCUGAUCCUUAAGAUCAGGUCUAUCUCUGCGUCUUAGUUCAGUACAACACAGCCCUAAAGCAGCUAAUUCACGAGUCUCGCUAAUAGGCCACGGUCCAGCUUUCACGUCCAACAAUGCCAUAAACUCAGCAUCAUCUCCAAUAGCUUCUUCAACCAUAUGAGUAAUAGCUAUCGCGGGCUUGCCUGUUAUCAGCUGCAGAAUCACAAUCCCUAGUGAAUAUACAUCGGACUUGGGUGAGAUGAUCCCUGUCCGUUGAUACUCAGGGUCGAUGUAACAUAGUGUUCCCACGGGACUUGUUUUCUUGAAGACGGUUAGUUUAGAAGCAGCGUCGUCUUGGUUAACCAUUGUGGAGAGACCAACGUCGCCUAAUUUGCUGACGAAGUUGUGGUCAAGUAAGAUGUUUCCUGGUUUGAGGUCACGGUGAAUGAUUGGUCUAGGCUUGGACUUGUGGAGGAAGACUAGCGCUGAAGCGACUUCUAAAGCGAUCCUGAAACGCUCGAACCAAGGGAUAGCAGGUGUGUCGUUGACUUGCAUCAACCUGUCAUCUAAGCUUCCGUUAUCCAUGUACUCGUAGACCAAGCAGCCUCGUUCGGGACAUGCCCCGAGGAGGAGGACUAGGUGAGGAUGUCGGAUCUUGCUCAAGAUCUCAAGCUGUCAAAACAUAAAUGCGAAAUAUUUUAGACUCUUAUUGGUAAAAUUUGGUAAACAAAAAAGAAACUGAGGAGUGAAGUAAGCCAUUAGAUAAUUUACUAGAGUCGGUCCGAGAGUGCAUAAAAUUUUUAAGGUAAAACUUGAUAAAAUUUUCUUCUUAUAAUAUAGGUCUUAAGACUUAUUUAUAUUUACUUUUAAAAAUUUAGGAGUCAAGACGAAUGUUUCAUAAGACUUGUCAUGUGAUGCAGAUUACAUUUGUAAAUUUAGGAGUCAAGAGGAAUGUUUCAUCAUGCCUUGUUUAAUGUAACUAGAAAACUGACCUCUUGAUCAAACUGUUUAGAGAGCUGAGUUUCUCCUGCAUGAAGCACCUUGACAGCGCCGGUCGUGUGAUGUAGAUUACAUUUGUAAACCGUUCCAUAGGCUCCCAUUCCGAUCUUGAGAUCUUCAGAAAAGUCAGAAGUCGCGACUGCAAUCUCCUCCCAUGAGUAGUGUUGGUACUGGAUCCCUGGAGAGACGAGAGAAGCCUGGAGCUUAUCUUUCUCUUUUGCAUCGCGCUCUGCUUUGAUCUCAGCUUCUCUUCUACGUAAAGCCUCUUUCAUCAUGAGUUCUUUAACCUUCUCUGCCUCCUUCAUCGUCUCUUCGUACCUCUGCUUCUCCUUUGAAGCUGUAUCUUUAGCUAGUUCUUCCUUUUCUUUCAGCUCCAUAAGCUUCUCUGACUCCUCAUGUUUUCGCUGGUUUAGCUCAGUUAGCUGCAACCAAAAACAUAAAUAAGAACACAUAAUGUAACAUAACAAGAAAAAUGCCACGGUCAAAAGUUUAGACUAAAACCUUUUGAGAGGCAUCAACAGUCUCGGUUUGAGCCAUAGCAUACAUCUCCUGAACAUGUUUCAGCUCGGCUCUCAGCUUCUCUAUCUCAAAAUUCAGAUUCACCUACACAAUUAGACAUAACUUCAGUUCCAAACAUAAAUAUGUUCUGUCUCUCCGAAAAAAAGAACAGAAUCAAGAUCAAGACAGUUUGAUUGCCCUGAGUCAGCAAAAUGAUAUGAUACUCUAGAAUCUAGUUCUCUGUUGAAAUUACACAUCGAAAGAUUACAGAAACCAACACUAAUAUAUAAGAGACUUUGGCCCAUUUACCGUUAGUUAAUUGAUUUUAAGUUGGAAGUCCAUGAAAUUUAACCUUCUCAGAUCUCUAGAAAAAGAAUAUCAAGAACCAACACAGUUGACUUACCUGAUUAUUAUCGGUCACGGAAUGGACACUGAGGAGGCCCUCAGACAUGUUAGAAGCUUGAUGAGAAACAAAAGAAUAGUUCUCAGGAACCACUGCUCCCCAAUCCAUAUUGGUUAUAUCGUGGUUGUUGCUCGAUGACGAGCUCAUGAUCGAUCUCCUAUCCUCAUGAUCUCUCCAUUUAGAAGCAAAGCUCAUCGCGUGAUACGCCUCAGCUCCCAUUGGAAACGAUGCACUAAAGCUCUCAUUGCUAGUGUUACUCUUCUUCUCUUCAUUGCCACUGCUCGGUACAAUCUGCAUCGCCCUCCCUGUAGACACUUCCGACUGGUCCGUCUCGCUAGAACUCGUAUCCAUUUGAACCACCGCGCUGCUGCCCACCUCCGAAUGUUUUGCAGGGGGGAGGAAAUGAGAGACUCGGGAUUGCGCUUCCGAAACAAAGGAGAGAAAGUCUUGGUAGUCUGUUCCAGACGACCAAAUAAAUAAUUGUUAAGUUUUAUGGACUUCCAACUUAAAACAAUAAAAUAAAAGACUCGUUACGAUUCAAUCUUAGAGUUUUACCAGAAGGGACUCUAGGACUAGGACUAUCAGUGGAGCCACUGGUGAAGCUGUCUCUCUCUAUUCUCUCGAUCCUUAUCGUUCCGCUAGCGUCUGAAUCAGAAGGACGCACGGAUGCUAGCUUCCCCUUUGAGACUACAUAGACUGUGCAGAAUCUUGGGACAGCAGUGGCGAUCAUAGAAGACAUAUCGAUCUUUCUUGAAAAGAAUCCGCGAAGAGACAUUCCUAUAACGAGUUUGGUGACCCUGGUUCCAGCAAUCUCUUCUGCUAUCGCAGCCACAGGAUCGUGCGACUCCAGCACCAGAAUCUCUACUCGCACCUACGUUACACCAUUUGGGAUACUUUCAGAUUUUGAGAAAACAGAACAAUAAAGGAAAGUCUUGAGACCAAACCUUUCUCCUUUCGAACAUUUUCUUGUAAGGACGGAGCGUCUCGUUUGUGUUCCAAUCCACUUCUUGUCUGUAAGCUGAUACUACGUCAGCUCUUAGCUCGGAUAUCGAUAUCGCAUUCCCCACUGAAACCGAAUAAGAAAGACUCAAAUCUUUGUUCCCAAACACAUAGAUAUUUUGCAUAAGCUAUAAAAAAAUAUUUUAAGUCACAACUUACUAGGGGUAGGGAUGUAAGUGACAGGAGGACGAACAUAGAUCAAUUUGAAAUCAGAGAAGCCUUCAGGGAUGAACUUCUCAAGAGCCCAAAAGGCUACGUAUUUGCUCUUCUUUUUACCAUUAAUGGCUACAGCUACAGCAGGAGAUGGUGUAGGAGGUAGAGAUAGGUGUUCGCUUAAUGAUCUUGCUGGUUUUUUUCCUUCCAUUGUGGUUUUCAGACAAAAGUCAACACGGUACUUACCUUGUAGUUAUGUUCUAACAGAGAACAAUGAGGAGGAAGAAGAACAAAACCCCUAAAGUUUGGUGAUCUUAUGACAUUUUCUUAAAGACAGAAAACUUGCCACAAGCUGACACGUUGUUGCCGCACAAUCUUUAUUUAUAGUUAGCUCACUAAUUAAUUUUUUUUUUCAUACGUUGAAAUAGUAGUACAUACUUUUCUCUGUCUUGUUUCUAUAAAAUUAUCGUUAUAUACGUCGUAAAAGUAUCUACGUCGUAUAUCCCUCAGUUUUUGUUUUAAAUAAACAAAGUCAAACAAAUAAAAUAAAGGCUUGAGAUCUAUACUAUUAAAGCAGGAUCCUAUUGUCAUAAUUACCUUAGGGGCAUGUUUCCUUCACUAACAUUGCAUGUUUCAUUAAGGGCAAUUAAGUAAUAUUAAUAACAAAUCUAUAUUGGGUCAUUAUUUUUGGAUCCAGCCCAAAUCAAAUCUCUCUUGGGCCAUUUGGGCCUAUUAAAAAAUCAGAUUCAAUUCUCACUUUUUUUUUCCUUUGGGCCAUUGAGUCCAAGUUAAAAUAAUUUUUUUUCAACUAUUCUUAAUUAUUUUAUUUUUUUCUUUUCUUAAUAUAAUUUAAGCACUCAUAAAAAUAAUUGAAUUUUUUUAUUGAAAAGUAUAAAUCUUUAUUAAAAGUAUAUAAUUUUUUUAAUUAAAAUAUUAACCCCAUAAUAAAAUUAAUUUAUCAGAGUUAUACCAACUUAAUUCAUUAAAAAAAUAAAGUUUAAUUUUUUUAACAUAAAUAGUCAUUUAAAAUGAAAUACGAUAAAUAAAGAUAAAAAUUUUAAGUCUUUUAUAAAAUAAAGCACAAAUAUAUGAAAAUGUGACAUUUACUAAAUAUUUGUCAAUUGAAAAAAAAAACAAAAAUAAAUCCGCGUUUUGAAAGCGCGGAUCAAAAUCUAGUUGUUAUUAAAAUAUGUAUACAUAUACAAUUAGAAGAUGGUAAAAUUAAUAAAGAUAGAAUUCAUUACAAGUGUAACCUGAGAAGAGUUUUACAUUACUUAAUCAUAAAGAUAUUAGCCCGUAAACUCUUUUUACAUUUGCUUUGAGUUAAGAAAGAAUAUAGAAAUAGAUUUAAAAUACAUUUCUAAUUUGAAUUCAUGGACUGACUACAUUGCUCCACGAGACAAUGUAGAAACUACGAGAUCUUUCUAAAAACAUCUCUCGAUAUCUUAGUAAAAAUGAGAUUUUAAAUCUCCAACUAUUUGAAAUCAGCACUUUUAAUACUCAAUUAUCACUUGCACAAAUUUAAUCCUCAAAUCAUGAUUGACUGUGCAAAAUUAGACUUGAAAAAGUUAAACUUUAAUUACUAGACAGAAACGUUAACUGUAAUUAGAAAAUGGAUCGAGUUUGGCUUUCAAAACUCCAAAAUCAAUGAUAUCAAUUGUGUCAUGUGACUUUGAGUGAUAGAAAGUGAUUCACAACGACUGAAGAUCAAACAAGUGUACUUCCGAUGAGAAAAUAGUGAAAAUCUAUUUCAGAACUAAUGGUGGAACUUGGAAAAAACUCUGAUUUGAAGAGCAUUCAGAAUUUUUAUUCCGAUAGAGAGUGAAAGGUAAAUGAUUAAGCUCCGUUGAAUCAUGUCUGAGUUUCUGAUGGAGAGGAAGCAACGAUAAACAGCUCAACCAAGGGGUUAUGGAACCACGCUUGGGACCUGCCAGCUCAACCAAGGGGUUAUGGAACCACGCUUGGGACCUGCCAGCUCAACCAAGGGAUUCUAGGGAAUCCUCGCUUGGGACCUGCUUCUUGAUUGAUGAAUCUAAUCAAAUCAAUGCAAGGAAUAGAGAAUCCAAUUCUCCCAAAAGCCAAAGCUCUUUAUUAAUCAAAUCAAACUGAAUACAACUUUAGGCUUGAAUGCCUAUUUAUAAUAAAUCCUUAAAUCUAUGAAAACCCUAAUCUUAAUUAAAAUAAGAAAACUACUAAAAUAUAGAAAAUACAAUAACAAGUAAUUAUCUAUGUAAACUAGUGAAUAAUAAAGAUAUUUAGAAUAUUUCCAAAUAUCUUGCUGCAUCAGGUCUCGCCGGCAAAGAAAGAUUCGUCCUCGAAUCUUCAACCGGUUUUUCCACACAGGAUGCUGCACAAAAUCUUCACAAGUCGAAUUUGCACAAAUUUUGCACGAGCCAAAUUCUUCAUAAAAUUGUUUCUGCACGAAUAUUGCACGAACCUGAUUAUGCUUGAAGCCUUCUGCAUAAACGAGAUUUCGUCCUAUGUUUGCACAGACUAAAUUAUCAAAAUCGUUUUCUUCAUAAAAAUCAUAGAUUGGAUCUCCACAAAUCUCUUUGUAGAUCUCAUCAUCUUCAUAAACGUCGUAGAUUGGAUCACCAUAGAUCUCUCGAUAGAUCUCAUGGUAUUCUCUCUCGACAAAAGGACUUUCGUCCACGAAAGGAUAGAGAUUGCAACUGCUAAUCAACAUGACAUCCAGAAUCGUUCUCCGAUUAAGAAACCAAAGAGACGCAGCUCUGAUACCACCUGAUGGAGCGGAAGCAACGAUAAACAGCUCAACCAAGGGGUUAUGGAACCACGCUUGGGACCUGCCAGCUCAACCAAGGGGUUAUGGAACCACGCUUGGGACCUGCCAGCUCAACCAAGGGAUUCUAGGGAAUCCUCGCUUGGGACCUGCUUCUUGAUUGAUGAAUCUAAUCAAAUCAAUGCAAGGAAUAGAGAAUCCAAUUCUCCCAAAAGCCAAAGCUCUUUAUUAAUCAAAUCAAACUGAAUACAACUUUAGGCUUGAAUGCCUAUUUAUAAUAAAUCCUUAAAUCUAUGAAAACCCUAAUCUUAAUUAAAAUAAGAAAACUACUAAAAUAUAGAAAAUACAAUAACAAGUAAUUAUCUAUGUAAACUAGUGAAUAAUAAAGAUAUUUAGAAUAUUUCCAAAUAUCUUGCUGCAUCAGUUUCUAAGUGGGUUUUCACUAUCCUUUCACCGACUUGUUUGAUUUAAAGUCACCGUGAAUUGCUUCUUCUCACUCAGAAUCGCAUAGACAUAACUGAUAUUUGUGAUUGGGGUUUUGUAAGCCAAACUCAAUCUCUUUUCUAAUUACAAUUAACGUUUGAUUUUUUAAGUCUAAUUUUGUGCAAUCAUGAUUUCAAGACUAAAUAUACACAAGUGAUAGUUGGAUAUUAAAAGUGUUGAUUUCAAAUAGUUGGAGAUUUAUAAGUUCCUUUUCCCGGAUAUUUUAUGGUGUAGAAACAUUAACUAGUAUUCUCUUAAAUUAGUAGACUAAGGAUUUUUCUACAAAGAACAUUUAUCAAAAUAAAGAGCUCACUACACUUUUUUUUUUUUUUUUGAGAAAAUCUGUAGAUUAAGGAGUUUUCUACACUUUUAUUACUAUUUAAUAUAUUAAAUUUGAGUCAUAUAACUCUUUGUGUGAUUUUUUAUUUGGACUAUCUCUUAGAAAAUUUAUCAAAUUACACAUAAUUUAAUUACAAUAUCUUUUAAUAUCUUUAUAUUUUAUUUAAAAUACAAAUAAACAACUUUCUUUACAAAAUUCUAACAAAAUCUUUAAAAAAUCUAUUUGCAGUUUAUUUUCGUAAUUAAUUAAUUUAAAUUCUGAUUAUCAUUAAAAUGAAAUUAAAAAUUUAAAUCAAUUCAGUUUUGAUUUAAAAAUUAAAAUUAAAAUCACAUAUAAUAUUUUACUGAUAAUUGAAAUUUAAAUUAAUUGAUUUUUGGAAAUGAAAAUUUUAAAAUAUUUUGUUAGAUUUUUGUAAAAAAAUAUUCAUUUUUAUUUGAAAAAUUAAAAAUAUAUCUAACCUAUUAAAUUAGAGUUAUAUUUUGGACUUCAUAUGUUAUAUUUAAUUUUGAACUAUCAAACAUGGAUUCAUAUAAAUUAUUUAAAUUUGAUUAUAUAAAAUAUUUAUAAAAUAUCUCAAACUAUUUAAAACUGAUGGAAAAUUAAGAUUAAGAUUAUUAGUUCAUGAUGACUCAUUUAGAGUUAGAGAUGGUAUUGACUUUUGGCUAACACUUUAUAUACAAAGAUUUAUAUUCGGUUUCCAAAUCUCAAUGACGGAUCUACGAUCAUUUUAAAAGAUAGAAAAAACAAACUUAAACAAAUUAAAUAUUUAAAAUGAAAUUUAGCCGCGCACAGUGCGAAUUCUAUCCUAGUUAAAGCUUAAUACCCAAUCCAUUAUAAUUUCAAUAAAUAUUUGAUUCUCCGUGAGCAUGAUUUACGGACAUAGUUUGAGUUAUCGCUUACAUAUUAAGAUCAAAAUUGAAAUUAUAGGAUAACAUUUAGUCGCCUACACGACAUUCUCGUCCGUUUUGUCACGUCUUUUCUUGCUUACUAUACCUUAUGACUACUUAUCAUAUGCUUUAUUAAUGAGAAAACUGCAACAACUAGAGAUCUAGUCUUAUAGAAUCGUCGAGGAUAUACCUAGGAAAUCCUUCGACUUUAUGUGCUCGUGUUUUUUUAAUAAGAUUUUGAAUUUUAAUGUAUUACAAAAAGUCAACUAUGUUCAUAUGUUCUGUUGUUUACUGAGAAAAAAAAAAUCCUUUAGUCUCUUUGUCUGAUCAAUUCAGACAAAUCCGAAGAAGCUAAAUAGGCCAAUGGGGAACAGAUUUCUGUUUAAAGAAACAAAACAAUAUUAAAGAAUAAUACUUCAAACGUGAGCACACUAUCCGUGUUCAUGCUGUCGCUCUUCUUGACAAGACCUCCAUGAUGGAAUGUAAUGAAACUCGAAACGAUAAGAUUUUAAUAUUAUUAACAACACUGAAAGUGUUUAGAAUUCACUAGGUUAAUGAUAAUGGAUUAUUGUCUUUUUAAUGUGCUCAUAACUUCAAGCUAAGGCAUUGCCGUGCUUACAACACAUGACAAAAAUAAAAUCAUGGGCCAUGUAUAUUAAAUCUGUUCAGAUGUGUGUUUCGGUAAACAGAUUAGUGUUUGUUGGCCAAGUCGUAAUCCAGCAGAACGUCGCCAAUGAGAGAUGUGUUGUUUCUUCAAGAAGCAAAGCCGAAGAGCUAGGAAGAUGAUCGGAGAUGAUGUGAUCGUUCUUGGUAAUGUUACUGAUGCUAAAUGCGAAUAUGUUUGUGGUCAAUAUAUUGGGGUGUGAUUGUUGAUAUAUAUCUCUUCGUAUAUGUUGUUUUAUGUGAUUGUAGCUUUUUUUUUUUCUUUUUUUGAAGGGUGUUAGGGAGUGAGUAUAUAUGAGUGUACUUCUGCUUUUGUGUAUGAGUGAAAUGUUUUACAUUUUGUUUGGAGAGGAUCAAGUCAACCAAACUCCUACAUUUCUCGGGCUAGUUAGAGUAACUGUCAGUAUGUGGGUCUUUAAGUCUUUUACCCAUUAUCGGCCCGUUUUAUUUCAGCGUAGUCGAUGUACAACUCAAAACGAUUUUGGAACACUUAACAUGUGAACUCCAACUUCUUUGAAAGGAGUCAACAUUAGUAUCAAUUUCAUUUUUAUUAACAUAAAUGCAAAGAAACAAUCAAGCUACGCGACUUCAUUUGAUGAUAUUUCCAUUUAACGUAAAUUCUUAGUCUUACCACUAAUUAUUAUGCAGUUCUUUACUUCGUAUACUAAUCAAUGUAUAUAUUUGGAUUGAAUAUCUUUGACUUCACUUAGUCAAACAAAAACAUAAAUUCUGAUUAAUUUGUAAAUUGACACGUAGAUAUAUUAAAUAUAGAAAAUCUUCUAAAUAAAACAUAAUAAUAUGUACCAUUAAUGUUUUAGUCUUGAUGUUUGACUAACACAAUAUUACUAUGAAUUAUGAAUGGUCUUUAACCAUGUACUAUGUAUGAAUUAUGAGACAUUCUUUAAUCAUGUGGAUUUCUCUAAACCAUAUAGAAUCACUGCAUCAACAUUUACAAAUUUUGUAUUUCGCAAUUUUCUGCUGAAAUUAAAUUCUGAAAGAAAUGUAUAUUCUGUAUAAGCAAUUUUAUGAAAAACACAUAAACUGUAACCAAAUUUUAUUAUUAUAAAGAAAAAAAACUUAAAGGUACGAAAAAUGAAAACAAAAUACGAACUUUAACAAAAGUCUUAUUUAUAAAAUAGAGAAAAUAAACUAAAAAGGGCACAACAACAUAAACAUAUAGAGCAUAAUGCAUUAUUUGUUCAUCCAUAUCAGUUAAUCACCCAAAUUCCACAAUUCAUAGGUUCUAUGUUACUCGGUUGAAGUCGACUAACCAAACAUAACCGAACCUAAUUACAUUUAAUGUAAUGAACCUUCUUGUGACCACCAAGUGCUUGACCAGAUUCAAAUACUCUGCCACAGACUUCACAUUCAUAACGUCGGUCUUGAUCAUUCUUGUCUCAAAUCUUCAACCGUUGGUUUUUAUGGCUCGUUCGAUGACCACCUAAUCCCAUGAGUAGUAUUGGUAUUGGAUCCCGGGACAGACGAGAGAAGCCUGGAGCUCAUCUUUCUCUUUAGCAUCACGCUCUGCUUUGAUCUCAGCUUCUCUUCUACGUAAAGCCUCUUUCAUCAUGAGUUCUUUAACCUUCUCUGCCUCCUUCAUAGUAUCUUCGUACCUCUGCUUCUCCUUUGAAGCUGUAUCUUUAGCUAGUUCUUCCUUUUCUUUUAGCUCCAUAAGCUUCUCUGACUCCUCAUAUUUUCGCUGGUUUAGCUCAGUUAGCUGCAACCAAAACAUAAAUAAGAACACAUAAUGUAACAUAACAAGAAAAAUGCCACGGUCAAAAGUCUAGACUAAAACCUUUUGAGAGGCAUCAACAGUCUCGGUUUGAGCCAUAGCAUACAUCUCCGAACAUGUUUCAGCUCGGCUCUCACCUUCUCCAUCUCAAAUGUCAGAUUCGCCUACACAAUUUGUUGUGAACAAACGCAAAUGAAACUCGAAGAAAACAAGAAAAUUUAGAUAUAAACUCAUAUUGCGAAAAUUACAUGUUUUUUGUAUGUUAAUUACAUAAAUGAAUAAUUUAUGAUAUAGAGAGAAACUCAGAUUGCGAAAAUUACAUGUUUUUAGGGUUUGUAUGUUAAUUACAUAAAUUAAUAAUUUAUGAUAUUAACACAUAUUUAUAUCAAAACUCGAUAUUUCUUUUCUAAAAACUUUCUUAUUUAAUAAAAAAUGGUUUCCUUAAUCCCAAUGAAUACUGGUACACCGAGAUUUAUGUCAUUUCUAGAAUCAACACAAGAUGUAGCUUCAGUUGCAAACAAAAACCAAUGCAGUGUGAUGAGAUGACUCGAGACUCUGGCUCUCAGAUCUCUAGAGAAAAUAGAAUCAAGAAUCAAGACAGUUAACUUACCUGAUUAUUAUCGGUCAUGGAAUGGAGACUGAGGUGACCCUCAGACAUGUUAGAUGCUUGAUGAGAAACAAAAGAAUAGUUCGCAGGAACCACUGCUCCCCAGUCCAUAUUAGGUAUCUCACGGUUGUUGCUCGAAGGGGCUCUGGGACUAGGACUAUCAGGAUCGGAGAGACACUCGUGGAACUGUCUCUCUCCAUUCUUUCGAACCUUAUCGUUCCGCUAGAGUCGGAAUCGGAAGGACGCACAGAAGCUAGUUUCCUCUUUGAGACAACAUAGACUGCAGAAUCUUGGCACAGCAGUUGCGAUCAUAGAGGACAUACCGAUCUUUUUCGCGAAGAAUCCGGGAUGAGACAUUCCUAUAACGAGUUUGGUGACUCCAGUUCCAGCAAUCUCUUCCGCUAUCGCAGCUACAGGAUCGUGUGAUUCCAGCACCAGGAUCUCUACUCGCACCUAUUUUGUAACAUUUUUGAGAAAACACAACAAGAAAGGAGAGACUAAACCUAGUUCUUUGAGACCGUACCUUUCUGCUUUCGAACAUUUGCUUGUAAGGACGAAGCAGCUCGUUUGUGUUCCCAUCUACUUCUUUUCUGUAAGCUGAUACUGCUUCAGCACUUAUCGCUAAAUAUAGAUAUCGCUUUCCCCACUGAAAACAAAUAAAUAAAAACUCAAUAAUCUUUGUUACCAAACACAUAGAUAUUUUGCAGUAGCUACAAGAUUCUGGUGACGACUUACUUGGGGUAAUAAUGUAAGUGAUAGGAGGACGAACAUAGAUCAAUUUGAAAUCAGAAAAGCCUCCAGGGAUGAACUUCUCAAGAGCCCAAUACGCGACGUCUUUGCUCUUCUUAUUUCCAUUAAUAGCUACAGCUACAACAGGAGAUGGUGGAGAUAGAUGAUCGCUUGAUGAUCUUGCUGACAUCUUCUUGUCCAUUGCUUUACCUGCAACUAAUGAAAUGUAAAUUUAAUAAUAGAUCUCAACGAAUAUGCAUGUAAAUAUAACAGAGCGAUGGGGCUUUUAGAAAAAAACCAUGACACAACUUGCCUAGUAGUUUCUGUUCUAGAAGAGAACUAUGAGGAAGAAGAACCCUAAAUUUGGUGAUAUAAUGGCAUUUUCUUAAUAUGAAAUAAUUGCAACAAGCCAUCGUUGUUGCCGCCACAACCUUUAUUUAUAACUUGUUCACUAAUUAAUUAAUUUUCUUUAUAUAUGCGUUGAAAAAAUAAUACAUAUUUUUCUAUAAAAAUAUUCCUUAUUUUCCACAGAGUAUCAUUUUUACAUUUUUCUUGUUAUAUAAAAAGUGUCAUUUUAAAAUUUAAUAUAAUUUAUAUUUAUUUUAAACUUAAUAUUUAUUGCAAAAUUGAUUUUAUAAAAUAUAUUUAUUUCCAAAUACUAAUUAAUACAAUAUAAACACAUUUCAAUCAUUCUUUAAAUUUGUGUGAAAAACUGAAAGUGUCUAACUAACACUCUUUGUAUAUUUGUAUAGAAUGUAUUUAGUCUUAUAGAAUCGUAUACAUGACUAUUUAUCAUGAUUCAUUAAUGUAUGCAACAAGUAGAGAUGUAGGCUUCGAAUGUUACUAACCGCUCUGCCCCUGCAUCGCAGUUAACAGUAACAAAAAUAUCUACAUAUACAAUAUAUCUAUACAUUUUUAUAACCGUUAAAACUGCACCGCAGUUAAAUAGCUUGUUUCGUACCGCUCAAACUGUAGUUACCAUUCGGAGCCGUAAUCAUUAUUUAUAUCGUAUAUGUAGUCAUUAUGUGCUCAUGUACUCAAUACGUGCUCGUGUUCUUACAAAAAAAAAAUUCUAAAUUUCGAUAAUUACAGAAAGUCAACUAUGUUUCUAUGUUCACUGAAAAAAAAAAAAACAAAUCCUAGAGUAUAUUUUUCUGAUCAAUUCAGACAUAUCCGAUGAAACUAAAUCGGCCAAUGGGGGAACAGAUUUCUGUUUAAAGAAACAAUAUAUAUUACAGUAAUAUUGUUCAUGCUACAGCUGGUGAAGUCGGGUCUCCGUUGUGUCAAUGGGAAAAUGUGCUUGGAGCCUCGGUCACUGGAAUUGUCUCGACAAAUGAGAAAGCGGCUCAGUCCAAAGAAGAUAUGGAUGCUACCAUGUUGUUAUGUAAAAGAACCGAGUAUUUUGUUUCACAGGUCAACGAUAUUACACUGGAAAGGAGUUGAAGUUGUCUACGACUCAGUGGAAAAAAACACCUCUUGUGUGGAAACUUUUAUUAUUAUUGUUCAUUUCUGUUCUAUUUUUUUGUGUCUUUUUAUUGUAUAAGUGUUUGUCUCCAUAAUCUGCAUAACAACUUUGAAAGUGUUUAUGUUAAUAAACAAACGACGCGAAUCAAACAUGAAAAGCAAGAAUAUUUAGAGAAAAACAUGAUUAAUACAAAUACCCAUUUUUUAGGGUUUGUUUAUUAAUUCUGUAAGUAAAUAAUUUACGAUCCGUUAAAUCUAUACCCAUGCUUAAAAAUUCGAUAUUUUUUUUUCCUUUUAGAAAAAUUCACUUAUUUCAUAAAAUAGUUUUUCCUUGUCGUAUUAGGUAUUCGAAUGCGGCCUUCUAUUGGUUUACUAAAAAUUUACGUCAUUUCCAAAAUAAACAGUUUAGAACUUCAUAGGCUAAUGAUAAUGCAAUAUUGUCACUUUAGAUGUAACUUCAAGCUAAAGCAUUGUUGUGCUCACAACGCAUGACAAAAGUAAAAACAUAUGGGCUAUGUAAAUUAAAUUUGUUCAGAUGUGUGUUUUUGUAAAUGGAGUAGUGGUUUUCGGCCAAAAAAAUUUAUGCGAUUAAUAGAUUUUUUUUUUAAAGGUUUCUAAUAGAAAUUUAUUUAAGAAAACCUUUUCAUACAUUCAAAGGGAGUUUUGAGUCUUGACAACCUCUGACUCUUGUUUUUUUUUUUGGUUAUAGAAUAUUAUUAGCUUAUAUAUAUCUUUGGUAUAGUUUCCUUUAGCUAACCAUUGGGUUAGUGUGGUUUGGUUUCCUUUUGCUUAACUACCUGAGUAUAAAUACAUAACAAUGUAUGCUUUCUACGGUUAAUGAGAAAGUUUAUUUUCAUCAUCUUCUUUUCUUCAAUAAAUAUCAUGCAUACAAGCUACAAGUGGAUAAAAAGAGUGAUAUCUACAGAUACAGAGUUAUAUUAUUAGAAAUCAUCAAAGGAAAUUAAUAAAUCCGUCGAACUGGGAUUCAGGGAAGGUAACUGUAUUGUGGAUUGGGCUAAGUCAAAGCUGAAGAUACAAGAACAUGUAGUAGAAGAAGUUCUAGACAAAGGCAUGGGUAGGUCUUGUAGUAUGAUAAUAGAAGAGAUGAAACAAAUGUUGAGAAUUGCAUCGUUAUGUACAAGUUGAAAUCCGACAGAUCGGCCGCCAAUGAGAGAAGUGUUGUUGUUUCUUCAAGAGGCAAAGCCUAAGAGGAAAAUGAUAGGAGCUAAUGUGAUCGUUCUUGGUAAUGUUAGUGAUGCUAAUAUUGAAGAUGUUUGUGGUCAAAAGAUUGAGGUGUUGUGAGGUGUUGAUAUACAUUUCUUUGUAUGGUGUUUUUAAUGUAAUUGUAGAAUUGUUUUUGAAGGGUGUUAGAGAGGAUAUAUAUGAGAGUACUUUUGCCUUUGCUUCCUUUCAUAUAUGAAAGAAAUGAUUUUUUUUUUUUUUUUUUGAACACAAGCUCAUAGAAAUGGUUUUAAAGGAUCAACCAAGCUCAUAUAUUUGUCGGGCUGAAGAGAGUGACUGGGUCUUUUACUCAUUAUCGGCCCGUUUAAUUUCACCGUUAUCGAUUUACAACUCCAAACGAUUUUGGAACACUUAAUUGAAUAUAUUUGACUUCGCUUAGUCAAACAAAAACAUAAAUUAUGAUUAAUUUGUAAAUUUACACGUAUGUAGAUAUAUUAAAUAUAGGAAAUUUUCUAAAUAAAGCAUAAUAAUGUUCCAUUAAUGUUUUAGUCUUGUUGUUUGACUGGCACAAUAUUACUAUGAAUUAUGAAUAGUUUUUAAUCUUGCACUAUGAAUUAUGUUUUUUUAUGAAUUAUGUCCUUAAUCAUAUUAAUUGCUCUACACCAUAUAGAAUCACUACAUCGACAUUUAUUUCGCUAUUUUGUGCUGAAAAUAAAUUCCGAAAGUAUAUUCUGAACAAGAAACUUUAUGAUAAACACAAACUGUAACCAAACUUUUAUUAUUAUUAUUCUUAUUAUAUUUUUUUAUAACUUUUAUUAUUAUACAAAACAGAAAAUAAACUAAAAAGGGUAAAAAAAACAUAAACAUAAGGAGCAUAAUUCAUAAUUUGUUCAUCCAUAUCAGUUAAUGACCCAAAUCAAUUCAUAGGUUCUAUGUCACUCGGUUGAAGUCGACUAACCAAUAAUAACAGAACUAAUUAUAUGUAAUGAGUCUUCAUGUGACCACCAAGUGCUUGACCAGAUUCAAAUUCUCUGCCACAAACUCCACACUGGUGACGUCGGUCUUGAUCAUUCUUUUUGUUUGGAACUAAUUCUCGGUCUUGAUCAUUCUUGUCGCAAAUCUUCAACCGUUUGCACUUAUGGCUCGUUCGAUGACCACCUAAUGCCUGAUACGAACCAAAAACUUUUCCACAUACAUCACAUAUAAAUUCUUUCUUACACUUUUUCUCUCUCGUAACCAAAUUUGUUUCGUCAGCAUCAUUAUCCUCAUCAUCUUCACCGUUGUCUUCUGUUAGGGUUUCCACGUUUUGAGUGAGAAGCUCAGCAACAGACUUGUAUUUGACUUCUUUAUUAUCAUCAUCAGAAUCUAAAUCUGUUUCGUAAUAUUCUUCUUUACCGUUUGGAGUUGCUAACAAACGAUCAAUAGCAUUCCAAUUCUGAGAAUUUUCUGGCCUCUGCCCCUUAGACAGUGCAACAAGAAUUAAACCAGCUUCUUCGACAGCUGUCAAAGGACUACCAGACCCGGUAGAAUCUGCCUCGUCCACGAUCAUCUUUCUCUCGCCUUUUAUUUGAUGUGCACCGUCUUCUCUCUUUAGAUCUGGUCCCCCAAUCAAAACGGUUUCAUUGUUGGAUGUCUCUAGCGAUGGAAGGGUCGAGCCACUCGCUGAUUCUGACAUCAUGUGCUCUCUUAGAGUACUCCCAUUUGAAAAUGACUUAUUGCAACUCAUUUUGAUGAAAAAGAAACAAGGAAUAAAAAAAGCUAUAGAAGUUUUUUGGUGAUAAUGAUUUUGAUUGCUUUUGCUGCGAGAAGAGUUUGCUUGAAUAUAUUGUUGUAUGAUUUGUGCAUAUAUAUAGCUUCAGAAAUCUGAAGAAAUCAUAAAUACGUACAAAUACUAUUCAAAAGGUAAUCCAGAAAUCGGAAGAAAACAUAAAUACGUACGAAUACUAUUCAAAAGGAGUUAACCACUUACCAUAAGUGUUUAGUGCACUAUGCUCUUAAGUCUUAACAAUUAAUUACUAACUGCUUAUUUAGGUCUAUCGAUUAAGUGGUAAUUAAUUAACUGUAGCUUUAUAAAUUAUUAGUCACAUUGUGUCAUUAACUCAGUCUCCGUCAAAACCGUUUAUAUAAGAUAUUUUGCGUGAGAGAUGAAUAGCCCAAACUAGAAACAUGAAAUAAAAGCAGUAGUUAGCCAUAUAAAACCAUGCCAUUAAAAAAAACACCUUUUCUCUCCCAACCCCAUUAGGGUUUUCCUGUGAAAGUCUUCGCCGCCGUCGGUGUGGCCUCUCGCCCACCGACGAGAACACUCCUCUUUCUCCCUCCUCUUCCUUUCUUCCAUGGUUCUGCUUGUUCCUUGUCCCUUUGCACCGUUGCUCCUUCCUCCGCCUCCAGAACUGCCGCCGCUCGUGUUUCUCCUAGAUCUGCCAGUCGAGUGCUCUCCUCAUGUCCUUUCCGUUCCUCUCCACCCACCGGAUCUGUCCCUGUUCCUUUGCCGCUUCUUCGACUCUGCAGUGAUUAUACUGUCCGUCCGUUUAGUAAAUCUAUCAUUUUCAGUGGUGUUUGUUCUUAUGGUUUUCUGUGACUCCUUUACUGCAGUAUGCGGGUUCAAUUCCGGGUUAUAUCCGGCUCGUUCUAACUCUGUUAAGUUCGAUUUUGGUCUCUUAAUCUACUGGCCUCAAGUUCCUCAGAUCUGUGUUUAUUCACUAGUACUUGAUAUAAAAAUUGACAUGGUCUCUGGUUGGAAUUAUGAAUCUGUGUCUUGUGCAUUUGCUUCCGUCUCUUGGUUGCUCAUUGUCCCAAGUUUCAUAGUUCAUUUGUCAAGAAGUUUGGAGAGUACGCAAAGUCUCAUUGAGAAUGAACUCAUAGCCUUGGUUGGUUUGGGGUCUCAUUCCUCUGUUCUCAGGUUCUUCAGUAGCAAUUAUGUUGCCUUGGCUCAUUCCUUUUCUGCAGUAUGCAGGGUUUUAUAUGUCUGUGAUUUAAAUGUGGAGGUGUAUGUAUUGUUUUCUAACCAUUGGUGGCAAUUUGGAAAGAAAAGCAACAGUAUUUGCUUCCUUACAUUGCAUCAGAUUUAUUUGGUCUCACGAAGACUUGGUUGCUCAUUGUUCCGGUAUCAUGACCUCACUGCCUUUGUUGCAGAGUGUCUAGCCCUUUUGGGCAUUUCUCAGCUGGUUUGCAAGUCAGACUGCCAUGAACUCAGUCGCCUCCUUUCAGAGAGUUGGUCUUCUGAUGUGUUGUGUUUUCAUGUGUUUGUAAUAUGGCAAGUUGUGCCUUUCUACUUUGUAUUUCCUCCGCUGAUGGAGGUUGAGACUUUAAGUUAAUGGAAUUGUUGUUUGAUCAAAAAAACCAUGCCAUUAACAUCAAAAAAGAAUUAAAAAUGAAAUAAGAUCGACAGAGAAGAGAAAGAAAACAAUUAUUUAGUAGAUAACAAUCAUAACAUUAUUAUACAUCACUUUUUGUCAAGGUAUUAUACAUAACUUUAUUUCUUAGUUUUACGCAAAUAGAGAAUCGAGUAUAUACUUGGAAAAUAUGAAAACAAGAACCUGUUAAUAAAAAAGAAAGAGAUCAUUACACUCUUCUAGGCAAUCCGAUGAACAAAUCAGUUUCGACAUUGGAUAUGUGGAUGUUUUCACAGCCAGAGGAAGAUGCAUUCUUCUCACUCUCUAAGUUCCUCGACUGCAUCCACAAGGGCUUUUCUUCAAACUGAAAUGAUAACAAGUUAAAUCCUAAACAAAAGAAACUCAAUAAUCAGAGAGAAACAAACAAAAAGUUCACGAAAAACGAAUAACUUUUUGACGGACGAUUUUCAGAUUUCCUCAAGUUAGAUUUCAGUCGAAAGCACUAUUAAUCAACCACAAGAUUUUUCAUGAGAGUUAAGUCAUGGAUGUCAAAGGUUAAUCCACCAUGAUGUCUAUAGACUAUAGCUGAAUGAUAUUUUUGUUAUUUAAAGAAUAAAGAGAUAAAGCGCUAAACGAUUUUGUUUUUUAACAUCAAAAGAUUAUUAUAUUAUUAAAUUAGAUGAUCUUUGUAACUAGUAGAUUAGAAUAUGACAGUCAACAACAAAAACAUUAUAUAUAUGGAACGCUCUAACAAUCUUAGCUAAUGAAUCUAUCAUUGUGUUCUAUUGAGAAAUCAUGAAAACUUCCCUUCAGAGUUGUGAACUUAUAUAUAGUAUCCAUAUGUACUAGUUAUAAAUAUAGAUAGCAAAGACUAAGUUCAUGAUUAAAUAAGUGUAGGGCGUGCAAGAAUGAAUACAUGCAUAUAUGUCCUUGGAUGGUAUAUAUAUGCGUAUGCGUAUACCAUUUCGUGCAGCCUAGUUCUCUCGUUCAACAGCUCUCUUUUUCCUGCAAUCUAAUAAGAUCAAACCCAAAAAAAAGCACAAUGAAAUUUAUAUAUUAUAUGCCGUAAAGAACCAACUAAAAUAAUAAAGUAAAAUUACCUCUGCUUUUAGUUUCCCCACCUCAUCUUCAUUUAACUUAGCCUGCCAAAAUUGUAGAAUCCGGAAUAAGCAGUUGCACAUGCUGGUUCGAUAGCUAAUCAUUUAGACUCAGAAGUCCCAGAGAACAUAUGUUGAUAUGUGUAACAGAAAAUACUCUAGAAGACCCUAAUUAUAAGCCAUUAGUGCUAAACACAUUAUAACAAACACGUAAAGAUUUCAAAAUCAAGUACUAUGUAUUUAUUAAGUUUACCUUCCUUGAUCUAACAAUAGUAAGGCUUUUCUCAAUUUGAAUAGUUAUCUCUUUGAGCUCCUCCACCGAACAAGUAUCUAAAUCUUCCCCCAUUAGCCUCCUAAGAUGCAUAUUAUCGCCUUCAUGAGCUUAUAUAGAAUCACCUAUUGCAUUAUCUAUAGAAAUAUCAGAAACUAACCGGCAAUGACGUUGAAGAAGUUCAAUGGAGUUCACCAUAAUCGUGAUUUCAUCCUUGAGAUCCUGCACCUGCUGCUCUUUUUGGAGUCUCUCUUCAUGAAAAUAUUCCCUUCUAUGUAACUCACAUCGUUCGAUCAUCUUCUUCAUGCUGAAUUAGUUUUCAGGAUCACUUCAUCAAUCAUCAUUAUAAUAUUUCUAAAGUAUACAAUUACUAUUUUCCGAAAAUGUUAUCAUGACCAACAAGAACAUUCACACAUAUGCAAGAUUUAUGGAUUGUAUGCAUAUUUUCCGAGCCUAAAUUCGAUACGUGUUGUCGAUAUGCGCUUGGCCUAUCUCAGGAUUAGUAUAAUUAAAAACUAUGAAAGAUUUCCGAAGGAUGAAGAAUGUACAUUGUAAGGUUUUCGAUAUGCCAUUCCACCUAUUAAAGGAGAAGAAAUAGCUGAAUAUAUAAUAUCAAUUUGUUAGUAAUAUAUGUCUUUUUAAUUUGUGUAACUUGGUUUCCUAUCUAUACAAACUCAAUGGCAAAAGCAUUACUAUAAGCUAGGAUGCACUCGCCUUUCCAUUACGUACCAACGAUUUGCUUUAAAUGGUCAAACUUGGUAAACUCGAAACUGUGAAUGAAACAUAAACUCUUGUUCCAAAAGUUUUGGUUGGUUAAUUAUCUAAACCCACUCAAGUGUAGAUAUUGGCAAUUCGCUAACAAAAUAAUGGGAAGAGAUGAUUAGUACAGUUCACCUAGUGACUAUCAAUAUAUGGUUUCACAUGAUUAUGAUCAUUGUUUGGGUUUGAUAAUCAUUAGUGGCAUCAUUUAAGUUUGGAUUUGGUUUAAGAAACUAACUCACCUAUCGGCUAUAUAAGAGAUCAACACAUUUAAUAGCAUGAAAACUUCUCGAGGGCUAGAGUUUGAGACCCUAGCAAAAAUCCAAAAGAUCUUCUCUCAUACUUCAUGGGUUAUUUUUAAAUUGGUCCAAUUGUACUCUUGACAGUAUGGCAUGAACACUAGGAUGUUUCAAUAUAAUUAUAAACAUGUCAAGUGGUUUCAGCAUGAGUUUCAAGGCAUACUAGGUUCAAAGUUCAAGAACACUUCUUUGGAAAGUCCUAAAUUGAUUGCUCGUGCUUAAAGAAGAACUGUGAUUAGGUUUGAAUUCAUUUAAAUAAAAACUUCGUGGUACUAUUGAGUAAAUAAAUGACAAAAAAAAAACUUUAAGAAGGCAUAAUUUGUUGAGAAGUUAAACGCAACAGCUACAAUUAGCUAGAAAUCUAUUGUGCGAUACAUAAAUAAAUUAGCAAAGUAAACUAAGAACAAUAGAUUCAUUUCUAUAGAAUAAACAGUAGAUUGUAAAUAUGUAUAAAUGUGUAUUAAUUGGAUUAAAAGUUAUAGAAAUGUUAGGUUACUUACUCGGAGCUAGCGUAUUCGUAUAGUUUGCCUUUCUGGGAAAAGACAAUGGCUGCGACUUGAGCAUCGCAUAGAACUGAAAGCUCGUGAGCCUUCUUCAUGAGACCUUUCCUACGCUUGGAGAACGUGACUUGCCUGCUCGUUAGGUUUUCGAUUCUCUUGAUCUCGAUCUUCCCUUUCACCAUCCUCCUGCCAUGAUUAGUGGGUGAAUCCAUAUGAAACCCUAAGUCUGAACAAUUUUAUAGGAAAGAGAAAAUUAGUUUCUUUUUCUUUAGAAACAAACUCACUUGGAUCCAAAUCAAAACCAAGGUACUGUUUCUUGAUAACAAAAGAGAGAUCUAAACACAAGAUCAGCUGUCCACACAAAAGUCAAUAAGUGAUAACUUCCCUAGGAAAAUGAUGAAAAAUCUGGGGAAAAAACGAAACCAAACAAAACCUUUUUUCUAAAUCUGUCAAGAUUCGUUUCAAAGGCCUCAAGAAUCAGAAAACGACCAAGAAGAUCUGUGAUAUUAAUAAGGACGAACUUUCACAAGAAAAAAAAGAGAUGAAAUGAACAGAACAAUAAGAUCGAUGAUAACUAGAAAUGAAUGAAUUGAUGAGUCAAAUCACUUUGAUGAUUUAGUCUUUCUUUGGUCAAACCUAUGUUAUGCAGGGAGGAACAAACCCUAAGGUUAAUAGUCUUGCUUUUGCUCUCUGAUUUACAUACUCUCAGGAACUAAAAAUAUAUAAAUGCCAUUUUGCAGAUAUUACUUUCGAUUAUCACACACUGCUUUGCCUGCUGACUAAAAAUGUCUGCUUCGCUUUUUUCUACUAAUUAAAAAUAUGUUAAUUAUCGAUUUUAAUGAAGCUUCAUAUGAUUUAUGUUUUUUUGUAACUAUCGGUCCAAUUAGAUUGGUCUAUAGAUCAUUUUAUAAAAUAUUUGAUCACAAAAAUAAAAUAUACAUACUUGAUAUCAAAUAUUUUCAAAUAAUUUAAUUUGGUAUUUUCAAAUGAGUUCUAUCAAAAUUAAAUACUUUUAUAAAAAUAAAUUAAAUACUUUAAUUAAUUAAUUAUGCAGACCUAACCAUUUUAAAAGUGACAUAAAUACAUUUAUCAUUUGCAUAAUAUUCUUCAAUUAAUUUAGGGGUUAUAUAGGUUUCUGAGAUUUCUGUUUUCUUACAAUAAGCACUUGAAAUUGAUCUUAUGUACUUGAAAUUUUAUUCAGCCUAUGAUUUGGUGAAUCUAUGUUAUUCGACGCAAAAGUCACUAUUUUCUAAGUAUCCGGGUAAAAAUGAGAAAAUCUAAAUUUAUUAGAUGAAAACGAGGCAGAAAAAGUGAUUACUUCAUAUACUUGUAGUGAUCUGAUACUUAUUUUCUUCACUUUGACGUUGUAAUUGUCAAAGUUUGUGAUCAUAAUAUGUCAUGCUAUCACAGUCGACUUAAUGGGUUAUACGGGCCCUGAGCAAAAUAUAAGAAGUGGUCUCUCCUAUAUAAAUAUGAUGAUUAAACGGGCCUUAUUAUGAGCUGGUCUAACUAAACACGUACACUCAAUUCACAGGAUGGGCUCAAAUAAACGGGCUUUAGUAGUGCAAGAAAAAAUGUUUAGGGUAAAAAAAAAGGUGGACAAGCGGAAUAUCGAUCCCGGUGCCUCUCGAAUGCUAAGCGAGCGCUCUACCAUCUGAGCUACAUGCCCAUUGAUGUUAACUGGCUACAUAAUAACAAAUAUUCUUUCAUCUAAUUGCUCAAGUCUCCCCCAAAACCCUAACUUCCAGUCUCUGUAUCUGAUUAUAAAACGGUGAAAGUCCUAAACUUUAGUUUCUUCAACCCAAUCUAAAUUUAUUUUUCUUUUUCUUUUUGGUUUCAGCUUCUUGCUUAUAUGUUGAGAAUACUAUGAUUCUUGAAAGUUCUCAGACAUCUUUGGUAUUGAUACCUUAUACUAAAUCUAUUUUACAAAACAACUUUUUGGGUUCGUGAAUCUUUGUGUUUCUGUUGUGAAGUGGGGUUUGUGUUCUUUGCAAGUGACGAUUAAACAGACAGGGACAUCAGAAAUUAUCUGUGUUGACUAAAGUCUAUAAUGGGAAUAUCUGAUGCAUUAACAAUCCUCUUUACCUUUCAGUUUUCAAAAUCCCUUUUUAUUAUCUACAAUUGUUUUGAUUGGAAGUUUGAGGCUUUACCAAUGAUGGAAUUCAAAUAAAUCAUCAGAUCCGAUGUGUAACAACAUAUGUGAUUACAAUCUUGAUGCUGAGUUAAAGCCUUUGAAUUAUCCUUAAUAUUUGAACCUUGCUCUUGAUAGUUGAGAUAGGUAAUCCAAAACCCAGAUUUAAAGAACAAAGUCAGUUUCUGUUUUAUUGCUACUAUUCAAAAUGUUAUGAAAAUUCCAAAAUAUUUUUGACGUUUCUGACUUCUGUAGCAAUGGUGCAGCUGAAACGUCAUAGUUUUACCCUCUGCCCUAUAGAAGCACAUGAACAUUGAGGCCAUCUGGCCAUGUCACGUAGUUCUAAUCUUUUCUUGAUUCAAUUAGUGAAACAUCACAUUUGGGAUUGACUCAGCCAAUUGACAGAUAUAUUAUAUACAAGAGAAAAACCAUAAUAUAUAAUUAUAACACAUCAAAACACAGUGAAAAAUUGAGCAAAAAUAUGAAACUAGCUCUUGUUUAUGCAUAUAUAUACCUUUGGGUGGGAAAGAUUUACAGAAUAUAUGCCGCGUCUCCAAUUAGAGAGUCUAUCUGCUGGGCUGGUGAAUCUACUAAACUUAAGGUCCAGAUCAAAACAAAACCCACGUAACACACAGUUAAAUGAAAGGUGCGGAUCACAUUUCAUUGACACGUGGCACGUUCAGAAGAACCUAUUUUAUGACGUGUCAAACUCAGAGAAGAGAGUAACUCUUCUUUAUAGUAUUAGAUAUACCUUUGGGUGGGAAAGAUUUACAGAAUAUCUCAUUCGUUCGAAGCCCACAAUACUUAAACAAUAGUAUACAAGCCCAAUAACUGUAGAUACGCGCCACACUUUAUGAUCCAAACCCAAUAGUGUAAUAGUGUACAAGCCCAAUAUUUCUUUUCUUUUCUAAUACGCGCCACACUAUUUGGGUCCUCUGCUUCGGCAGUGUACGAUGCCGAACGAAAGAAGACACCGAAGAUGUUAAGGCUCUUCCAUCACAUCAUGUAUACUUUUCCAGUUUGGACCUCUCUUAGGAGCAUAUACCUUAAUCACUAUAGUAAGCAUAUAUAUGGAGAAAGAAACCCCACAACCAUAAUUUUUUGUUUGCUCAUAGUUUGGAUUUCAAAAUUUUAAAUCAACAUCCUACAAUUUACAGAUCAGUUUCUGUAACAAUUAAUUUAUAAUUAUAAAAUAGAUGGUUUAGAUAACAAGUAUAGUUAGAAUACAUUAAUUUAUUCGUCAUAUAUUAAUUUAGUUUUGUAAUUGUGUUUUCGUUUUAAAAUAAAGAUCAUUUGGGAAGGUGAUCAAUUAUAUACCGAUAAGAGUGCCAGUCGUAAUUGUUUGGUACUUUGGUGAAACCCAACUAUGCCAAAGAUGAAAAGUGAAAAUAUCCAUCGUGCUUAUUGUUCGUUCAUCAUUUUCUUUUCUUUUUUGACUGAAGGCUUAUUCGUCAAAUUAUUAAUAAUGUAUGUUUACUACUAGCAAAUGGAAAACAUGGAAUGGCGCUGCCCAAAACUUUUAGCGUUAUAUUUCUCUUAUCAAUAUAUUUUGGAGAAAUAGUGAAAAUGUUAUUUUGAUCAUUUAAUAUGUUUCAAUAAUUCAUACUUUCUAUUUAAAAGAAUUUUUUCUUUUUUUUUGAACAAAGUGCUUUCAGUUUGUGGUAUGAACCUCGGUAAAAAAAGUAACUAGACUGGUUGUUUGUCAUCUGUUAGAUUAAAUUGAAUAUAUAAUAUUUUUUACAUUUUUUUAACUUUAAAAGGUUAAACCUGAGUCUAUUAAAAACAGAGAACCAACCUUCCGAUAGGAGGUACAACUCACGGAUAGAGCUUCUCCCGAGUAUUCAAAUGGGCUGAAAUGCAGUAGUCCAUGUCCGUAUAGAAUGACCAGAAAAGUGUGACUUAGUUUCGCAUGACAGGUGGAUCGAACCUGAAAUGUAGUGAUAUAAUUUUUUACAUUAAUCGGCAAAGAAUACAUUCUUUCUGAAACCAUAAGCCAAUAAGGAUCACAAUCUUUCUGGAGCCAAAUGAAACUUAAGAAUAUGAACAAACGAAAAGAUGAAAUACUAAAAUUGAAGCCUAGAACACAUUGGAAAAACAAAGUGAAUGUCCUGAUUAUAGCGACCAACGGGUAAGAACGGGCAAGAGUGCGCCGAUCGUCAAAUUACAAAUAGAAACAAGUUAAAGAAUCUUGUUUGUGGACUUGAAAUAACUUCCAAAUUGAAAGCUGCCAAAUUGGUUCUUUGGAUACGAAGUUACUGUGACAGGACAGAUAGGUUUUAAAUUUGAAGUUAAAAUUUAGAUUUUCUGUAUACAAAUUAUUUAUUUUAAACGAGGGUUAUAAUGUUGAGAUUAAGAUCUAAAUUUCACAGCUAAUCCCAUAAUAGCUAUAGUUGUUGCGAACCUAUUUUGUUAACCAAGUGAUCCGAACAAACCUGGCUAAUCCAAUAAUAACUAAAACGGUGGAAACAUUAGUACAUUACCUACCAGAUUUUCAACUAGGAGUUUGAUCCAGUUCUGUAAAGAUCACGUGCAUAUAUUUUUGUUUCUGAUGGAUAACGCGGAAAGAAUGCGAAUAUAUGCUUUGUACCUUCUUUAAGUUACAAACCUCUGCCCACAUUCAAUAUCAUAUGUGCAUAUCUCAUGGUUCACUUCUGUGGUGUUUUCUAUCAUGACCUAAAAAAGUGGACCACUAGAUCUAGUUUUCUACUGAUCAAUACUAUUAAAACAGAAACAUGACUUAUUGAUAUAGGUGUUAUCCAACUAUUUUAAUACAAUUAUUAAAAUUUCUUAUUAAUCAUUUAAGAUAAAUAUUAUACAAAGAAAAACAUAUAUAUGACUAAAAACACAAAUAUAAAAAUUAAAUUUCAACAAAAAUAUAAAACAAAAAAUAUACCCGUUUUUUAAGGGUGGAUUAAAAUCUAGUUAAGAUAUAAAAUUGUGUCACAAAAAAUAGAUAUAAAUUAAAUAUGAAAGACUUAAACAAAUACAAUACCAGAGACCAUACAUAUGUUUGUUUUUAAAUGAUGCAUAUUCUGUUUAUGCAAAUAUAUAAUUUAAUUAUAAGGAUAAUCACAGGUUGAUUUAAAAAUGAUAAAUAAUGAUUUAUUAAUCUUGAUUUAAGAUUAAAAACAAAAUUUAUAUGCAUAUUCAUACUGAGUCAUACAAAUAAAUUGUGUGUUCAAUAAAAAGUAAUUGCAACGAUUAUAGAUUGGAACCGUUCAUCCUGAGAUUUGUGUUUUACAAAAUGAGAUUUAUCGUAAAAUAUUUAUUAGUAGAAUUGUUUAUCAAAAUUACAUAUAUCAGUUUUAAGAAAACAUAUAUCAACUGAAUUUGAGUAGGAUUAACUCCAAAUGUUUCCCACCAUAUAACACACGAUUAAAAACUAAAUAAAUAAUGCGAUUCUAGGCGAACACCCACUUCAAGUGUCCAACACAUAUUCCUCUUUUUUUAGUCCAACACAUAUUCCGAAAUCAAAGUGUGUUAGCAAUGCACCGAACGCACUUCGCUCUUCAAAACAGAAUAACCUUUUAAAAAGAAUAUUAUACAUAGACUCCUUUGACCUUUUCUAAGUGGUUCUUCUAUUUGUAAUAAAAGAUUUCAAUUUUGACGAAUAAGGUAACAAGACUAAAGAACCAAUAAGGGUAUCAGCAGAAACAUCAAACAUCAAACAUGUUUGAUGUUUGAUUCUUCCUUGAAAGAGAGUUCCAAAACUUAUAAACUAUAAAAAUUAAAUAUUAGUACUAUUUUGUUUGCUAAAUAUUACUAUAUAUAUAUGUAUAUCAAAAAGUACUACUACUGAAACAUCAACCUUUUAUCAUUUUUAUUUUCUAGCAUGCACCUACUUCUUUAAUUAAAGUAAACUAUUUCAUCUCAAAAGUGGUUGGAUUAUUGUUACUUGAUAAAUAAAAUAUAAAAAUCAUACAAGGUAAUUUAUUUAUUUUCAAAUAAUGAUUAUAAAUGUUCUCAACAGAUGAUACUACAACAUAUUUGCAUUUUAAAAAAUAUUCUGCUAUAGUUUAUAGUGUGUAUAUAUAGACAUGUUGAUCUCUAAGUCUAAUUAACUUUUGUUCUAUUAAAUUAAUAUCGAAAAUCUGAACCCUAAACUCAUUCACUAUUUUUGUAUAUGAAUGUUAAAGAACUUUUCACUUUUUAUUUUUAUUUUUUGCAACUGAAGAACUUUUCACUCUUUCCACCAUAAAUAUUCAAUACCAUAUAUCACAGAUUUAUUUCUUUGCAACUUAUUUUCGAAAGUAUUGUCUUUAUUCAUUGUACUACUUAACUGACGUAAUCAUUCAUUGUAUUUCAUUACAAUUAUAGUAACUAUGCUUAAUGCGUUAGAUUCAAAGAAUCGUAGUUAUCUGUUCUCUUGUUAGUUUUGCAAAUAUGUUUUUAUUUUGUAGCUCCUAUAAUUUAUUAAUUUUUUUCAUUAAGUCUAGUAAUAUAUUUUCAAAUUUAAUUAAUUUUAUUGAUACUAAAAAAGCUCAGAAAAGUUAUUUUUUUCUUUAAAAGUGGCAAGUGCUAAAACAACCUACUCAAGUUGCGUUACACAUUACGUAUCUUUCUCCUCUCACACUCACACACACAAAUAUGGGGAACUAUAUUUUUUUUAUUUUCCAAAUUCUAGAAAAAAUGUUUUAAUUCUUAUAAUUAACAAAAUAAAAUAUUUUAAUAUUUUUUCUCCAAUCCUUUAUAGUUUCAUUUGGCCUUUUCCUUUAUACUUUCACUUCAUCUUCCUAACCUUUCUCCCCAACUUCUCUGUUCAUCGUUUUCUCCUCUUUAUUUAUAAUAAAUAUAAUCACAUAGUAUUCUCUGAAUCCAUCUCUCCAAAAAACACCGUUCAAGAUCAAAUAAAUAAACCAUAUGUUGGUUAUUCAUUCAAUAUUUAGGGUUUAAGGUUUCUUGGGCCGGGGAGGGAUAAAAGAUGGAGAGCUUUUGUGAGUUUCAGAAGGAAGAAGAGCAGAUAGAUCUUCCUCCAGGGUUCAGGUUUCAUCCAACAGAUGAAGAACUCAUAACUCAAUAUCUCCACAAGAAGGUUCUUGACAUCAGCUUCUCAGCUAAAGCUGUUGGUGAAGUUGACUUCAAUAAGUCUGAGCCAUGGGAGUUACCGUGUAUGUUUUCAAUGAUCACCAUAAUGAUCAGAACUGUUCUUUUCUUUGUCCUCUUCUUGAAACAUAACAUUGUUGGGGACUGAUUUUACAGGGAUGGCAAAAAUGGGUGAGAAAGAAUGGUACUUCUUCUGUGUGAGGGACAAAAAAUAUCCAACCGGUUUGAGGACAAACCGGGCUACUGAAGCCGGUUAUUGGAAGGCCACCGGGAAAGAUAAGGAGAUUUACCGAGGUAAAUCACUUGUUGGAAUGAAGAAGACACUUGUAUUCUAUAGAGGAAGAGCUCCUAAAGGUCAGAAAACCAAUUGGGUGAUGCAUGAGUUUAGGCUUGAAGGAAAACUCUCUGCUCAUAAUUUACCUAAAACCGCAAAGGUUUUUUUCUAUCUAAAAGUUCUGUUUCUGCUUUGUUUUUCUCUUUUUCUUUGGUUUAGUAACACUUUUGUUGGAGUUUUCAGAAUGAAUGGGUGAUAUGUAGAGUGUUCCAGAAGACUGCUGGAGGGAAGAAGAUCCCUAUUUCAAGUCUAAUCCGAAUCGGUUCACUUGGAACCGGCUUUAACCCUUCUCCUUUGCCCCAUUUAACCGAUAAUUCGAGUUACAAUGAUAAAACCAAAACAGAACCGGUUUACGUGCCCUGCUUCUCCAACCAAACUGAUCAAGCCCAAGGAAACACACUCAAUGGCUUCAUCAGCCCUGUUCUUAACUCGAUCCAAGCCGACAUUUUCCACAGGAUUCCACUCUACCAAAGCCCGAUGCUCGCUCAAGAACGUUCGGUUCUACAGGCUAUGGUUGAUAACAACACAAGGCAGAGUCUCAAAGCGAUGAGUGUCUCACAAGAAACCGCAGUUUCUACUGACAUGAACACUGAUACUUCGUCGGAUUUUGAAUACGGUAAGAGACGACUCAGUGCUCAAGAAGACCCGUAUUCCUCCACUGGACUGGUUGAUCUUGAACCUUUCUGGAAUUACUGAAGAAGAUUCAGUAGCCUCAUGUCUACGAUUCACUGUCAUGAAAGAACGUAAGAAAACUUUUGACUUUUCCACCUUAUAGUAUGGUGUGUUAAAGUUUGUAUAAUUUUUAACCAUCUCAACUUCCACUAUAUAUUAUACUCUUGAAAAAACUUAAUUUAUGAAUUGGUACAAAUGGGUAUUAUAUAAUAUAAAUGAUGAUAAUAUGCAUAUAUAUGCCCUAAGAGUCUGUAGGAUAAUUUUACCCUUUAAUCACCGUUUUUUUGUGUUUUGAAAUUUGAAGCUGAAGGUCUUAUAGUGUGAAAGUUAAUUCAUAAGAGGCUUACAUUUUAAUAUUACUUGGUGAUAGAAGUCUGCCAAUUUUUGUAAUAACAAUCUAACAUAAAGUAUAUGUGGUGACCGUUCAUACCAUGUAUACUAAUUUUGAAGACAUGCUAUAUUUGUUUUUGAAUGAAAAUAAUAUGCACCCUCCUAUAUUUUAAUUGUAAAUACAGUUCAGAUUAUUAUGGCAUGGCCUUAGUUUGUACUAAAAAUAGUAAUUAUCAUCUGAUUUAUAAGCCGUAGAAUGUGUGGGUGAACUAUUGAAGAAUAAACGAAAUAAACACAGUUCAAAUUAUAUAUACUGUAUAUGUUUAUGCAUCCCCAUCUGGUUUAUUAAAAUAUCGGGAAUGUGUAAAGUGAAACACAAUUUCCAUGAAAAUAAAACCUAAAUUCACGUAACGUAUCAAUUAGUAGAGUUUCAAAAGUAUGUCAUUUCUAAUACUACUAGAAAUAUGUGAGGAGAAAUAGGUAUUUAAGGUUUACCGCUUACGAUAUCAUAUAGUUCUUUUUUUUUGGCAUCAUAAGAAACAUAUAAUUCUACAGGCUUCACUGAAAGUGGAGUGAAGCCAUUAGACACACACACAAAUUCAUUUAAAGUAAAUAACGACACAUAAAACAAGUCUUUGUAACAACGAAAUCUCUUCCAACACUGGAAGCAUGCACCCUUAAUUUUUUUUAUUGCAAAUACUCGUACUCAGAGUCAGUAGAUGGAUACUUAGACUCCUCGGAGCUGAGCUCCUAGUAUCCUUCUCCUUUGCCUUUGCCUUUGCCUUUGCCUUCUCCUUCCUUCUCCUUUGAUGUGUCCUUCUCCUUUUCCUUCAAUGUCUUCUGCUGUUAAAGGGCAUUCUGCGAGACAUAGGCUAUUCCAAAGCCAUAAUGCUCCGACAGAACUAAGUAGCUCCUUUGAUAUCAGGUCAAGACGUGGCUGUGAUAAAAGAAUAUUGAUAUUUUUUCUCCCUUUGCAAAACUCAAGAGCAUGGAGGAUCUCCGGGUGUUCUGAGAUGUCCUCCAUGAUUACCACCAGAUUUAAUGGUUGACGAUGGCCAAUAGCCUUGCCCAUAAAGUCCACGAAAACCUUCUUGCGUCUCUCUUCUUUAGUGCCUGCGUGUCGCAUGGGGAAUGGGAAAUAGAUAUUCCCCAAGACAUCACACAUCUUAAAAGCGUCACAAUAAACAAAGAAUGAUCUUGACAUCAUCAGAUUACGGCAACCCGUAACACGAAUCGAAUAUUCAAUGUUUGAAACAGCAUUAUUAACGGGGAGACCCUCAGGGACCGGGCAUCCAGAGAAGUCCCAGAAGAGGAUUGUUUCGGCCAUGUUGUAGUAAUGGUAUCCUCUUCCAAGAUUGGCAAGUACUUAGGCUGUGCUAAGAUACAGUUGUAUCGUUUCAUUUCCAGUAGAUUAAAAGCGCAUUCGAAGUUGAACUGGGAAUGCCUUGAGAUGUCUCCAAUGAUCCCACCAUGUCCCAGCACACCACUACUUCUGCCGUUCUGAACCGGGCGAUUUCUUUGUCGGUGAAGCGAACCAUGGUUUCCAGGAGACUGUUGCUUUCGCCGCAAAAGAAAAAUCCAAGACGAAUUAACUUAUUUUAGGGUUCCUCUCUGUGGCUGCGUAUAUCACCGAGCGAGAGACGCGAGCCUUUAUAGCUCUGCCCUCACGUGUUCAGGGCCUCAUUUUUUGACGAUAUCAUAUAGUUUAGAAAUGUUUUAUUAUUAAAUAGUCUUAAUAAGAAUAAUAUUUCUAACUAAAUAAUUAAGAAAUGAAAACAGUGCAUAUAUUAUUUUGACAAGAAUAACUAUAUACUAUACUAUAUAUGUAUAAUAAUAGUAGUUAAACUAGUUAGCAUUUUUAGAAAUGUGACAUUAGCAAAAAAAAAAAAAAAACUUUGAAAUGUCGUCUAGUUAACUUUUUCAAUCCCUAUUGGCUAUUGCAUUCGUCAUCACGGAUCUAUUCCGUUAUAAAGCUGUUAUGCGUGAUGCUUGAAAUUUGUGUUUCUAUCUUGUUACGUAGCACAUCUUUUAUUUCAUAUAUAUCUAUAUAUAUAAUAUAUGUCUCAUACAGCUUUAUUAUGGUUGAGAUUUAUAAUUAGUUUACAUGCAUGGUUACACAUUAUUUAUUGUGGUUACUAUUCAACUUUUGUGCUCCUUCCAUACAAUUUUUUUUCGUUUUUUUUUCAUUGAUUAACCAAGUAAAAUAAAAUAAAAGUUAGAACCAUGAUACUCUAUUCAUACUGCAAUACACAACCUGUUAAAUAAACUUAAAUUUUACAAAAAUAAAUAUCCAGAUAUACUACUUAAUUUGAUGAGAAUUUCUUAAGGGCCAUAAAAAUGAUAAGUGGUUUAGGAGUUCUUAUUAAAUACUAGAGAUUUUUUCCGCGCUUCGCGCGGAUUGUGUCUUAUAAAUUUAUAUUAUUUAUAAUAUUAUUUGUCGGUUUUUUCUUUUACAUUAACUUCUUGUCUUUUCAAUGUUAGUUUUUCUUAAUUUAAAUUUAUAUGUUUAUAGUUUUUCAUUUUUCUUGUUGUAGAUGGAGAAUUAUAUUUUUUAUUGAUGGUUUUUUGUAUGUGAUAAACUUUUUGAAAUUUUAAAAUAAUGUUAUAUAUAGUACGAUUAACACAUUAAAGAAGAUAAACAUAUUCAGACACAUUUUACACAGGUUUUAUAUGCAUAAUUUUAAAUAUUAUAUAUGUAUAUAUUGUAAGUUUGAAACAUGUAAAUGCUUUCUAAAGCUAAAUACUUGUUCUAAGUUUACAUAACUUAUCGAAAGUUUUAUCUCUUUUUAAAUUCAAAUCACAGAAAAAAAUAUCAAAAAGUCAGUAUAUAUGGGUUUUUGGGCUUUUAAAUCAAUACUGAAAAAUUACAUGAAUCAGAUAACAACAGUUUUGUAAACAACUAUAAAAUUUGACCGAGCCAAAGAUUUUCACACAGUAUGUUAUUUAUUCUUCAAAUUGCGAAGAGUCUAUAGGCACAAGAAAAAAAAAAUCAUAAUUUUUGUUUUCACUUAUAUAACAUUUUUCCUCCUUUACACACGGAGUUUAUUACACUGCUAUAAGCAAUGGAGAAACAAGUUGUUUUGCGAAAAGAAAGUUAAGAAUAUGUUUUAAACAUCCGCAAAAAAAGUUAUAAAUUCAAGAAAAGUUAGAAGGAUAAACGCAAUCUAAAUGCUUGGAUGAGAUUCGAUGCGAACAUCGUGAAAGGAUAAUGAUAAGUUUUAGUCUGCGAGAUAAACUAUGAUCAUAAACAAAAUGAAAUGGACAUGUUACGACCGAUGAGAUUGGAUGUUAAGCAGAUCAGUUGUUCUUUUUUUUGCUUCCAAGUAUAUAUAGUAGAUUGAUGCAUAGAAGAGCAAGUGGAGAACAUUCUGAAAUGAGUUUUGAGGCUUAAGGCUUGCAUUGUUCAUAGAGAUCAGCCAUAUGCUAAGGAAGUUAUAGUAGAAAAACUUAUUCGGAAAAACGAUGCGUGCACCAUAUGAUUUUGCCCCAAGGGACAUUAAAAUAACUACAAUGAACCAAGACAAAGUGAAGAAUAUUGUGGGAUUAUCUUAACUUGGUUAACAUAUAGAAGCAUCUAGAACGAGGAUCUUAGUGAUUUAAUUUGGUUUUCUAUAAUCAAGGAUUCCUCUCUAUAUGCUACAAUCCAAACUGGUCCUCACUAAAUUGUAGAUGCGCAGCUUUUUUCUUCCAAAGAUAUGGUGGUGUUGGUGUUGGUAUCGGCAUUUAGUUGAAUAGUGAAUUAUGACCCGUGGAAUCAAUAAACACGUCAUGGCCUACUUGGGUGGGUUUCCAAAUUUAUGGUGUGAUUACAUCAUCUAGCUUCUUUUUUUUUGUCAGCCAUCAUCUAGCUCAAUGUCAAGAACGAGAGAUGGUGAAAUAUAACGUGUGCCCAAAAAUAUGCCGAUCAGCAGAUGAAAUCUUAUGUAAUAUAAUUAUGCAUGGGUAAGACGCGGAUGACUGGAUGAGAUACCUAGUUAUAUAUACAUAGAAAGUAAGCCUACAUAUUCGUGUGAUGAAACAUCAUAAUACAAAACAAAAUUUGGAAGGAGGAGGGAAACCUAGUACAUAUAUGUAUACAUAACUUAAAACACCGUGCAACUACUCCAAUCACAGAUUAAAGCCUUAGAACCGAUCAUCAAGGUGGAUUCCAAACUAAUUAACCCCAAAGAGGAAAAAAGAGAAUCAAGUAAACAAGAAGUUACAAGUUUUUGUUAAAAGAAAUGAGAAUAUAGAGAAUGGAUGAAUUGAGGGUGUUCAAAAAAAAAAGGAAGGGAAAUGAGAAUAUGUGAGGGGUGGUAAGAGACGAACAAUAAUGGAAAAACAAAAAAAGUGGCAAACAAAAUAGGACCACGUCGAAAAUAACGAGUGGUGUUACAGUAUCCCUUCAAUUCUCAAUGAUCAAGACAAUUUUGUCCAAAACAAAAUGAUCAAGACAAUAAUGUCUAUCACUUUUCCACUUCACUAUAUCUACAGUAUCCAUGACCCAACUGUUUCUUAUUUAUUUUCUUCUUUUGUGUUUAUAAAAUUAGAUUUAUUAAUUUCCAGAUAUAUCUAAUAAAUAACUUGAUUUAGAUUCCGAUUGGUGACACAUAGUAUUAACAUUGAGUUGUAAUAUGUAUUAUAACUUAAUAUAAUUUAGAGUAAAAAUUAUGUGGUAAAAAUAUAGAUUUAUGUAGUAUGUUUGCAGUAAAAAUAUGAGUUAUUAUUUUUAUUAAAAUAAAUGAUUGAUAAAAUUUACGGUGUAGAAGUUGCAGUAUAUUUUUAUACAAUUUAAAUUAAUUAAAAUAUAAAUAUUAAGUAGGUAUUGGAAAAUAAAUAAUAACUAAAAUAAUUAAACAAUUAUUAUUACUUAUUACUAUGUAUGCAAUUUUAAUAAUUGAAAAUAAGCUACAUAAUGCAUUAAUUUCAAAAUUAUAGUUAUAAGUAAUACUAUUUAUUAUAAUAUCAAUAUUAAAAUAAAUUACACAAUUAUUAAUAACUUCAUUUUAAAAUUAAAAAUUAAUAGUAAAAAAUAGUGUGCAUUCCAAAUCACAUUUGAAAUUUCAUUUUGCAUAUUGAAUUAUGCAGUAUCGACUAUAUAUUUAUAUUCUUGAUAUAUAUAUAAGCCAUACAAUUAUGUUUUGAACAAAAUUUGGUUCUUGGGUAAAUCAAAUCAUCUUAUUUUUUCAUGAUAUCAUAAGAAUAACCACCUACUAUCAUUUUAAUAUAAACGAUAUGUUGCAUAGUACUUUUCAUUAGUGCUAAUCCUUCUUUUUGUGCUAGAAAUGCUUGAAAAUAAAUAUGUAUAGCUAAAUGUAGUAAUAUAUACAGCAUCAAUUUGCAAAUAUUCUUCUUGUUAGAAAAUAAUUGCGAGCUAGUUUAAACAAAUUGAUCUAUUUAAAUAAUUAAUAAUUCGCGUACCAAAAUAUCUAUCAUAAUCAACAUUGUCAGUAUGUACGUGUGUAUAUAUAGAAGAGAAUAGCUCUUAAGCUCACCACCAUCACACAAUUCAUUGCUCUUCUUCACAAGUUUCUUUAGUCUAAUCUUAUAGUGUUAUAAAAAUACAUAUUUCAAGGAUAUAUAGAAAGCAAAAAUUCAAAGUCUACUUGAAAAACAUGAAAACACCUAGCAGCUCUGUGGGCAAGACCCAAGAGCGCUUCUCGAUUAGUCUCAUAUUCAGAUGUAUCAGAGUUCUCAUUAACAGAUCUAUUUCUUUCUUACCUUUUUAGAAUAUUUCCUUUCUGAUUUUAGUUUCCCAAUAUAGUAUUUCCUUUGGUGUUGUUUGAACCUUUAACACAUUAGUGUUCAUAUAUAUAUAUCGGAGAAAAUGUCAAGAAAGCCAUGUUGUGUCGGAGAAGGGUUGAAGAAAGGUGCAUGGACCACCGAGGAAGACAAGACGCUCAUCUCUUACAUUCACGAACAUGGAGAAGGUGGCUGGCGCGACAUUCCCCAAAAAGCUGGUUAGUAUAUAUAUAGUAUACACAGGCAUGUAUAAUUAGUAUUUAUUGUAUAAUAUUUUGAUGAGAAUAUGGUGUUUAAUUAGGGUUGAAAAGGUGUGGAAAGAGUUGUAGACUGCGAUGGACUAACUACCUAAAACCUGAGAUCAAAAGAGGCGAGUUUAGUUCAGAGGAGGAACAGAUUAUCAUCAUGCUCCAUGCUGCUCGUGGCAACAAGUACGUUUAUUUUUAACAAAAAGGACUAUUAUAUGUUUUUUAUGUGCGUAUGAAUCCUCCGGUAAUCAUCAUUCUAGUUGUCUCUUUUUUUUUUAUUACCGCAAACAAAUUUUAUUAGUAAAAAAUUUAAAUUACAAAGUCCAUAUUCAAAACACACAAAAUGUUAUAUAAUCUAUAUAUACAUCAUAUAUUAAAAAGUACAACAUGAUAAAUAAAUUUAACGAUGCUUCUAAAGUGAAGUUUUACUUCGAAAAAAUUUAUUCGUUAUUUUUUCCAAUGUAUUUGACAAUUCUCUGAUGCAAAAUAUGUGUUUGGUUAGCACACAUCAUUUAGUCUAUAUUCCAUAAAAAAACUUCAAAAUAAAUUUUAUUAACUGUGGUCUUCCAUCUUAUCUCUUUCACUAUUCUUGUCUUUAGGUGGUCGGUCAUAGCGAGACAUUUACCUAGAAGAACCGACAAUGAGAUCAAGAAUUACUGGAACACGCAUCUCAAAAAACGUCUGAUCGAACAGGGUAUUGACCCCGUGACUCACAAGCCACUAGCUUCUAAUACUAGCCCUACUGCCACCACCACGCAGCCUGGGAACUUGCAUUCUCUAGAUGCAUCUAGUUCCGACAAACGAUACUCCCGGUCAAGCUCAAUGCCUUCCAUGUCUCGUCCUCUUUCCUCCGGUUUCAACCCAUCUUCCGAGAUCACCACACCAGUUCAGGGAGGUUCCUUGAGUUGCAAGAAAAGUAUUAAGAAAUCGAACUCUACAUCAAGGCUUUUAAACAAAGUUGCGGCUAAGGCCACUUCCAUCAAAGAUAUCUUGAAUGCUACUACAAUACCAUAUGAAAGCUUUUCCAAUGGCUUCCCUGAGCAGACUCGCAAUGAAGAAGAUAGUUCCAAUGCUCUCGCUGACUUCGAUCCCUUUUCUCAAUCAUUGUUGUACACUGAUCACGAGAUACAUGCUACUUCUGAUCUCGAUAUGGAUCAGGGUUACGAUUUCUCAUAUUUUCUCGAGACACUCGGGAGAGAUGAGCACAACAUGAAUGUCGAUCAGUAUGGUCAUGAUCUUCCUAUGUCAGAUGUGUCACAAGACGUCGUCUCAUCAACUAGCGUUGAUGAUCAAGACAAUAUGACUGGAAACUUCGAGGGUUGGUCAAAUUAUCUUCUUGACCAUGCUGGUUUGAUAUAUGACGACACUGAAUAUGAUUUCUUCGAUAAGCAAAUCAUAUGAAUCUUUUUAUAUUCGAACUGAACGGUUUCAAACUAUUUGAAACUUUCCUGAACGAGAAGUUAUGUAUGUAUUUGUCAUUUGGAUUGUUAAGUAUAUGCCCGAGAAGGCGAGAACUCAUGUUUAUUAAUCCGUAGGGUUUGUAUGACGUUAAAUCAGGGUUAAUGUUAGGUCACCGCAAGAAAUAAGAAAAUAGUACUCGAGCUAGGGUUUCUCUUACACUGAGAACCACCGUGCAUGCCUCACGGAUCAAUUGGUAGUUGAUUAGGGCCAGUCACAAUGUUUCAUAAUAUUUAUUGCAAUAAAGGUUGUUUUAUACACAGUUCCACAAAAAUGCAUGUUUAAAAUUUUUCACACAUUAAUAAAACAUAUUGUAAUUAAUUUCAGUAUUAAUAUAUACUUUUGUGAUUAUCUAUUUUAUAUAAUCCUAAACCAAUGAAAAUUUAGUAAAUGUAAUUAAUUUUUGAAAUAAAUUAUUUUUAUAAAACAAACAUCUUUAUGAAACGGAGAUAAUAUUUUUUUUAUAGUACACAUUAUCAGUAUUCUUUUGCUAAAAGUUAAAGUCGAUUCUAAUCAUCAGUCAUGCUCUUCUUUAUGAUUAUAUCAGUGUUUCCAACUUUCCAUGGCAUGAAGUUGGUGGUAUCUUUCGUUGGAUUGGAAACUGACCACACGAAAAAGACGUUUCAAUAGAAAAUGUACAUGUGGUCCAUAAGCAAGUAAAUGAAAGCUAAAGAUCAAGAUGGGAAACAGAUAAUCGGAAGUGUGAGCCGAUAAAUCUUAAUCAUAUAACUUUUAAUAUAAUAUAUAGUAUUUGUGUGAAAAUUUCAAGACUGCUAUUAUACAACAAAAUCACCCCAAGUUUUUUUUUUUUUCUUAAAGCAAAAGCACCUCAUUAGCUAUAAUUCUUCGAUUUAUAGUUUUCAUUUUUCCUAUAUGAUUUUCCAUUUCCUUGUUUCAGUAUAUACACAAACUAUUUCAAUAUAUAUAUAUAACUUACCAUGAAAAUAUAGGUUCAAUUCACGCUGGGAUAAACUAUUUACAAUGCUUGGAUUUAUGGCAAAGAGGUGAAACCAUCUUUUUUUGCACAAAAAAGAAAAACUUAACAUGAAAAUACCUUAACCCUUAGAAACACAAAUCAUUUAGUGAAGUCUUACUCUCCUUCCGUAAAUGACCCCCCCGGCCCUCAGUGAUUUUUAUAGUGAUUUAUAAAAAUGCAGUAGGAUCUAAACAAAGUGACACGGAACUACGCAAUUUACACGACCAAUGUCAUCCAUCACGCACUCGAUCAUUCGUCCGAAGUGUUGCUUGCGUCGACGAUCGCCUCUUUCAAUUGUCUCUACUUUUUUUUUCUUUUAUGAGUUUAUCCCACUCCUCUUGAUAUGAUAGUCUCACCCUCGUCCAUGAAUAUUCGUUACUGUAAAUUAUAAACAACUUUUGUAUUAGUUAGAUUAUUUUAUUUAUGAAUUUCCUAUCCAAUUUUAUAUGUCACCAUAACCUUUACGUACCUUCUUUGUCAUUUUUCUUACAAAGACCUUAUUUAUCGAAAUAUUGAGAAUAAAUUAUAGUAACACACGAAUGAAAGCAAUACAACUAUGCAUGUUAUCAGUUAUAUUUAGAAUGCAUUACUAAUAAUUUAAUUUAAUAACUUGUUGCAAUUCCAACCAUUUUAAGCCUAUUUUAGUAGUUUCUUGGCCGGUUUUGUUAUUUUUUCUUAAAGAGUAUUUAAUUUAAGUAUAAUCGGUUACAAGAUACGACAAUUAUACUGCUAAAGUUUGCAUGAAUAUUUUCAUAAUAUUUGGAACCUUUUUUAGCCUACAUAAAAGUAAAAAAAAAAAAAAAAAAACUUAGGGAAAAUUUUAAACAAACAAAACAACGUGAAAUGAUCGGUUUUGUUUAUCUGUUUUGGAUAUGGCUUUGAGUUGCUAGCAUUAGUUAAUUAGUUUGAGGUUUUGCUCUUGUGGUGUUCAGUUUAGUUAACUUUGGUCUAAACAGGUGUUUUCAUCAUCUCUAAAUUUUUAAAAUGUGUGAACUGUUAUAAAAUAUGUUGUUGUAGUUCUUAUGUAAUCUGAAAUAUUUUCAGCCUCCAAAUAAAUAAGCUCUCUCUUCACAUGUGAAUCAUAAAUAAUAGGGCAAAGAUUUUUAACGGAACCCAACUUGUCUAACCAAAAUUUUUGGUGAUUUUCGGUUAGUUUGGUUUUCUAAAAAAACAUUUGUUGCUACUUUAUCACAUUUAUUCAUCGCAUCCAAGUUUUUUUGCGCACUUAUUUUCCUCUUUCUACCCUCAAACUAAAUCAAUUAAAAAUCUAACUCAUGUAGAUCCACCCGCGUUGGACUUAACUGCAAGGCCGCUCCUGGACUAAAACCCGUAAAACCAGAAUAUUAGGCUCCAAACCUUCUAGAUAAUUUAGGAGCACCAAAUCUGAACAAUUUAUUACCUUAAUCUAAUGGUUUAUUUCCUUCUCAUCAAGUCCUACAGUUGAUGUAUUUGAUUCACUCUCUCUUUUAGUACUACUUUUCUUUUAGUUUCUUACUUUUUCUAACAAAGUUAGUCUCUCUAUCACAUACAUUAAAUAAAUCAUUUAAUUAAGCAAACCUUAGUUAUAUUUCAAAGUAGACGUUCUUCUUCCUAUUUUGUUUUCAGUUCUUUUUCUUCGGAGAAUAACUUAUUAAUGAUCAAAGUAAUCAUUUGUUUUCUAUUUUAUUUUUUGAUAAAUAGUUACGUACAAGACAUUUAUUAUAACAAGCGAUUUAAAUUACCAGUUGCUUAACUUCUACACUUUUCUUAACAAAAGAAAAUUGAUGUUGAUGUUAAUGUAAUUUUAUUAUAUGUUGCUAUAUUAUAUAACUUUUAUUUUUAUUUACAGAAAAUGUUACAAAAAUAAGAUUAGUAACCAACCUGGAUUAUAUAUUUUAGUUAUUCAAAGUUCAUGAAUACAAACAUUAUUUUCAUGAAUACUAUGAUUUAAAGCUCUUUGAAUUUUCUUUCAUUUUGUUAACAAAUUAGGAUUUAAUAGUAUAUUGCAUUAUUUUGAUUACAUACCUAAAAAUGCAGUUUAAAAUUUAGUUAUAUUUAAGGGCAUAAGUUUUUUGUCUGCUUUAGGCGCCACGUAAGUUCGGACCGGCACUGUCUAGCUAGCUGUAUGUUUCAUUUUCGGAUUAUUUAUUUUACCUAAAUACUAUUUUGUUUUUUAUUUUCGGAUUUUUUUUAUUUUCGUUUACCAACACAUUUUUGCAGUUCUUUUUAUUAAUUUUCUAAUUUGAAUGAUAGAGAACCAUCCAAAAAUUAUAUUAUAUAUAUUCAACCAUCAUGUUUGAAUGAAUCAUUUAUUAAUGGGCUCUAAUAGGCCCACAUUUAUUUUGUACGUUUAUAAAUCAUUUAUUACUGGGCUAACCCCAAUAGGCCCACAUUUGUUUUGUACGUUCAGAUGAAUAUACAAGUCAGCAGUACAUAGCCAACCGUUUGUGAUAACCCUGCACUGGAUCAGAAGAUGAAGAAGGCGUUGUCCACGAGACCGUAAUCACACGUGGCGAAACAGUAGAAAAUUGCAAGAUUUUUGCCGUAAAAAAAAAACAACAACAACUUUCUUGGAGGAGGAAGAGUCAAAAGAGAGAUAGAACGAUUUGGUGGGAGGUUUCUCUUCAGUACUAACCUUAAAAAGUUAAAACCCACCAACAAACUCUUUUGGGUUUCUGUCUGAAAGAAAAGAAGACAUGUCGUUGUGUUGUUCAUCAACCCAACAAGUCAAUGGGUUCGGUCUCAGGCCUCAAAGGUCGCUCCUUUACCAACAACCCACUUCCUUUUUCUUUCUCCAGGUACUUAAAAGUGAAUGCCUUUCAUGAGUUUGUGGAUAUGAUUGGGAGAGUAAACGUUAUCAUUUGAAAAAGAAUCAGUCUUUCUUGCAUUAACUGUUAUCCUCAAAGUCACACACUUUGGUAAUCUAAACGUUUUGUUCAGAAGGAGAGCUCAUGGCGUUGUGAAGGCAUCAGCUCGUGUUGAUAAGUUUUCCAAAAGUGACAUCAUUGUCUCUCCUUCGAUCCUCUCUGCCAAUUUCGCCAAACUAGGAGAGCAGGUUAAAGCAGUAGAGUUGGCAGGUUGUGAUUGGAUCCACGUUGAUGUGAUGGACGGUCGUUUUGUGCGCCAUAGAAAUCUCUGGAUUGUGAAUCUUUUUGUGAGUUGUGUAAUAGGUUAUUGAAGCUGGAGCCAAUGCUUUAGUAGCUGGAUCAGCUGUAUUUGGAGCUAAAGACUAUGCAGAAGGUAUAGACUUUGGAAAGUUAUAUAUAAAUUUGCUCAGUUUAUGGGAGAAUAAUCUUUUUGUUUGUUUUGAAAAAAUCUACAGCUAUAAAAGGAAUCAAGACCAGCAAGAAACCAGAAGCUGUGGCUGUGUAAUGUUGAAGCAACAAGCUAAAAAAAUACUCUGUUAUAAUCUUAGGUUGGUUGGUUUCGCCUUAACUGAAUAUCUAUGUUAGUAUCUUAAGACUUGGCUUGCGAUGCACAUGUUUGAUCUGAACUGCAGUAACUCUUGUUUCAGGAUAAACUAAAAGGGUCCAGAUGUUGUUGUUUUUGCCAUUCAACAGAGGUACUCUACAGUUUCAAAAUAGUUCAUAUAUACUUGUGUACCAUUGUCUUGUAGAUUGGGGAUCUGCAGAUUCCAUACAUUGUGCAAUGAAACACUGUAAUAGUUAAUAAACUGGUGCAUUAUGUAUUUUUGUUUUUGGGAAAAUAAAGCAUGGUCACUUGUAUACAUAACUCUGAUCACUUAGCUUCCUCUUCUGUAAGAACAUGAUCAUAAACAUCUCCUAUAUAUUAAUUGUGAAAUAUUACAACUUCUUUUUGUAAACAUAUGUCAUCACUAGGAUGAUUCUUAGAAUCCUUAGAUAAAUAGGUUGGUCCAUCUGAUUAUAUAAUAAGUUUUUUAUUAUCUAAUCAUAAAUUCAUUAUUAAUGUUGUUUAUUAUUUCCUUAAAUAAAAGUUACGGAAUUUCCUAAUGUGUCUAAAGUAUAUAUGACAAUUAAUGAUUCUGAAUAAUAAAGAUUGGAUAAAAAAUAAUGUAUCUUAUAUCAUAUUUGUUUAAUUUUAAUCUAUUAAAAUAAAUUAAACAACCACAUUAACCAUAUAAUAAAAAUUCAGAUUUUUUUUAUAAGUUAUAUUUUGAAUUUUUAAAAACGAUUAUAAAUUACUAAAACCAUUACAAGAUAUAUAUAUAUAUACCAUAUAUCUUUUAAAAUUAAACUAUAUACCAUAUAAAACACAUAAAUAUUUUAAUUUCGAAAUUUACUUUGAACAAUUUCUUUUGAUAAAAUAUUUGAACAAACAUUAACAACUUAAUUUUUUUUAAAAAUAUUAAUUACUAAAACUAUUAAUCCACAUUCCACAAUGAAAAUUUUGUUAGUAGUAAUUUAAAAUUUUUGCUAUAAAAUAUACAAAUGAGAAAAAAAAAACAUAUGAGUAAAAAGCAUCAUUUAGUAGACAAUAAUAUUAAAAAUAUACUAUAUAUGUUAAUAUCUUUUAAAUUUAAUUAUAUAUCAUUUUAAAUAAAAAAAUUGUUUGGAUUCAUAAAAUUUAUGUUCUCACCAAUUUAAUUAUAUAUGUAAUAGUUACUGAAUUUUUAAUUAUUCAAUAUAUAUUUAUUAUUUCAUAAUAUGUAAAAAAUAUAUAAUAUCUAAAAUAAUUUAUAUAUAAUGUUCAUCCCGCGCAAGGUGCAGAUCUUAACCUAGUUAGUUAGUUAUUCUAAUGGAACUCAACAAUUGAUGGAUCACGCAUGAAUUAUUUUGUAUCUGCCAUUAAUUAAAAAAAUGGAUAGUAGAUAACAAGAAACGAUAGAAAUAGAGAAUCAUAAACAAGAAACAAAACAAAACUCACACAAUUUAAUGAAAAACUCUCUAGCCACCAAGUCCAAGUCAUUAACUCUGCAAACCAAAUGCAUGCCACAAUUGCAUCAUAAAAAAGCAUAAUGUACAAUAGAAACUUCAUAAAUUAAUCCUAAUCAACAUGAUAAAUAAAUAAUUUUUAGCAGUCGCAAGUUUUUCGGUGUAAAAUAUGACACAAUUUGAUAAGAUAAUUUGAUAAGAUAAUAAAUUAAUGAUUAAUUGUAUACAACAAUUAUAAAUAUAAAAAACAUUGUACAAUUUAUUUAUCCACAUUAAAUUCUAUCUUUAAUUUUUCUAAAUAUAUUGAUGUUAUUUUGUCAUUUUAAAUCUAAAAAUAUUCAUUUACAUUGACAGCACAUAUUUUUUAUACACCAAAAAUUCGAAUAAGAAUAACAUAAAAUUUGUAUAUGUAAAAUUUAAUCAAUACAAUUACCAUAAAAUUAAGUUUUUUUUUUUAAUUUUACAUAAAAACAUAAUUCAAAAUAUAUAAAUAUAAAAAAAAAAAAAAUUUCUGUAAAUUAAUAACUCUAUAAAAUAAUAAAUUAUCAAAGUCCCGACAUUAUUAAUUUAUAGAGUUUUUACUGUAUUUCAUGUUAUUGUAUGAAAAUAUAUAUUAUGUAUACAAUGUCAUAAACUUUAAAUAAUAAUUAAAAACAUUAAAAAUAUAAUUUUUAACUUCAAAUAGUUUGAAAAUAUAAAAUCUAAAAACUAUUUGUAAUAGCAUGAAAUUUAGUGAUAAUUCAACAAUAUUAAUUUAAGUCAUCAAAAAUAUAUAUUAAUUUAAGUCAUAAAAUGUUUAGAAAACCGGCUCACAAUAAACUUAAUUUUGGUGCAAAUUAAUUAUCAAUCGUAAAGUUUCCAUAAAUUUGGUGUAAAAAUAACUUAUGAAUAUGUAGUAAUAACAAAUGUUUGUGGAAUUGUAUAUGUAAUUAUCACAUUAACUUCUCCAACCAAUAUUAGACAUCUUCUUCGGCCUCUUCUUAUUUUUUCGUUAUCAUUUUGUUCUUAUUAUCAAAUUUUUGCUAAUGUUUUUCUAUCUUUUUAUAUUUUUGUCAAAUAUUUAUUUCUCUCUCUAAAUAAUAAUGCAAACUAUACAAUCAAUGAACCAAAGAGCAUCCUUUGCCAUGAACCUCUACUUCCGACGGUUCAGAAAAACAGAAACCAGCUGCUACUUCCAUGGAACCGCUCUCAUCAUCCAGGAGAACCCUGGCUCGCCUUUCUGUGAAUUCAAAGAAAUUUGCGGCGGUGGUAGUGGCGUUCGUGUCGGAUUGAUCCUCACCCUUAUUGGAGCUCUCCUCGUGAUCGUAGUUCUACUCGUCUUUUUCUGUGUUACAAAGAGGCUGCUGCCGUCUUAGUGUCUUCUUCGUCUCACUGGGGAAAUUUUUUUUUUUUGUAUGGAAAGUUACUGUGUUAAAGUUUGGUAAUAAAAACGUCACUAUUUUGCAUUGUUAUAUGAACUCGGUUUCUAGUUAAAUUUUUGUUAAUAGUUUAUCAAUUAUCAAAUGGCAAAUGACGCUCUUUGGUUCAUUGAUUGUAUGGUUUGUAUUACUAUUUAAAGAGAGAAAAUAAAUAUUUGGCAAAAAAAUAUAUAAAAAUUAGCAAAACAUUAGCAAAAAAUUUAAUAAAAAGAACGAAAUAAUAACGAGAAAAAUAAGAAGAGGCCAAAGAAGAUGCAUAAUAUGUGUUGGAGAAGUUAAUGUGAUAAUUACAUAUUUAUAAUUCCACCAGCAUUUGUUAUUACUAAGUAUUCACCAAUUAUUUUAUAUCAAAUUUAUAGAAACUUUACGACUGAUUUUUAAACUAUUUGAAGUUAAAAAAAAAUAUAUAUUUAUUUAAUAUAAUUCAAAAUUUAUGGUAUUGUAUACAUAUAUAUAUAUAUAUAUUCAUACAAUAUUUAUAGCCAACCUAGUUAUGAUAAAGGCAUAAGCCUAGCACCAUUUUUUCAAUAUAGAAAUUAGCUUACUCUUUUAAGCUCUUAUCAUCAUUCAAUUUCUUGAAAGCUAAGCCUUCCAAAUUCCUCAAACCUAUAAUUAUUAUGCUUUCAGUUGAAUACUAAUACAUAGAAUCAUUCUCCCACAAUUCAAUAUGUGGUUAUAAUAUAUGCAAUGGAGGGUAUUGUAAGCAUCCAAAUCCAAUUGCAUCACUAAGCAUAUCACACAAGCAAAAGACUUUUCUAGUUAUUGUAUCAAAAUAUUAGAUUCAUAUAUAUAUGUCACAACAACAUUACCUAAGAAACAAAUAUACAUUAUCUAUCUUAUUAAAACUCAAGUACAAAAUUGGAGUGUUUGUAGACUUGAAUAGGACUUUUAAAAAUUUGGAGUGUUUGGAAACAUGGAUUGCAGUCUUUUAAAAAAAAAUAUUUUUGUUUGAAAACAAGGAUAGUAGUAUUAAGAAAAAAAGUAAUGGGCUUAUGUUUUUUUAAAAAAUUGAAAGUUAUCUAGGCCACUUUUAAAAUAUACCAAAAUGGGUCAAUCUAAUUCCCUAAAAAAAAUUUUUCUAAACUAACCAUAAAACAAAAUUUAAACUUUAUAUACAUAUUUCAAAUCAAAAUAAUAAUUCAAAUUUGAUUUAUAUCAAAAAUUGAUUCAAAAAUAUACAUAUAUUCAAAAAUGGAUUUUUACUAAACUAUUUUUCAAUAACCAUUAUAAAAAAAUAUUGUCAAUAUAUAUAAGAAAAAUAUAAUACAAAGCCCAAUUUGAAAUACCAACUCAAAUUAUGGUUUUCAUAUUUCAUAUUAAGUUUUAAAAAUAUAAUAUAUGUAAUUAUUUAUAUGAUGGUAUGUAUAAAAUACUAUUAAUUAUAUGAUUACUUAUAUGAUGGUACAUAUAAAAUACGAUUAAUUAUAUGAUGAUAAAAUACGAUAUAUAAUAAUGACUAGGGAUGGGCUUUUGAAUCACAUAUGUCAUAAUACUUAAACUUAACAUAUCAAUUGGCUUGAUUUAAAAUUUUGGAAACGAAAUCAAUAAUUAUUUUAAGUAUUUUUGGUGAUUUGAGUAUACUUUAACUAUUUCAGAUAUUUACUUUUGACUAUCUAUAUAUAUUUUCAAGUAUUUAAACCAAUUUAAAAGUAUCAUUUUUGAUGUUUUAUAUACGUUAAAUCUAAAAAUAAUUAAUAUAUAUAAGUAUAUAAAUCUAUUUUUAGAUAAAUUCGGAUACCUAAAUACUUCGGUUCGGAUCAGAUUCGGUUCUCUAAAUAACAAAAUUUUGAAUAAUUAGAAUAUUUAAUCAAUUUAUGUUUGGGUUUGGUACUAUAUCUUUGGAUCGAUAUCGGUUAUGUUCCUCGGAUUCAUUUUUUCAAAUCCUAAUAAUUACAUGAAAAACAAAUAUCAACAUAUUUUUCAAAAUAUACACCCGCGCGCCUGCGCGGGUCAAAAUCUAGUUCCCAAUUAAACUUGACAAGGAAACGUUAUGUAUAAUACAUGAUUUGUAUUCUACUCACAAGAAAAUAUCAUUUCCAUUGCUUUUUUGUGGCUUUAGAAGAAAAAUAAAAUCUUAUUUUAUUAAUUCCUCUAAACAACUCCUUAUCACCAGGAAAAAUCCCUUGGCCUCUCUUUAUUCCGUUCUUUAACAUCCAUCCAACCCACAAUUAAUUCAAAAAUAUAAUGAUAAUUAUUAUUAUAUGAUAAAUUAUAUAAGGACCUUAUUUGAGAAAACUCAUUCAAGAUUUGGUGGAUCACUCAAGAACACAUCUUCAAAGAAAAAGAUUGCAAAAACUAGAAUGAAGAAGACAAUGGAAGAUUCAAGCAAGAUCAUGAGAAGAUCAAUCCACACUUUCCUCCAAAACUACCACCAUGCCACCACCGCAGCCGCCAUUGCCCUCCCUUUCUCUGCCGCUCUCCUCCUCUCUCAAGCCUUCUUCUCCUCCUCUUCCUCCUCCUCAUUUCACUUGAGGUUAAACACACUCUUCCACGGAGCGGGUUUCACUUCUUCACUUUACUUCUUCAACAUGUUAAGCCUUAAACUCUCACAAACACUUUCUUCCUCUUUGCUCACUCUCCUUUUCUCCCUCACUUUCCUCCUCUUCUCCAAAGCUUACGUCAUCAAACUCCUUUCAAACAACCACGACUCUUUUUGUUAUUACCUUCCUCUUCUCAGAACUUACGUUUGCAACUCUCUCUUCCUCCUCUCAGCAAACGCCUCUGCUUUUGCUCUGUGCUUCUUCAUAGCAUCCUUUGGAUUCUAUUCAAGAAGCUUCUACACUCUAUUCUCCUUAGCCUCAGCCAUUAUCUACUCGAUCAUCCUCGCAAACGCCUAUGUCAUCACCAACCUAGCCUUGGUUUCAUCAACAUCCUCUCCCUCCUCAGGAGGAUACACAACAACACUUCUCAAGGCGUGUCUUCUCAUUCGUGGAAGAGCUUCAACAGCAUUGGCACUUGCUCUGCCUACUAAUCUCGGCUUAGCAGGAGUGGAAGCCUUGUUUCAGUACAGAGUAGGGAGGUCUUAUUACAAAGAGGACAGAGGUAUCACCUCGAUAGCUGUAGAAGGAAUGUUAAUAGCUUACUUAUACGCUCUCUUCUUGGUUCUUGACACUAUAGUCAGCUUCCUCUUUUACCAAAGCUGCCUCAAGAACGAUGAGGAUCAGAAGAAAGGUAGAGAAGAUGAGUAUACGAUCAAGAUCCAAAUAUGUGGAACAGAUGACAUGAAGAUAUGCAUCAAAGGUCCAAAAUGUUUCCAAGAAAUCUUGUGAAUUUCGUGUUUUGGUUUGAUGUCAAUUAUUGAUAAAGAACCAAGAAAGGAGGUGACAAACUUUUUAAAGAUUAACGAUUUUUUAAAGGAUAAUUUCUCAAGUAGCUUUCACUUCAAUCAAUUACAUGAUCAGUAUAAUUCUCUUAUUGAUCUGAUUUUAAUUUAUUUUCUUAUAAUGUAAAGUCGUAUAUAUACAAACAAAACUAUAGUUAAUGUCAAUCUUGAAAUUCACAUUUGAUUAUUCCUACAAUGGAAUUUCAUUGCCGACAUAAUGUGUGUAUAUUCCUUCAAUGAUUUAAUUACUUCCUUUAGUUGACGAAUAUGUUGAGCAGAUUCACAUUAAGACAGGGAAUGUUUUGUUGUGGAGCAUAUAUAAGUCCAAGCACAAUCUUUCAUUACAAAGAUAGAAGAAGAAGAUGUCACAUUUAUAUUGAAACUGACAAAAGAUCAAUAUAAGUUUUGUCUUUUUGUCCUUUGAAUUAAAAUAAUCUUAAAAUCAUUUUAUGUUAGUGAUCGUGUUUACACUAAAAAGGACAAAAGCUAGUGAGUGGUCCCUAUCACUAAUCUCUCUACUUGAAGUUAAGUUUCUUUUGAACUGACAGUGAACUGUUUGGAACAAAAGCAAAGUUCUCUAAGACAACAUAUCUAAUUUUCUUAUAAUGGAGAGAAUCUGAACAAACCAAUUUACUUUUUUUAUGAGCUGAAAAGAUUCAGGCUAGAAUUAAAAAUGGUUGUAGAGCAUUUUAUGAAAUGGUGUCUUAGCUCAAAAGGAAUGAAGAAACAACUAAAACUGUAAAUGUUAAACAUAAGAGGCGACAGAUGAAAUAAAAACCAAUGAGUCAUUUUAUUAAUUUCUUGUCAAGAUUGCAAAUUUUUUUUUUUUUUUGUGGAAUUAAUAGAAUGAUCAUCCCAUUUUAUUCAAGUUAAAUAAUCACCCUUUACUUUUAACAUUUUUUCGUUAUUUUAUUUUGAAAAGAACAAAUGAUUAUUCAAAAUUAAAAACAUAACAUGCUCAUAGUGGCAUUGCGUGGUAAUACAUUUGAAAAUACGGGGGCAAAAACGUCUAACACUCGCUUUUUUUUUUUAAUUCCGCAUGAUGUGCUCGUGUGUUAUAUAUCUUUCAUUCCACCUCCUCUGCACAAUCUUCUUCUUCUUCUCAUUCUCUUCAGCUCCUUGUUUCUUCCUCAGAUUCAAUCAUAGAGAUUCAAGAUAGAUUUUCGUUCACCUCUUCUCCAGAUCUAGCUCCCUCCCCCCUUAUCACGGAACAAUCCAGGUUCGUUCAUCGGAAUCAUCAUUCGUUAGAUCCAAAUCGAUGUAACCCAAUCCGUUUCUUGUGGAUCGAGACGAAUGCAUAGAGCUUCGUGAAUUCAAUUGUGAUUUUUUUGCAUAACCGAUCUGAGAGAUGAAUUUCGUGUUAAUUGAUUGAUUCGAGCCAAUGCAGGAUCUUAGCCAAGAUGGCAAGUGAGGAGCAGUGGUUUAAAGGGAGAGUGAAGGCUGUUACCUCCGGAGACUGCUUGGUCAUCACGGCUUUGGCCCAAAGCAGGCCCGGCCCACCUCCUGAAAAGACCAUCACUUUGUCUUCUCUCAUGGCUCCUAAACUGGUGAGUCACUCUAUUAAUCUUUUUUCUCUUAUAGGCGUUUCUUUUUCCUUUUUUUUUUUUUUUAAGUUAAAAGUUAAAUGACUGUUUCUUAUAUUUCGCUCAGAACUUCACUAUAAGAAUCCCAUUAAUCAUGUUUUAAGUGGAUGAAAUGAAUACUUCACCAACAGAAAGUUUCAAAAACUUUUUUUUUUUUAACAACAAAAGUUUCAAAAGCUAUAUAAGUGCUGUUCGUUUAGUUGAAGCAGCUACCUGCAGCUGCGUCGUCAAUUUUUUUAAUAAAUUCUUGUUCGUUUCAUUAACGCUGGUACUGCGUCUAAACGAUGCGUCCUCGCGUCAGAUUGUCGAAAAAAUCUGCGUCUGUGACGACGUCUACGAAACGAACAACAAUUAUUUUCAUUGACGCUGACGCCGAAAACUGCGGCAACCAAACGAACAUGACUUAUAAUAACUUUUCAUAUGUACGGAAAUUGGAAAAAGUAAAUCACUUUCUUACACAGCAUUGGAAUAAAUCAUAUGUGUAGAACGUUAGCUUACAUGAUUUUUGUUAGAGUCUAGGCUUUUUCUCUCAUUGUUUGGUUUGUUCCUUGGUUUCAGGCUCGUAGGGGAGGUAUAGACGAGCCUUUUGCGUGGGAGAGCAGGGAGUUUCUGAGGAAGCUUUGCAUUGGGAAGGUGCUAUGUCCAAACACUUAAUCAUUUAUGCUAGUAAUUGACAAUAUUCUUUAUAUUGAUAGCUUUUUUCUUGUUGCGCAGGAGAUCACUUUCAAAGUGGACUACAAAGUGGAAGCUAUUGGCAGAGAAUUUGGCUCUGUUUACCUUGGCAGUGAAAAUCUUGCUAAGCUUGUUGUUCAAAAUGGCUGGGCUAAGGUGAUCAACCGUUUUAAAAAACUUCACUAGAUAGGGGCUUGUUUAUGGUGUAUGAUGCUUGUGUCAGCUUUCUGAUAUGGUUGAGAAAUGCCUUUACUGUGGAUAGGUCAGAGAGCCAGGUCAGCAGAAUCAGGAUAAAGUUAGUCCUUACGUUGCGGAGCUGUUACAGCUUGAAGAGAUGGCUAAGCAGGAAGGGCUUGGCCGUUGGAGCAAGGUUGGUGCUCUCUUUUACUGUUUCUCUGGUUUUGACUUAUGAAAGUUAGUCUCAUGUACUCUUUCUUGGUUUGUUGAUGGAAUUUUACUUGAUCCAGGUUCCUGGUGCUGCCGAGGCAUCUGUCAGGAACCUUCCUCCUUCUGCCGUUGGGGACUCUGGGAAUUUUGACGCCAUGGGUCUUUUAGCCGCAAGUAAAGGCAAGCCCAUGGAAGCUAUUGUUGAGCAAGUCCGCGAUGGCAGUACCAUCCGUGUCUAUCUUCUUCCUGAAUUUCAGUUUGUGCAAGUGUUUGUUGCUGGACUCCAGGUGUGUAAUCUUGUUUCUUCUUCUUUUUUUGAUGUGUGAGGAGUUUACAUUAAUUUCAUGAUAUAUCCUAUGUAGGCUCCAUCAAUGGGAAGGAGAUCCACACAAGAAACUGUUGUUGAGCCAGAUGUUACAUCAGCUCCAAAUGAAGAUGCUUCUGCUGAGCCCCGUGGUCCUCUAACAUCCGCCCAGAGACUCGCUGCUUCAGCAGUAUCGUCCGUUGAGGUUUCCUCUGAUCCGUUUGCAUUGGAAGCCAAGUAUUUUACUGAGCUUCGUGUUCUUAAUAGAGAUGUAAGGACUAAUUGCAACAAAUUAAUUCGCAUGUAUCUGUAUCUAAAAUUUGAAUGAUCUAAGUCUGAGCUGGAUUUUUCAGGUUCGCAUUGUUCUUGAAGGUGUUGACAAAUUCAACAAUCUGAUUGGGUCAGUUUACUACUCUGUUGGGGAAACAGUUAAAGACUUGGGUCUGGAGCUGGUUGAAAAUGUAUGUGGUCUAACUUAAACAGUUAUUUUCUUUUCAACAUGAUUACAUAAUGAACUAAUUGGCCAAAAAAUUUUUCACUUUGCCACAACAAUGUACUUACUUAAGAAGUCACUGGCAAUAUAAUAUAUUGAUGGUGCUGAAUAAAAGUUAUGACGUUUGUUGCUAUUCUUUUUGCUCAGGGUCUUGCUAAGUAUGUUGAGUGGAGUGCCAACAUGAUGGAGGAAGAAGCCAAAAAGAAGCUGAAAGCUGCAGAGCUUCAAUGCAAGAAGAACCGGGUGAAAAUGUGGUCAAACUAUGUCCCUCCAGCUAGCAACUCUAAGGCAAUUCAUGACCAGAACUUUACUGGGAAGGUAAUUGCUUGCUUGCUUGCACACGUUGCACACUAUGUCCCCAUUUCACUAGUCCUUAGUUCUUAAUAGUUUUUACUCUCUUCAGGUAGUGGAAGUUGUGAGUGGGGACUGCUUAGUAGUAGCUGAUGACUCUGUACCAUUCGGGAGUCCCAUGGCAGAGCGACGAGUCUGUCUUUCCAGCAUUAGGUCUCCUAAAAUCGGUAACCCACGCAGAGAGGAGAAACCUGCCCCUUAUGCUCGGGAAGCCAAGGAGUUUCUGAGACAGAAGCUUAUUGGAAAACAGGUAUUAGUUGCUUCGUGCCUCCUUAUUGGAAAAGAAACCUGACUUCUUCUUUUUCCGGUGAAGGUUAAUGUGCAAAUGGAAUACCAAAGGAAGAUCAGCCCAGCAGAUGGUGCUACUACUUCUGGAGCUGGCGAUUCCAGGGUUAUGGAUUUUGGUUCAGUGUUCCUACCAUCUGCUACCAAGGGUGAUGCAGCUGCAGAAACUCCCGGAGUCAAUAUAGCUGAACUCAUAAUCGCCCGUGGCUUAGGGACUGUGGUUAGACAUCGCGACUUUGAAGAGAGGUCAAACCAUUACGAAGCUCUACUGGCUGCUGAAGCUCGUGCUAUUGCCGGGAAGAAAGGAAUCCAAUCGACAAAGGACUCUCCAGCAAUGCACGUCACAGACCUGACUGUGGCCUCGGCCAAGAAGGCUAAAGAUUUCCUUCCAUCCCUGCACAGAAGUAGGAGAAUAUCUGCUGUUGUGGAAUAUGUACUGAGCGGACAUCGGUUCAAGCUUUACAUUCCAAAAGAAACAUGCAGUAUUGCAUUUGCAUUCUCUGGUGUCAGAUGUCCUGGCCGUGGAGAACCCUAUUCAGAAGAAGCUAUUGCUUUAAUGAGACGCAAGAUCAUGCAGAGAGAUGUCGAGGUAAUACGAGAUCUCAUUUGUUUUUAUUCCCUUUGUUCUAUAUAUGAGUCUUAUACUGUCUUUUUAUAAUCAACAGAUCGAAAUUGAAACUGUGGAUAGAACCGGCACUUUCUUGGGAUCAAUGUGGGAGGGGAAGACCAACGCAGCAACGUUUCUUCUUGAAGCUGGGGUGGCAAAAAUGCAGACUGGCUUUGGUGCAGACAGGAUUCCAGAAGCUCAUCUUCUUGAAUUGGCGGAACGAUCUGCUAAGAAUCAGAAAGUGAAGGUAACUACCAAUAGAUAUUAAUAUAUCUCUUUUUUUUUUUCCAAAAGAAAAGCAUUGCUGAACUGUUUUAUUCCACAGAUCUGGGAAAACUAUGUUGAAGGAGAGGAGGUUGUGAAUGGUGGUGGUUCUAAAGUAGAAACAAGACAGAAGGAAACACUAAAGGUGAAUUUUAACCAACGAGUCAAGAGUUUUAAUACUAAAAGCAAAACAUUAACUCACUCUUAAUUUCCCUUUGGCUACAGGUUGUUGUUACGGAAGUGCUUGGAGGCGGUAAGUUUUAUGUGCAAACGGUUGGAGAUCAGAAAGUAGCUUCUAUUCAAAACCAGCUUGCAUCUCUGAGUCUUAAAGACGCUCCAAUUGUUGGAUCGUUUAACCCUAAGAAGGGUGACAUCGUCCUUGCACAGUUCAGCCUCGAUAACUCCUGGAACCGUGCAAUGGUAACUCAUCAAACCUCUAAUAUCCCAUCCUUUAGUUCUUCUUAUUGUAUGUUUACUUUGAAUUCAGAUUGUUAAUGCACCACGAGGAGCAGUUCAAUCUCCAGAGGACAAACUCGAAGUGUUCUACAUCGAUUAUGGGAACCAAGAAACAGUUCCGUACAGCGCAAUUCGCCCUGUAGAGGCUUCAGUGUCCUCAGCACCAGGACUCGCGCAGCUCUGCAGACUUGCCUAUUUAAAAGUUCCAAGCCUGGAAGAGGACUUUGGUCCUGAAGCGGGAGAGUAUCUACAUUCGGUGACGCUGGGGAGUGGUAAAGAGUUCAAGGCAGUGGUGGAGGAAAGAGAUACAUCAGGAGGCAAAGUGAAAGGCCAAGGAACUGGAACAGAGCUCGCUGUUACUCUCAUCGCUGUCGAUGAUGAGAUCUCUGUCAAUGCAGCAAUGCUCCAGGUCAGUGCCUCGCCUCCUCUUUCUCAUUAUUAUAAACCUGAGAGUGUAAUGUGUGUUGUGGUAUGAGAACAGGAAGGAAUAGCGAGGAUGGAGAAACGGAAGAGGUGGGAGCAUAAAGACAAGAAAGCAGGUCUUGAUGCUCUUGAGAAGUACCAAGAAGAAGCUCGCAAAUCUAGGACAGGAAUAUGGCAGUAUGGAGACAUUCAAUCUGAUGAUGAGGACAGUGUUCCGGUCAGGAAACCUGGUCGCGGGUGAGUGUGUUUUUCCAACUUUUAUGAUCAAUGGUUGGUUCCAAAGAGGGGAUCAACCUUGUUCAAGAUUGUUGCUUACAAAGCAUCAAACUUUUUGUAACGUUUAGAAAUUCUCUUUUUUUUUCAUAUACUUUUUUUUGGGUUUAUAGAUCAUAAAGUGACGAUGUUCUUGUUAUUUAUUUUUGUUUGACAAAAGAAUCUCAUAAUAAGGUAAGGUGAUGUAUUAACUUAAGGGGACUUUCAUUUGCUUCGCUAAUGUUUUAAUUAAACUUUGAGCUUCAUCCUCUUUUGUAUUUUCCUCCAAAGUUCAUCUUCUUCAGAUAGUUAAAUUUAAUAAGCGUUAUUAUAAACUGAGCUUAUUAAUGUCGUUGGAUUCUUAUAAUCGUUAUUAUAAUUCGAGUUGCAUCAAUGUUGCUCAGCAAGGCCCAAGUCAUGGCCCCAAGUAGUAAUAUGAUUUUGUGUCAUUGCCAAGGCUAUGACAUGAGAUUAUGUUUAAUGAAGACGUCCAACGACAAUAGUUACAAGAACUGCAACUAAGCAACAUAAGAACAAUUGAGAUCAGUGAAUAGCCGACUCUCAACUCGAAUAAAGACACUAGAAUCUUUUUGGACUUUGGAGUAACCAGUUUUGCUUUUAUGAGAGUAAAAAAACAAAGUAACAGAAACUACAAUUUAGCUCUAAUCCCAACUUGGUUUUACACCUCAAAAAAGGCUCUACAGCAGAAAAGACAAAUUCGACACAAGUAAAAAUCAAAAAUAAUAAUUUCAACAUCUCGAAAACAUUCCCUUUUCUUCUGUCAUUCUAAAACACCACUUUUCUAAUUGUCACGCCUCGGUUGCCUUUUGCGAGGAGCAGCAGCGGUUUCUUCCUUCUUCUCUGUCUCAUCUUCACUCUUUGAGCUCUCUCCUACUUCUGGUUUCUUCUUCUUCUCCACGGUUGCUGCCGGCGCCGCCUGUAAACAAACCAUUUUAAUUUCUUUAUCUUUUUUUCACUUACUUCCAUAUUAAAAUGACAGAGGGAAUAUUACCUUUUUGCCACCGAAGAUAAGCUUGAUGAAGAGCGAGAAGAAUACUACGACAAUGGAGACUAGGACACCAAUGGUUAAGUUUGGUUGUUCCUCAGCUUUCUCAAUCAGUUCCUACAAAAACAACACCAUAUUCAAAAUUCACUUUAGGUCGAUUCAUCAUCAUCAUAACAUGAAACAAAUUUUAAACGAGGGAGGAGAAACUUACUGUGAUCUUAGACUUGUAGGCACUUAGGAAAGAAAUGUCUGCAACCUUGUUCAAGAGGUCGAACACAACCUUCUGCAAACAUCAUGCACAGAUAUAACUGUAAGAAUCAUAACGAGAAGCUAUAUGUUAUAAAAAAAGGUUUAGUUUCUUUACCUGGUAGCUCUUGAGACCAUCAGCAGAGCUAGCAGCCUCCUCUUCCGCCUUUUGUUUCUCUUUCUCAACAUCGAACUUCGGCUUCCAUGUCGUCUGUCUGUAACUCUCAGCGACCUUCUCGUCUUUCGCUAUCAACAUGUUAUCAAACAAGAUACCGUCUUGCAUCGUCCAGAUCUCAAUACCGAUUGCCGCAAUGGGUUCGAAGUCAGGUCUGUCCAGCUCAAAGUAGUCAGGGUUAGGGAUGUCUCUGGGCUUCCAGAUUCCCUUGUAAGCAGGGUUGUCUAUCAUAGGCGCACUCCAUUUGCCCUUGUAAGCAGGAUUCUUCUUCAUGGGUCUCUUCCAUUCACCACAGCCUGGUGCUGCUUCACACUUGGGGUUGUCAAUCUUUGGAGCCUCCCACAUACCAUCUUCCUCAUCAUCCCAGUCUUCAGGCUUGGUCGCCUCUGGGUCGUCCACCUCCUCAGGCUCGUCAUCUAACCAUCCUUCGGGUUUCUCAGCUUCCUCGUCUUCGAUCUCCAUGGGCGCCUCCUCGUCCCAGUCUUCAGGCUUCACGGCGUUAGGAUCAGGGAUCUUGGCUCUCUCAUCCCAGUCUUCUGGUUUCUUGUCUUCAGGGUCAGGGAUGGUCUUGGCAGGGAUCAACGCAGGCUCAAAGUCCUCCCCAGAAAGUAAAUUAGCCUUCUUCUUCUCCUCUCCAUCAACCAGAAUCCUAACCUCGUUGUCUGGCUUCAAGAUAGCGGUGUAGACAUGGGAAAGCUUGUCGUAAGGAACAGAGGGAGGGAACUUGAGAUGGUGCUCAACGUACUCGCCGCUCUUUGGGUUCUUGUGUUUCAAGAUGAAAUGAACUUUGUUUGUGGCUCCACACUUGUCAGGCCCAAACAUGAUAGAGUAAGGAGAUUCGCUAUCGAACCCUUCAGGUGUCCAUCCAGCUUCCUGAGGACGGAGGUACUUCAAGUAAGCACCACCACACUCAAGCCCUUCCUGGAAACGAACCUCGUACUGAAGAACAAUGGUUCCUUCCUUGAGGUUUAGAGGCUCGUCAAGCUCCUUCACUAUACCGUACUUACGAGCCUUCUCGCUUACGAGAAGUCCGUAAUCAUCAUGUCCCUCACUCUUCGCAUGCUUCCACACACCUGAAACAGAUAAAGCGGUCUUAACAAAGAAGCUUCUACCACAUCAUAAAACCAACAACUCAUCUAUACUACCACAACAUUUUCAAUUUGAUUCUAUUAGCAUGUGGACAAUCAUAUACUCGCAUAUAAUGGUCAAGACUCUGGAAUGUCCGGUUUAUUAUCUUAAUUAGUAUAUAAACCAUCUGGAUCUAUACUACUACUAUUCAUAUACGUGCAUAUAAAGCCAACCAUUCAACAACAUCGUGACGUGAAGGUGACGAAGUCUUAUAAUCUUAUUUGAUUCAAACAUCCAUCAACACUCUUGAUUUGAUUCUAUUAGCACAUAAUAGUUUCUUAAUUGACUCAGGAAUGCCUGGUUUAUUAAUUAUAUUAUAAUAAUGAUGUAAACCAUUUGGUUAUUUCUGGUUUAGGUUCCAAAUAGUAACUGCAGUUUGAGCGGUGCGGGACAAACGGUUUAACUGCGGUGCGGUUUUAACAGUUAUAAAAGCGUAUAGAUAUAUGGUAUAUGUAGAGAUUUUUAUUACAGUUAACUGCGGUGCGGGGCAGGGCGGUUCGUAACACUAUUAUAAGCUUUAGUUUGUUAACACUAUUAUACAAGAUUUGUAACAAACUUUAAGAUCAUUAAUGAAUAAAUCAACAUUCUUCUUUGAAUCAAGAACACUUCAAUAACUCCACUCUAAAUCAUUAUAAUCCAAUCAGAUCAGAACCAUAUACUAACCACAAACGCGUUUCAGAGAGUUUAGCGAUAUACAAUACCUUCGUAAUCACCAUUCUUCGAAACGAUCCAGCGACCAUCAAACGCCUCAUCGAACGAUUCAUACAACACCUGAACACAAAUCCAACGAGCUCAGAUCUAAAAAAUCUUCAGAUCUACGAUAACAUUCGGAAACAUUUUCCCGAGAAAAAUCGAAAUCUACCGUAUUAUCGUCGCAGUGGCAAAGGUUCUGGAGCGAGAGGAGAGCUAGGAUAAGCAUAAGGCCGGAGAAUAGCUGCCGGUCUCUCAUCAUCGGAACGGUUCGAGUAGAUCGGAGGGAGAAGAGAGAGAGAGAGAGAGAGAGUGGAAUCUAUUUUUUUUUUUUCCUGAAGAUUUUAGUUUCUCUGAGUGAUUUAUAUAUUUAAAUCCCGUAGACUCGGUCGAGUGUGUCGAUUUUUGUUGUUUCCACCAAUGAGAUCGCUCGCCACGUGGUGAGAGCCAAUAGAUGGACGCCACGUCAUGCGAAAGAGAGGUAUCCUACGUGCGCAAUUUGUAUUGCUACGUAAUGUGCAUGUUUAUUAUACAGAUAGUCUAACGUCAGUAUUGGGCUGGGCCUGUAAUCAAUUUAAAAGUCUCUGGUAGAGUAAGAGUCUUCUAGAAGCAAAAGUAACACAUUUAUCAGGAACAAAGAACCAAAUCAAACUAAACUAAAAAAAAUGAGGUUUGGUUCGGAUUUAGAUCAUAUAAUACACGAAUGAACGGAUCCUAUAACUUUUGAACUGAAAAACCAAAACCAAACUGGAGCAAACAAAGACCCGAAUGGAUACCCGAAUUUUUAUAAUAUAAUAUAUACACUUAUAAAUAUUAACUACAUUUAGUUUCAAAAUGAUAAAAUAAUUUGAAAUACUAUUUCUAAAAACUAAAUCUCCAAAUACAUUUUAUCCGAAAUAUUUUAAAUUAUUUGAACUAUCCAAAUUUUACCUAAAUUAUUGGAUAAAAAUCUAACAUUUAGUAAAAAAAAGACUGAAUUUACUUACUUUUUUUUGAAACACAUCUGAAUUUUCUUACUUUUAACAAAACUUAACAAAAAAACUAAAAUCGAACGGCUAACGAAUAUGAUCCAAAAAUGACCUCGGAUAUUAUUCGGUUUUUAAUUUUGUUAUCUAAACUAAACUGAAAAAUGAAAUAACCGAAUCAGAACCAAAGUGAAUCCUAAACAUCUAAAACUGAAAAGCAGAAAAAAUCGAAAGAACCGAACCGGAACCGAAUCCAAAAUUCUUUAGCGGAGCAAGAGUCUCUAUUGGGCUGGGCCUACUAAUCAAUUUGAAAGUCUCUAGCUGAGCAAGAGUCUUCCACAUACCAUUGACAAAAGCAAACUUUUUACACACGUAAGUCGUAAUAACCAUUACAGAAAUGUCACACACUAGUGGAAGAGUACAAGAUACUUUGUUAUUUUAAUAUUUGGUAUUAGAAAAAGUGGAAAACUAUAAAAUGUUGAAGAUGAAUAUCUAUAGUUUUACUGUUUAGGUACUAAGUGAUUGGUAACCAUCUUCCCGGUUCUUUCUCCGGUAUACCACGGCGACUAUUAGAACCACAACCGCCACCGUCACUGCAAGAAAGGCUAAAAAGCUCAUACUGCUCGAAUGUGCCUGCAAAGAAAUAAUGAAUACUGACGUUAAGUAAAGUAACACACAUGGUAAUAACCGGUUUGACCUAAACCGAGAUCUGUUACCGGCAGUUUCGGUCCAGGCAGCUGCUGAGAAACGAGGAUGUAAAAGAGUCCCAUGACUCCUGUAUGACCAAUGACAUUACUGUAAUUGAACUCCAAAGACAGUGUCUCUCCAUUAGUCACUUUCACCGGUUCAGGAUAACAAGACGACAUUCCAACGAUGUAACCAGCUUCGCUUCCAGGCUCAUCUCCAUUGCCAUACUUCGGCAUCGAGGAGCAUAUUACCUCACCGUCCUGAUCAAAAUCCAUAACACAAGAGUCUCAGUUUUUGAGUAAAAAGUUUUUGCCUUAGCUUAAAACCUUAGGUUGGGUGUUUAUACCCAAACCCGAAAUCCGAACUGAGACCAAACCAAAAUUCUAUCUAAACCAUCAUAAAAAAUAUCCAAAUAGAGUCUAAGAAUACUUUCGGACUCGGGUACAAUCCAAACCAAACUAAAAUCCGUACUAGAAUCCAAAAAAUCCACAUUAGUUAAUCUGUUAAUGUUUUUUUCUACAUAUGUUACGUUAAGAUAGUUUAGAAAUUUUUAAAAAAAUUAGAAUUUUUUGUAGUUUUUAUAGGAAUUGCGAAUCGUUAUUUUGGAAUACUUUUAAUUAGUUUAGGUAGCUUGACAAGUUUUUAAUCAGAUUUUUGAUUUUUUUAUAUAUUUUAAAUAUGUUUUUGUCAAUUUCAUUAAUUUUAUUUCCAGAUUUAAGUACGAUUUUUAGACAAUGGUUAUAAUUUGAUUUGAACCAAACUCAUACCAAAUCGAAUCAAACCCGAUCCAAAAACUAGUAAAAUAUGAAUAAGACCAUUGUGCAUGAUACCGAAAAUCCAAAACAAACCCCGAACAAGACACCAAACGUCCGGGCCUGUUAAAAACUAACCUCUCGGUACAGAGCUGCACCGAUACCACCUGCGUGCUGGUGAGCUACUCCAUAGACAAUAUACCCGUUAAACGGCAUCAAUGGUUAUAAUUUGAUUUGAAUCAAACACAUACGAAAUCGAAUCAAACCCGAUCCAAAAACUAGUAAAAUAUGAAUAAGACCAUUGUGCAUGAUACCGAAAAUCCAAAACAAACCCCUAACAAGACACCAAACGUCCGGGCCUGUUAAAAACUAACCUCUCGGUACAGAGCUGCACCGAUACCACCUGCGUGCUGGUGAGCUACUCCAUAGACAAUAUACCCGUUAAACGGCAUCAUUAAGCUCUUUUUCUUAACAUCGACACACCCAUCACCCUUAGUUUUGCACGGUUUCACGUCAUAUUCCACCUGAAAAGAAAACAAUUAAUACACCUUAGCUAACGUUAAAAGCAUUAAUAAGCAGAGAUGUGAAAAGUCUUUACUGACAUGACAAAAAUGUUCUUGGUUAUCUCCUGUUGAUCCUUCUGACCGUUCCCAAGAAUCCGUUACAUCGAGAAUAUAAACCUUAGCCGGCAACAAAACCGAGCUGUCCCAAUCAACCCAUCUCACAGUAUACUUAAGAUACACAGUUCUUGUUUUGUUUCCACUUUCGAAUCCGUUUCUUAACCGACAUUGAGUCUUAUCGUAGCAGCAGUCUUGACCUCCUUUGUAUCCAGGUUCUAAAGCUCGACCGUACUCAUCAACCGUUACAUUAUAAAGACCACACCGACACUCGGUGCAUCCUUGUUUAUCCACAACCCCUCUAGUGUCAAUAGCGUGAAUAUUUAGAAGCCAUUUGAACUCAUACCCAUCAGGUACUUUCUCCGGGUUACCGAUCUCGAUCGCGUAAGGAUCAGGAACAUACGUCGAAGUCUUGCGUGUUUCUGAUCCUAACCCAAAGUAUUGUCUAACUCUGUUCCUACACAACCCUCCGUUACUAACGAGAAUAUAAUCAGGGCUCGAACCAAGGUUCCUAGGCGUGUCUAGGUGCGAAAGGUUGAGACCUUUACGCACGUAGUAAGGGUGCACAACCCAGUGGUGGAGAUAUGUCUCGUGUAACGGGACGGGGUUACCGUCUUGGUCGACUACUUCGGCGUCGAAACCUUUGAGGCCGAUGUGGCCUCUAGGGAAAUCGAUGUCGAACAGGUAAGGGUCUGCGACUGAUCCUGGAGUCAUGACUUGUUUUGGUGAUAGGAAACUUGCGGACUUGAUGUUAAUGCUGUGGCUAGGCGAUAUGCUUAACGCGACCAGAAGAAGAAGUAAGGACGAGAUGAUCAGGUAACAACGAGCCAUUUUGUCCUGUUUCGAUAUCGUUAUAGAGAGGUAAUAAAUGAAGUAAAACUGAUAAAAUACGUAAUCAUGAACCGGUUUGACCUAAACCGAGAUCUGUUACCGGCAGUUUACCUGCAAGAAGCUCUCCGGUCCAGGCAGCUGCUGAGAAACGAGGAUGUAAAAGAGUCCCAUGACUCCUGUAUGACCAAUGACAUUACUGUAAUUGAACUCCAAAGACAGUGUCUCUCCAUUAGUCACUUUCACCGGUUCAGGAUAACAAGACGACAUUCCAACGAUGUAACCAGCUUCGCUUCCAGGCUCAUCUCCAUUGCCAUACUUCGGCAUCGAGGAGCAUAUUACCUCACCGUCCUGAUCAAAAUCCAUAACACAAGAGUCUCAGUUUUUGAGUAAAAAGUUUUUGCCUUAGCUUAAAACCUUAGGUUGGGUGUUUAUACCCAAACCCGAAAUCCGAACUGAGACCAAACCAAAAUUCUAUCUAAACCAUCAUAAAAAAUAUCCAAAUAGAGUCUAAGAAUACUUUCGGACUCGGGUACAAUCCAAACCAAACUAAAAUCCGUACUAGAAUCCAAAAAAUCCACAUUAGUUAAUCUGUUAAUGUUUUUUUCUACAUAUGUUACGUUAAGAUAGUUUAGAAAUUUUUAAAAAAAUUAGAAUUUUUUGUAGUUUUUAUAGGAAUUGCGAAUCGUUAUUUUGGAAUACUUUUAAUUAGUUUAGGUAGCUUGACAAGUUUUUAAUCAGAUUUUUGAUUUUUUUGUAUAUUUUAAAUAUGUUUUUGUCAAUUUCAUUAAUUUUAUUUCCAGAUUUAAGUACGAUUUUUAGACAAUGGUUAUAAUUUGAUUUGAAUCAAACACAUACGAAAUCGAAUCAAACCCGAUCCAAAAACUAGUAAAAUAUGAAUAAGACCAUUGUGCAUGAUACCGAAAAUCCAAAACAAACCCCUAACAAGACACCAAACGUCCGGGCCUGUUAAAAACUAACCUCUCGGUACAGAGCUGCACCGAUACCACCUGCGUGCUGGUGAGCUACUCCAUAGACAAUAUACCCGUUAAACGGCAUCAUUAAGCUCUUUUUCUUAACAUCAACACACCCAUCACCCUUAGUUUUGCACGGUUUCACGUCAUAUUCCACCUGAAAAGAAAGCAAUUAAUACACCUUAGCUAACGUUUUUAAGUAAUAAAAGCAUUAAUAAGCAGAGAUGUGAAAAGUCUUUACUGACAUGACAAAAAUGUUCUUGGUUAUCUCCUGUUGAUCCUUCUGACCGUUCCCAAGAAUCCGUUACAUCGAGAAUAUAAACCUUAGCCGGCAACAAAACCGAGCUGUCCCAAUCAACCCAUCUCACAGUAUACUUAAGAUACACAGUUCUUGUUUUGUUUCCACUUUCGAAUCCGUUUCUUAACCGACAUUGAGUACUAUUAUAAGCUUUAGUUUGUUAACACUAUUAUACAAGAUUUGUAACAAACUUUAAGAUCAUUAAUGAAUAAAUCAACAUUCUUCUUUGAAUCAAGAACACUUCAAUAACUCCACUCUAAAUCAUCAUAAUCCAAUCAGAUCAGAACCAUAUACUAACCACAAACGCGUUUCAGAGAGUUUAGCGAUAUACAAUACCUUCGUAAUCACCAUUCUUCGAAACGAUCCAGCGACCAUCAAACGCCUCAUCGAACGAUUCAUACAACACCUGAACACAAAUCCAACGAGCUCAGAUCUAAAAAAUCUUCAGAUCUACGAUAACAUUCGGAAACAUUUUCCCGAGAAAAAUCGAAAUCUACCGUAUUAUCGUCGCAGUGGCAAAGGUUCUGGAGCGAGAGGAGAGCUAGGAUAAGCAUAAGGCCGGAGAAUAGCUGCCGGUCUCUCAUCAUCGGAACGGUUCGAGUAGAUCGGAGGGAGAAGAGAGAGAGAGAGAGAGAGAGUGGAAUCUAUUUUUUUUUUUUCCUGAAGAUUUUAGUUUCUCUGAGUGAUUUAUAUAUUUAAAUCCCGUAGACUCGGUCGAGUGUGUCGAUUUUUGUUGUUUCCACCAAUGAGAUCGCUCGCCACGUGGUGAGAGCCAAUAGAUGGACGCCACGUCAUGCGAAAGAGAGGUAUCCUACGUGCGCAAUUUGUAUUGCUACGUAAUGUGCAUGUUUAUUAUACAGAUAGUCUAACGUCAGUAUUGGGCUGGGCCUGUAAUCAAUUUAAAAGUCUCUGGUAGAGUAAGAGUCUUCUAGAAGCAAAAGUAACACAUUUAUCAGGAACAAAGAACCAAAUCAAACUAAACUAAAAAAAAUGAGGUUUGGUUCGGAUUUAGAUCAUAUAAUACACGAAUGAACGGAUCCUAUAACUUUUGAACUGAAAAACCAAAACCAAACUGGAGCAAACAAAGACCCGAAUGGAUACCCGAAUUUUUAUAAUAUAAUAUAUACACUUAUAAAUAUUAACUACAUUUAGUUUCAAAAUGAUAAAAUAAUUUGAAAUACUAUUUCUAAAAACUAAAUCUCCAAAUACAUUUUAUCCGAAAUAUUUUAAAUUAUUUGAACUAUCCAAAUUUUACCUAAAUUAUUGGAUAAAAAUCUAACAUUUAGUAAAAAAAAGACUGAAUUUACUUACUUUUUUUUGAAACACAUCUGAAUUUUCUUACUUUUAACAAAACUUAACAAAAAAACUAAAAUCGAACGGCUAACGAAUAUGAUCCAAAAAUGACCUCGGAUAUUAUUCGGUUUUUAAUUUUGUUAUCUAAACUAAACUGAAAAAUGAAAUAACCGAAUCAGAACCAAAGUGAAUCCUAAACAUCUAAAACUGAAAAGCAGAAAAAAUCGAAAGAACCGAACCGGAACCGAAUCCAAAAUUCUUUAGCGGAGCAAGAGUCUCUAUUGGGCUGGGCCUACUAAUCAAUUUGAAAGUCUCUAGCUGAGCAAGAGUCUUCCACAUACCAUUGACAAAAGCAAACUUUUUACACACGUAAGUCGUAAUAACCAUUACAGAAAUGUCACACACUAGUGGAAGAGUACAAGAUACUUUGUUAUUUUAAUAUUUGGUAUUAGAAAAAGUGGAAAACUAUAAAAUGUUGAAGAUGAAUAUCUAUAGUUUUACUGUUUAGGUACUAAGUGAUUGGUAACCAUCUUCCCGGUUCUUUCUCCGGUAUACCACGGCGACUAUUAGAACCACAACCGCCACCGUCACUGCAAGAAAGGCUAAAAAGCUCAUACUGCUCGAAUGUGCCUGCAAAGAAAUAAUGAAUACUGACGUUAAGUAAAGUAACACACAUGGUAAUAACCGGUUUGACCUAAACCGAGAUCUGUUACCGGCAGUUUACCUGCAAGAAGCUCUCCGGUCCAGGCAGCUGCUGAGAAACGAGGAUGUAAAAGAGUCCCAUGACUCCUGUAUGACCAAUGACAUUACUGUAAUUGAACUCCAAAGACAGUGUCUCUCCAUUAGUCACUUUCACCGGUUCAGGAUAACAAGACGACAUUCCAACGAUGUAACCAGCUUCGCUUCCAGGCUCAUCUCCAUUGCCAUACUUCGGCAUCGAGGAGCAUAUUACCUCACCGUCCUGAUCAAAAUCCAUAACACAAGAGUCUCAGUUUUUGAGUAAAAAGUUUUUGCCUUAGCUUAAAACCUUAGGUUGGGUGUUUAUACCCAAACCCGAAAUCCGAACUGAGACCAAACCAAAAUUCUAUCUAAACCAUCAUAAAAAAUAUCCAAAUAGAGUCUAAGAAUACUUUCGGACUCGGGUACAAUCCAAACCAAACUAAAAUCCGUACUAGAAUCCAAAAAAUCCACAUUAGUUAAUCUGUUAAUGUUUUUUUCUACAUAUGUUACGUUAAGAUAGUUUAGAAAUUUUUAAAAAAAUUAGAAUUUUUUGUAGUUUUUAUAGGAAUUGCGAAUCGUUAUUUUGGAAUACUUUUAAUCAGUUUAGGUAGCUUGACAAGUUUUUAAUCAGAUUUUUGAUUUUUUUUUUUGUAUAUUUUAAAUAUGUUUUUGUCAAUUUCAUUAAUUUUAUUUCCAGAUUUAAGUACGAUUUUUAGACAAUGGUUAUAAUUUGAUUUGAAUCAAACACAUACGAAAUCGAAUCAAACCCGAUCCAAAAACUAGUAAAAUAUGAAUAAGACCAUUGUGCAUGAUACCGAAAAUCCAAAACAAACCCCUAACAAGACACCAAACGUCCGGGCCUGUUAAAAACUAACCUCUCGGUACAGAGCUGCACCGAUACCACCUGCGUGCUGGUGAGCUACUCCAUAGACAAUAUACCCGUUAAACGGCAUCAUUAAGCUCUUUUUCUUAACAUCGACACACCCAUCACCCUUAGUUUUGCACGGUUUCACGUCAUAUUCCACCUGAAAAGAAAACAAUUAAUACACCUUAGCUAACGUUAAAAGCAUUAAUAAGCAGAGAUGUGAAAAGUCUUUACUGACAUGACAAAAAUGUUCUUGGUUAUCUCCUGUUGAUCCUUCUGACCGUUCCCAAGAAUCCGUUACAUCGAGAAUAUAAACCUUAGCCGGCAACAAAACCGAGCUGUCCCAAUCAACCCAUCUCACAGUAUACUUAAGAUACACAGUUCUUGUUUUGUUUCCACUGUCGAAUCCGUUUCUUAACCGACAUUGAGUCUUAUCGUAGCAGCAGUCUUGACCUCCUUUGUAUCCAGGUUCUAAAGCUCGACCGUACUCAUCAACCGUUACAUUAUAAAGACCACACCGACACUCGGUGCAUCCUUGUUUAUCCACAACCCCUCUAGUGUCAAUAGCGUGAAUAUUUAGAAGCCAUUUGAACUCAUACCCAUCAGGUACUUUCUCCGGGUUACCGAUCUCGAUCGCGUAAGGAUCAGGAACAUACGUCGAAGUCUUGCGUGUUUCUGAUCCUAACCCAAAGUAUUGUCUAACUCUGUUCCUACACAACCCUCCGUUACUAACGAGAAUAUAAUCAGGGCUCGAACCAAGGUUCCUAGGCGUGUCUAGGUGCGAAAGGUUGAGACCUUUACGCACGUAGUAAGGGUGCACAACCCAGUGGUGGAGAUAUGUCUCGUGUAACGGGACGGGGUUACCGUCUUGGUCGACUACUUCGGCGUCGAAACCUUUGAGGCCGAUGUGGCCUCUAGGGAAAUCGAUGUCGAACAGGUAAGGGUCUGCGACUGAUCCUGGAGUCAUGACUUGUUUUGGUGAUAGGAAACUUGCGGACUUGAUGUUAAUGCUGUGGCUAGGCGAUAUGCUUAACGCGACCAGAAGAAGAAGUAAGGACGAGAUGAUCAGGUAACAACGAGCCAUUUUGUCCUGUUUCGAUAUCGUUAUAGAGAGGUAAUAAAUGAAGUAAAACUGAUAAAAUACGUAAUCAUGCAUGGAUAAAUUAACAUCUCAAACUCUUAACCUAGUUUUGUUUGAAAUAAAACUGUGGACACAACAAACCCACUUGAAAGUUUGAAACCUGAUUUAACUACAAGAUGUCAAGUUACAAAAACGAAUAAUCUAGCAUAAUCUUAAAUAAGUUUGUUGGGACCAGGGCCCGCACUGAGAUUUUGAGGAGGGAGGAUUAUACAUGGUUUAAGAAUGAUUUCUAUACUUUAGGAACCUAUAAAUUUUUUUUUUAUAAAUUUAGAAGUCUAUUUAUAUAUAUAUUUAAAAAAAAAAUGGAAGUUUGAAACAAAUGUUUCAUCGAGCUUGGUUGAGGACCGGUCUUGAAGCCGGAUCUGAAAUUUCAGGAGAUAUAAAUAUUUUUUCUAAAACUUUAAUUAAAAAUUGCAAUUUAGGAGCUUAUCACUAUAUAAAAACCUGCAUAAAUUUUGGAGGCCAAAACUAAUGUUUUUUUUUUGAAAAAUAGGCCAAAACUAAUGUUUCACACGGUUAUUCUUAAUCUGAACUCUGAAGCUCAUACAUAAAGGGACGCAGAGAUGUUAGAUAAGUUCCUGAUUCGAACCUAUCUACUACGUAACUGUCUUCCCUAUCAACAAAAAAACACGAUUACAAAAGACAGAAAGCUAGGGAGUGAGAGAUUUACGUG
Molecule: long non-coding RNA, 91470 nt
Filed under: Brassica napus (rape)
Lineage: Eukaryota; Viridiplantae; Streptophyta; Magnoliopsida; Brassicales; Brassicaceae
Description: long non-coding RNA (BNAP_LNC025309)
Rfam family: Small nucleolar RNA snoR124 (bases 47998-48075)
Source: RNAcentral